UCAGGAGUAAGAAAUCUGUGUCUUCUCUUAUGGAAGGGAAAGCUAUUCUUCUUUGCCUUAUGGUGCUUGUGCACCUAGGAAAUUCCAUUCAUAUUGGUAAGAAAUCGAUCUCCCCAUCCCUACAUAUGUUUCCGUUCUCCUAUCAACCAAAGUAGGAUAAUGUUGUCACUUAAACAUCAUGCAUAUUUUCUUUUCCCAAUUUGGACUUCUUUUUAUGGUGUGUGUUUUUCUUUACAGAUAAAUGCAAGGAUUUAGUUCACCCGCAAACAAAAACAUGCAAGGAUCGACUUGCUAGUAUCGCCCGUGAGUGCAUUCUGUCAAAAUGCCAGACGACCUGCAAAAAUUUGUUUGGACCGCAACUCAUAGCCUCAUGGUGUCUCAACGCCGUCCCAUACUAUUGGCAUUGUUGGUGCCGUGUCUGUUCGUAGAGUUGCACUGAACAAUCAUGUCGAAAAAUGGACAAAUGAUGUGAUCCAAUAAUAAAAUCUUCUUGUGACAUGCAUCUAAAAAUACAUAACGAUUGCCAAAUUUAGGUGUUCUAUUCGAUUUUCUCAUGUGCGAUAUUUGAUAUGGUAAUUUUAGGUUUGCAUGGCCUCGUGAUUUAUACGUUAAAAAGACAACCUUAUACGACAUGAAUGAAUUGAGCUAACUAUACCGGCAGUCCCGUUUCUGAUGGGCCCAGAACACAAGGAAGUAGUAUAUAUUUUUCUAGUCGGUUAGUAUGUUUAGUGGUAGAAACUUGUAGGAUCAGAUAUCGACCAGAGCAAUGUCCUAAAGAAAGAUAUCGACUAGAGGGGGUAAAUGUGAAUUGAAUAAUUUUAGCAAUUUCUAGAAAACAGAUAGAAGACCAAAGAAAUAGAUUGUUAAAAUCAAAAGGAUAUUGGCAAGUGGAAGAAUAACUCAACAAGAAACUAUACAACUUAGUAGCAUGCGAGGCAAACUAGUAAGAUACAAGUGCAUAAAUGCCUACUAUCAGUGUUCAAAAAAUGUAUUUAGUGGCAGUAGGUGCCGAUUCCGCUAGUCUAACGGUAGUGGUAAGCUGGUACUACCGGCGUCCACACCCAACGCCGCUUGUAUAUCUCUCAUCUGUGGCGUUUGGUAUGCAACGCCACUAACUAACAAAUUAUAAGCAUUGCACCAUGGACGGUAGAUGCCAAUAAUAGAAGUCAUGUGCCAUGUGGCUGAUGCUCGCUUUGUCUUGUGGGUCCCAAUGUCAGUAAACACCUACUGUCAGAUAACCCCAGCAUGUUACACUAAUCUAGUUAAAACAUUAAUUAAACUAAACCUUACUCAAACAUUAAUAUUAAACUAGUCGGCAUCCACAUUUUACACAAAUAUGAACAACACUACUGAAAUGACGAAAUUAAAUCUAAUUAAAACUAAAAGGUACGCCCGAUUCCUCGCAUGCACAUCGUCGUCCGAGAUGGCGACAACGGCCUCAUGGUCCUAGAUGGAGCCUCGACCCUGAAACCUUCGACCCUUGACCCCUUAACGACCCUCAACCCUGAAACCUUCAACCCUUGACCCCUUAACGACCCUCGACCCUCUACCCUAGUUCCCGACCCUCGCCCCCUCGGUGAUCCUCGACACCCUCGUUAUAUCGACAACGACGCAACAUACAUAUACAUGGGAAAAUAAUGUUAUCGGGGAGGGGGUAUCGGUACCCCCCCUCGUGUCAAAGUUUCUUCUUUCUCCUCUAUUCCUUUCUUUCUUCUUCUCCUCUUCUUUUUCUUCUUAUCCCUCGAGAAAGGAAAAUAAGGAAAAAGGAAGAAAAGAGGAAGAAGGAAGAAGGAAGAAGAAGAAGAAAAAGAAGAAGAAAAAAAAAGAGGAGAAGAAGAAAAGAAUAGAGGAGAAGAAGAAAAAAUANNNNNNNNNNNNNNNNNNNNNNNNNNNNNNNNNNNNNNNNNNNNNNNNNNNNNNNNNNNNNNNNNNNNNNNNNNNNNNNNNNNNNNNNNNNNNNNNNNNNNNNNNNNNNNNNNNNNNNNNNNNNNNNNNNNNNNNNNNNNNNNNNNNNNNNNNNNNNNNNNNNNNNNNNNNNNNNNNNNNNNNNNNNNNNNNNNNNNNNNNNNNNNNNNNNNNNNNNNNNNNNNNNNNNNNNNNNNNNNNNNNNNNNNNNNNNNNNNNNNNNNNNNNNNNNNNNNNNNNNNNNNNNNNNNNNNNNNNNNNNNNNNNNNNNNNNNNNNNNNUUUUUUCUUCUUCUUAUUUAUUUCUCCUCUUCUUCCUCUCCCCUCUUCUUCUCCUUUCUUCCUCUUCUUAUUUCCUUUUUCCUCUCAUUCUUUUUCUUCUUCUUCCUUCUUAAAAAUACAUGAAGUAGUAUUGCCUAAUUCAUUGUUCAUAUGAAUAUACAAACAUUUGCAUAUUUACAAUAAUUAAUAUCACCAAAAAAAUCUAUGAACAGAAAAAAAAUCCUAAUUUUUCUAAAAAACUAUCUUUUGCAUUGUUCACAUACACAUAUACAUUACAGCCACAUCUCCCUCUCCCCUAAUAAUAAAGCAUCUAUUGCUUCUGGUGGUACGUCACCUAAUUUACCCCUAAAAUUGCUAAAUAUUACCCGCCAAUGCCACCUGUAAGUGAGGAAAAACGUUUCAGUUUUUUUUCACGGUGGUGGUCACUGGUUUAUCUAGAUGCGGUGUCCAAAUGGUAGCAGGAUGACUCAAGUAUUGCAUUCGCUUGAGCGUUGGUCUUGUAUCCGUGAGACGUAGGUUCGAGCCCCGGCUCUGUCAUGUUUUUCAUCUUUUUUUGUUUCUUUUCCCCUGAAUGAUCUUCAAAAUAUUUAUCUUUCAAACACUAACUCAAAAUAUAACAUGCUAUAUAUGAAAAAAAAACUGAGAAAAUAACACCAGCUUAAAAUAUAACAUGUUAUAUAUGAAAAAACAAGAGAAAUGUGUAUAAAUUUUAAAUAUACAUACAUACAUACCUGAAAACUUAAAAUAUAACAUGUUAUAUAUGAAAAAACAAGAGAAAUGUGUAUAAAUUUUAAAUAUACAUACAUACAUACCUGAAAAAUCCUUUCGUCAGCCUAAUAUUUUUACGUCUAACAAAUUAAAAUGGUGUUCGAAAUAUUUAUCUUUCAAACACUAACUCAAAAUAUAACAUGUUAUAUAUGAAAAGAAAACUGAGAAAAAUGUGAAUACAUUUAAAAUAUACAUACAUACAUACCUAAAAAAUCAUUUUGUCGGCCUAAUUUUUUACGUCGCAUUCCUCCGAGUCAGGCACAAAACCAUACCAUUUAUACGUGCAUGCAUUCCAUGGAGAGACCGGAAGAAGAAGUAUUGCUACCGCAACUUUUGAUCGCCCUAAACAUACUUGUGAUUUGGCAUUGAUUAGUCUACAAGUGUACAAUGAGAUGGGGAGCUUGCAGAUGUUGGGAACCAAGCUGGCUCUGCAUGCCUCGCUUCCCUCGAGUGGGAGCUCACAGGAGAAGCAGCUCUCUGACUGGGAGGCCGACAUGGCCAUCAACGUUAAAUCGGUCACUCAGAUAUCUUCUUUGACUCAGAGCUCAAGUUGAUGUACAUGCCUUUGCCUGCUGAUCAACUGACCAUCAACUGCAACAACACCUGCAGCAACGGAUGUCGCAAAAGCUAGGUAGAUGCUUUCUACGGGACCAUACAAUAUUUGACACGUACUCCCUCUGUAAAAGAAUUAAAUGCUCUUAUACUUCUUUAUAGAGGAAGCAUUAUUUUUCAAGUUGAAUAUAUUUGUAGGUAACCUACAUCUUUCUUACCCUUCAUCGUCGAUAGUACCAAAUAUUUCCAUGUGCAUCAUCCCACCCAAAUAUAUUCGAUGCAACAUCACAGCCUUCUAUUGCAGCUAUAAUUAUUACCAUCAAGGGAUGUGGACACUAGCUCCACGAGGAGCAUUUGGUUAUAUAACCCGGAUACAAGCAAAUCAAAAUCAUUAAUUGUGCUGACAAGGAAAGCAAAACAGAUCGAGGCUCCAGUUAUUAAGACGGCACUCAGAGUAGGCCUUGACCUCCACCUCUCCUUUCUAACUGGCAUUUGCUCAGUAUGACGAUGGAAACCACAAGACCGUGUACAUAAUAAAACUUGCAAAAGGGCGGAAGGAUGAAUAGGUUGAUGACAAUGACGAGAUGGAGCAAUUGUGAUAAGUGACAAAACAUAAUUUUGUUACCCCGUUGCAACGCACGGGCUCUUUUGCUAGUACACAUAUACAUCACAUAUGAACAAAAAAAAUUAAAACAUAAAAAACAGAGCAUAAAAAUAAAAAAAGAGCUUAAACAUUAAAAGAGCCGGGCGGCGGCUCACAGCGCGGGGGCAGGCGAGGGCGCCGGCGCGCGGGGCGGGACGGGGCAGGGGGGCAGGGCGACGGCGACGAGGAGCGGGCGGCGACGGCGAGCCCGUAGCAAGGGAGCUCGAGGCGACGGCGGGGGUGGCAAGNNNNNNNNNNNNNNNNNNNNNNNNNNNNNNNNNNNNNNNNNNNNNNNNNNNNNNNNNNNNNNNNNNNNNNNNNNNNNNNNNNNNNNNNNNNNNNNNNNNNNNNNNNNNNNNNNNNNNNNNNNNNNNNNNNNNNNNNNNNNNNNNNNNNNNNNNNNNNNNNNNNNNNNNNNNNNNNNNNNNNNNNNNNNNNNNNNNNNNNNNNNNNNNNNNNNNNNNNNNNNNNNNNNNNNNNNNNNNNNNNNNNNNNNNNNNNNNNNNNNNNNNNNNNNNNNNNNNNNNNNNNNNNNNNNNNNNNNNNNNNNNNNNNNNNNNNNNNNNNNNNNNNNNNNNNNNNNNNNNNNNNNNNNNNNNNNNNNNNNNNNNNNNNNNNNNNNNNNNNNNNNNNNNNNNNNNNNNNNNNNNNNNNNNNNNNNNNNNNNNNNNNNNNNNACAACAAAAUACUUAUUGUUGCUAUUUUUAUUAUUUUUUAGUUUUUUGUUCUGUUUUUUGCAUUAUUUAUUUUUUGUUGUUUUUUGCUUUAUUUUUUAAUUCUUUUUGCUUUUAGUUUUAGAAAAAUUAUAAACUUUCUGUUAGUGCCAUUAGUUUUCAAAUUUGAAAACACUUUUUUUCUUUAUUUAUUUAUUUUAUUUUGUUUCUACUUGCAACAAAAUACUUAUUGUUGCUAUUUUUAAUUUUUUUUUCAAGUUUUUUUGUUUUGUUUUCUACAUUAUUUAUUUUAUUUUGGUUUUUUGCUUUAUUUUUUAAUUCUUUUUGCUUUUAGGUCAGCAAAAUUAUAAACUUUAUGUUUAUGCCAUUAGUUUUCUUUGAAAUUUGUGUGAAUCACAAGUUUGUGAGCUCAACAAGGCGUGUUGAGGGACGGGCUUAUAAACCGGUGUGAGCGCCCUUCGGUUGGCGAGGUUUUCAAAUUCAUAGUUUUCAAAUGAACUCUGAAAAAGUUGGCAUAGCAUGUGCAUGUACAAAACGGACAAUGGUAUCAUACUCGUCUGUUACAAUGUUGGCAUGGUAUCAUCAUAAUAGUUGCGGGAGAAAGUCUUCACUUUUUCUUCGCUUGUGUCGUUUGCUUAUUGCGCCGUAACCAUGGAUAAUCUUCAUCGUUUAUCAGGAUGCUUGGGUCAGCCUUGACUUUGAAGGGGGUAAUUUCAUGAAACUUUUCAUACUCUUCAGACAUGUCUGUCUUGCCCUCCACUCCCAGGAUGUCCCUUUUUCCUGAAAGAACUAUGUGGCGCUUUGGCUCAUUGUAUGAUGUAUUCGCUUCCUUAUAUUUUCUUUUCCUCGGUCUAGUAGACAUGUCCUUCACAUAGAUAACCUGUGCCACAUUAUUGGCUAGGACGAACGGUUCGUCAGUGUACCCAAGAUUUUUCAGAUCCACUGUUGUCAUUCCGUACUGUGGGUCUACCUGUACCCCGCCUCCUGACAGAUUGACCCACUUGCACUUAAACAAAGGGACCUUAAAAUCUACUCCAUAGUCAAGUUCCCAUAUGUCUACUAUGUAACCAUAAUAUGUGUCAUUUCCAUUGUCGGUUGCUGCAUCAAAGUGGACACCGCUGUUUUGGUUGGUGCUCUUUUCAUCUUGGUCAAUCAUGUAAAAUGUAUUCCCAUUUAUCUCGUAUCCUUUCCAAAUCAUUACAGUCGAAGAUGGUCCCCUGGGCAACAAGUACAACUCAUCACAAACAGUGCUGUCACCUCGGAGACGUGUUUCCAACCAACUGCUGAAAGUCCUGAUGUGUUCACAUGUAAUCCAGUCGUCGCAGUGCUCCGGGUGUUUGGAGCGCAGACUGUUCUUGUGUUCAUCGACAUACGGGGUCACCAAGGUAGAGUUCUGUAGAACUGUGUAGUGUGCUUGAGACCAAGAAUAUCCGUCCUUGCAUAUUAUUGAGUCCCUUUCAAGCGUGCCUUUUCUAGUCAGUGUCCCCUCAUACCGCGAUUUAGGGAGACCUAUCUUCUUAAGGCCAGGAAUGAAGUCAACACAAAACCCGAUGACAUCCUUUGUUUGAUGGCCCAUGGAGAUGCUUCCUUCUAGCCUAGCGCGGUUACGAACAUAUUUCUUUAGUACUCCCAUGAACCUCUCAAAGGGGUACAUAUUGUGUAGAAAUACGGGCCCCAGAAUGACAAUCUCGUCAACUAGAUGAACUAGGACGUGUGUCAUUAUAUUGAAGAAGGAUGGUGGGAACACCAGCUCGAAGCUGACAAGACAUUGCGCCACAUCACUCCUUAGCGUUGGUACGAUUUCUGGAUCGAUAACCUUCUGAGAUAUUGCAUUGAGGAAUGCACAUAGCUUCACAAUGGCUAAUCGGACGUUUUCCGGUAGAAGCCCCCUCAAUGCAACCGGAAGCAGUUGUGUCAUAAUCACGUGGCAGUCAUGAGACUUUAGGUUCUGGAACUUUUUCUCUGGGAUAUUUAUUAUUCCCUUUAUAUUCGACGAGAAGCCAGUCGGGACCUUCAUACUGAGCAGGCAUUGAAAGAAUAUUUCUUUCUCUUCUUUCGUAUGAGCGUAGCUGGCAGGACCUUCAUACUGCUUCGGAGGCAUGCCCUCUUUUUUGUGCAAGCGUUGCAGGUCCUCUCGUGCCUCAGGUGUAUCUUUUGUCUUCCCAUACACGCCCAAGAAGCCUAGCAGGUUCACGCAAAGGUUCUUCGUCACGUGCAUCACGUCGAUCGAAGAGCGGACCUCUAGGUCUUUCCAGUAGGGUAGGUCCCAAAAUAUAGAUUUCUUCUUCCACAUGGGUGCGUGAUUCUCAGCGUCAUUUGGAACAGCUAGUCCGCCGGGACCCUUUCCAAAGAUUACGUGUAAAUCAUUGACCAUAGCAAGUACGUGAUCACCGGUAUGCAUGGCGGGCUUCUUCCGGUGAUUUGCCUCGCCUUUGAAAUGCUUGCCUUUCUUUCGACAUUGAUGGUUGGUCGGAAGAAAUAGACGAUGGCCCAGGUACACAUUCUUCCUGCAGCUUCCCAGGUAUAUACUAUCGGUGUAAAGUAAACAGUGCGUGCAUGCGUGGUAUCCCGUGUUUGUCUAUCCUGAAAGGUUACUGAGAGCGGGCCAAUCGUUGAUGGUCACGAACAGCAACGCCUUUAGGUCAAAUUCCUCCUUUUUGUGCUCAUCCCACGUACGUACACCGUUUCCAUUCCGCAGCUGUAAAAGUUCUUCAACUAAUGGCCUUAGGUACCACAUCAAUGUCGUUGCCGGGUUGCUUAGGGCCUUGGAUGAGAACUGGCAUCAUAAUGAACUUCCGCUUCAUGCACAUCCAAGGAGGAAGGUUAUACAUACAUAGAGUCACAGGCCAGGUGCUGUGAUUGCUGCUCUGCUCCCCGAAAGGAUUAAUGCCAUCCGCGCUUAAAGCAAACCAUACGUUCCUUGGGUCCUUUGCAAACUCAUCCCAGUACUUUCUCUCAAUUUUUCUCCACUGCGACCCGUCAGCGGGUGCUCUCAACUUCCCGUCUUUCUUACGGUCCUCACUGUGCCAUCGCAUCAACUUGGCAUGCUCUCCGUUUCUGAACAGACGUUUCAACCGUGGUAUUAUAGGAGCAUACCACAUCACCUUCGCAGGAACCCUCUUCCUGGGAGGCUCGCCGUCAACAUCACCAGGGUCAUCUCGUCUGAUCUUAUACCACAAUGCACCGCAUACCGGGCAUGCGUUCAGAUCCUUGUAGGCACCAUGGUAGAGGAUGCAGUCAUUAGGGCAUGCAUGUAUCUUCUCCACCUCCAAUCCUAGAGGGCAUACGACCUUCUUUGCUGCGUAUGUACUGUCGGGAAAUUCGUUAUCCUUUGGAAGCUUCUUCUUCAUUAUUUUCAGUAGCUUCUCAAAUCCUUUAUCAGGCACAGCAUUCUCUGCCUUCCACUGCUUUGUGUUGCCAUCUUCGCAAUUGGGGUACAACCCCUUUUUGUGAUCCUCUAACAUGCGAUCGAACUUCAGCUUCUCCUUUUGACUUUCGCAUUGUGUCCUUGCAUCGACAAUGACCCGGCGGAGAUCAUCAUCAUCGGGCACAUCGUCUGGUUCCUCUUGAUCUUCAGCAGCUUCGCCCGUUGCAGCACCAUCGUGCACAUCGUCUGGUGCAUCUUGAUGUUCAGUAGCAUCACCGUAUUCAGGGGGCACAUAGUUGUCAUCGUACUCUUCUUCCUCGCCGUCUUCCAUCAUAACCCCUAUUUCUCCGUGCCUCGUCUAAACAUUAUAGUGUGGCAUGAAACCCUUGUAAAGCAGGUGGGUGUGAAGGAUUUUCCGGUCAGAGUAAGACUUCGUAUUCCCACAUAUAGGGCAUGGACAACACAUAAAACCAUUCUUCUUGUUUGCCUCAGCCACUUCGAGAAAAUCAUGCACGCCCUUAAUGUACUCGGAGGUGUGUCUGUCACCGUACAUCCAUUGCCGGUUCAUCUGCGUGCAUUAUAUAUAAUUAAGUGUGUCAAAAAUCAUUACAGAACAUCAUGAAUAGAUAAUUAAUAGAAGUUCAUCAUCACAUAAAAACCAAAGUACAUACAUAGUUCUCAUCUAACAACAUAAAGCUCUGCAGAGCAUCUAAAUUAAUUAAACCAUACAUUGAAACUAUGUAAAACAUUUCAAUGCAAAAACAAAUGCGAUCAUAAUCGCAACCAAGGUAACAACUGAUCCAACGGCAUAAUGAUACCAAGCCUCGGUAUGAAUGGCAUAUUUUCUAAUCUUUCUCAUCUUCAAGCGCAUUGCAUCCAUCUUGAUCUUGUGAUCAUCGACGACAUCCGCAACAUGCAACUCCAAUAUCAUCUUCUCCUCCUUAAGUUUUUUUAUUUUUUCCUUCAAGAAAUUGUUUUCUUCUUCAACUAAAUUUAACCUCUCGACAAUAGGGUCGGUUGGAAUUUCCGGUUCAGCAACCUCCUAGAUAAAUAAAAUCUAUGUCACGUUGGUCGGCAUAAUUUUCAUAAACAAUAAACGAACCAAUAGUUAUGGAAAGAUAAUAUAUACCACAUCCGAAUCAUAGACAGGACGAGGGCCGACGGGGGCGGAUACCAAAACCAUCACACUAUAUAAGAUGCAAUAAUAAAAGUAAGAAAAUAAUACAAGUAAGAAUAUUUUUCCUUUCAGAAAGAAGAUAAGAACAAGAGGCUCGCCAUGGUGGUGCUGGCGAUGAGAUCGGCGCGGGUGAUCGACGGCGGUGAAGAUGGGGAUGGGGCGUGAUGGACCGCUAAACCUAGACAAAUAUUGAGGAAAAUAGAGGUUGGAGGUCGAGCUUGGAGAGGAGAAAGCUUAAGUAGUGUGGCUCGGGCAUUUCAUCGAACACCUCAUGUGCUAUGGAGGUGAGCUAGAGCACCACAAAGCCCCCCCUCGCCGGCAAGAGAAAAACAGAGCACUGGAGUGCUCUGCUCGCGAGCGAGGGGGUAUAUAUAGGCAGCACUAUUGGUCCCAGUUCGUGGCAUGAACCGGGACUAACGGGUAGCCAUUGGUCCCGGUUCAUGCCACCAACCGGGACCAAUAGUGGUGGGCCAGGAGCCAGGCACAUUGGUCCCGGUUCGUCCCACCAACCGGGACCAAAAGGUCCGGACGAACCGGGACCAAUGGCCCACAUGGCCCGGCCGGCCCCCUGGGCUCACGAACCGGGACCAAUGGCCCACGUGGCCCGGCCGGCCCCCUGGGCUCACGAACCGAGGAAAAUAGCUCCAUUGGUCCCGGUUCUGGAUUGAACCGGGACUAAUGGGCUGAACUGGCCUGGGCCAUUGCCCCCUUUUCUACUAGUGUAAGUGUUCCACAUUGGAUGGAAGAGCAGCCGGAGCAGGAGUUGGCUGGCUCAGCUCCUAUAGCAUCUCAUUGGGAGGAAUCCACUUGAAUAUCGCCUGGACCUAAGGAAGCGUGUGCGACAUCCACAACUCCUUAGCGUUGUGGCAUGUUGGAGGUAGUGGCAGAGGUAGCACUGCUAGGAAAACCCCUAUAGGCGACCACUUAGUGGUGGUGCGGGUUAGUAAGGCAGCGCUACUGCCACUUAGUAGUGGUGCGGGUAAAAACAGUGCGCUAGAGGUAGAGAAUAGUAGCAGCGCGGGCACAGACAGACGACGCUACUACUAAGUGCUCAUCACCGUGCCCCAGCACAAGUCAGUAGGGUGGGCUGUUGAAGACCCACAAGUAUAGGGAAUCAAUCUUAUUUCUUUCCAUAAGUAAGAGUGUCGAACUCAACAACGUGCACAAGGAAUCAAUAAGUGGUUUCCAGCAAGGUAUUCUCUGCAAGUGAUGUAAAAUAGUGGUGAUAGAUAGUUUGAUAGCAAGAUAAUUUGUAGCCGCUAAUAAGUAACGAUAGUAACAUGGUGCAGCAAGGUGGCCUAAUCCUUUUUAUAUGGACAAUCCGGAAUGGUUUCUUAUAGUGAGCAAACCAUUCUAGAGGACACAUGCGAAUGAUGUCUAGUUAACUUCAUCAAGAUUCAGACUUGCAUUCACUGUUUUGAUAAGUUAUUAUGUGGGUAGACUGGUGGUAGUGUGUUGUUCUUACUUGAACAACCCACUUAUGAUUACCUCCAUCGCAAGCACAUCCGCAAUUAUGUAAAAAGAAUUCAGACAAAUCUGACAUAGAAUGAAACAUAUGGAUCCAAAUCGGCCACUUACGGAAUAACGCAUAAACUAGGGUUUAAAAUCAUGUCACUCUCGUAACAUAUCAUCUACUUACUAAUCCCCCAAUGCCUUCCCCUAUGCCCAAACAUGGUAAUGUGUCAUGUAGUCGAUAUUCAGACGCCAUCACACUAGUAGAAACUAGGGCUUUCAUCAUAGCCGGAUCGGAGCAAUAGUCCCGGUUGCAUUACAAACCGGGACUAAUGUGAGCAUUAGUCCCGGUUCGAGCGGCUAGGGCGUCGUCAAGACAUUAGUCCCGGUUCAAAUGGGACCUUUAGUCCCGGUUGGAGACACGAACCGGGACUAAAGGGUGCGAUGCUCUUUAGUCCCGGUUUGUGACUAAAGAUUAGACCUUUAGUCCCGGUUUGAGACACGAACCGGGACUAAAGGGUGCGAUGCCCUUUAGUCCCGGUUCGUGUUCGUGUUACAAACGGUUCUGAAAUUUGUUUUUUGUUUUUCUAUUUGUUUUUUGUUCUUAGUUUCUGUUUCAAAUUGCUUAUAACUUUUAGGAUAUUUGAUGUUUUUGAGUGAUUCUUUUUUGCAUUAGAUUCAAAAAUUUGUCUGGUAUCUGUUUGUGCCAUUAGUUUUCAAAUUCGAAUGAUUCAAAUAUGAAUUUGUUCAAAUUUUCUUCAAACAGUAGAUUGUGAAUAAUUUGAGUUUAAAAAUAGUUUUUAAUUUAACUAUUUUUGCUCCUAGUCACACGUCAGAUUAUUGUCACAGUAAGAUUAAUUUUCUUCUUUUUAUAAUAAUAUAAAUUAGGAUUUUAAUUGAAACAAUACUGCUUUACUUAUAUAGUUUUUUUGGUCCUUUAAUUGUUGUUUUCAAUUAUUUUUAUUUAGUUCUUUCUGUACAUUUUAUCAUGUUGUAGGAGGCUUCUGAUAGACAAUAGUAGACAAAAUUUUAUAAUUAAUUAAUAUUAAUUUUGCUACUAUUUUGUAUUAAUAGUUAUUUAGCCUAUAAUAAUAGUUGAUAGAAUUAGUUUUGUUAUAUUAAAAAGUAAUUAUGUUUGCCACUUUAAUAGAACGUGACUCUGGCUUGAUAACCUUAGUUUUGACUCUUGUUGGGACGGUGCUAGCAGAUGUAGUCAAUGGUAAGAUUGGAUGGACACCAUCCCGGACUAAAGGGGUUCAACCCCCUGUGUAUCACUAUUUCAGUUUUGAAAAAACCAAAAAAAUGAUAAAAACAUCAAAAAUUAAAAUCCUUCGAGAUGUAGUUAUGUUACUACAUCUACUAGUUAAGAAAAUUAAGAAACAUAAGUUUAGACAUGUUUUAAAAAAAAGUGUGACGAAAAAGUAAAAUGACUAUAUCUUUUGCAUACGAUGUCGGAAAAAAGUAUAAUAUAUCAAAAUGUUCAGCACGAAAAUUCGCAACCGAUUUUGACAGCCGUGGGCGGUUUUGCAAUUUUUUAGAAUCCUCAAAUUCUAAAAGGAAAAAAAUUAUGCUCAAAUUUCAGUAUUUUUGAAUUUUGGUUAAAUCUGAUCAAAUUGUGGUCAAACUACAUAUUCAAGAAAUAUUAGUGUUACUAAAUAAUUAUUCAAGAAUAUUAGUAUUACUAAAUAAUUAUUUCAGUUUUCUGAAUUUUGGUCAAACUAUGGUCAAACUACUUAUUCAUGAAAUAUUAGUGUUACUAAAUAAUUAUUGGUUUUAAGAAUAAUAGUUUCAAACUCAAACGGUGUAGCGCGUGACUUCAUGCUCAACUUUAACUCCUAAGGAUUAAUAGGAUUGACAGCUUACUAUUGUGAGGAAAACAACAAUUGCAGACUUGGAAACAAGGGGGAAUAGAACUCGAAAGUUAAGCGUGCUUAGGCUGGAGUAGUGCGAUGAGGGUUACCGACAGGGAAGUUAGACGAUUUGAAAUCUUUAGGGGGUGAUUAGAGAUUAGAGAUUAAAUUGAGUAGUGAUAAGGGUGAUUAGAGAUUAAAUACAAAUAAUUCAGAAAUUUGAAAAUCAAGAAAAAAAGUUCAAUGUUUUUUUCUAAAAAAAUCAUACAAAUUCCUUUAGUCCCGGUUGGUGCUCCAGACAACGGCCACGUGGAGGGCCUUUAGUCCCGGUUCGUAACACAACCGGCACUAAAGGGGGGGGGGGCUUUAGUAGUGACCCUUUAGUCCAGGUUCCAGAACUAGGACUAAAGGCCCUCUGGAACCGGGACUAAAGGCCCUUUUUUUACUAGUGUCACAAUAAGAGGGACAUCAUAACACAUCAUCAUAACAUUGAAGAAAACCAACUUGACAUAAUUAAUUACUAGUAAACAUGCCCGUGCGUUGCAACGGGAGAUAAAAAAAAAUAGCACACAUCCCCUAGCCUGAUAAGAAUGGCUCAAGACCCUCAUUGUGAAGGAAAUAUGCUCUAGAGGCAAUAAUAAAGUUAUUAUUUAUUUCCUUAUUUCAUGAUAAAUGUUUAUUAUUCAUGCUAGAAUUGUAUUAAUCGGAAACAUAAUACAUGUGUGAAUAUAUAGACAAACAGAGUGUCACUAGUAUGCGUCUACUUGACUAGCUUGUUAAUCAAAGAUGGUUAUGUUUCCUAACCAUGGACAAAAGAGUUGUUAUUUGAUUAACGAGAUCACAUCAUUAGUUGAAUGAUCUGAUUGACAUGACUCAUUCCAUUAGCUUAGCACCCGAUCGUUUAGUAUGUUGCUAUUGCUUUCUUCAUGACUUAUACAUAUUCCUAUGACUAUGAGAUUAUGCAACUCCCGUUUACUGGAGGAACACUUUGUGUGCUACCAAACGUCACAACGUAACUGGGUGAUUAUAAAGGUGCUCUACAGGUGUCUCCAAAGGUACUUGUUGGGUUGGCGUAUUUCGAGAUUAGGAUUUGUCACUCUGAAUGUCGGAGAGGUAUCUCUGGGCCCUCUCGGUAAUGCACAUCACAUAAGCCUUGCAAGCAAUGCAACUAAUGAGUUAGUUGCGAGAUGAUGUAUUACGGAACGAGUAAAGAGACUUGCCGGUAACGAGAUUGAACUAGGUAUUGGAUACCGACGAUCGUAUCUCGGGCAAGUAACAUACCGAUGACAAAGGGAACAACGUAUGUUGUUAUGCGGUCUGACCGAUAAAGAUCUUCGUAGAAUAUGUAGGAACCAAUAUGGGCAUCCAGGUCCCGCUAUUGAUUAUUGACCGGAGACGUGUCUCGGUCAUGUCUACAUUGUUCACGAACCGUAGGGUCCGCACGCUUAAGGUUUCGAUGACAGUUUUAUUAUGAGUUUAUGAGUUUUGAUGUACCGAAGGAGUUCGGAGUCCCGGAUGAGAUCGGGGACAUGACGAGGAGUCUCGAAAUGGGCGAGAUGUAAAGAUCGAUAUAUUGGACGACUAUAUUCGGAGUUCGGAAAGGUUCCGAGUGAUUCGGUUAUUUUUCGGAGUACCGAAGAGUUACGGGAAUUCGUAUUGGGCCUCUUUGGGCCAUACGGGAAAGGAGAGAAAGGGCCAAAAGGGUGGCCGCACCCCUCCCCUUGGACUAGUCCGAAUUGGACUAGGGAGGGGGGGCGCCCCCUUCCUUCCUUCUCCUUCUCUCUUCCCUUUCCUUUUCUCCUACUCCUACUACAUGGAAGGGUUCCUAGUUGGACUAGGAAAGGGGGAAUCCUACUCCCGGCGGGAGUAGGACUCCCCUAGGGCGCGCCAUAGAGAGGGCCGGCCCUCCCCUCCUCCACUCCUUUAUAUACGGGGCCAGGGGGCACCCCAUCGACACACAAGUUGAUCUUCGUGAUCGUUCCUUAGCCGUGUGCGGUGCCCCCCCUCCACGAUAUUACACCUCGGUCAUAUUGUAGCGGUGCUUAGGCAAAGCCCUGCGACAGUUGAACAUCAAGAUCGUCACCACGCCGUCAUGCUAGCGGAACUCCUCCCCGAAGCUUUGUUGGAUCGGAGCUCGGGGUGCGUCAUCGAGCUGUACGUGUGUCAAGAACUCGGAGGUGCCGGAGUAACGAUGCUUGGAUCGGUUGGACCGGGAAGACGUACGACUACUUCCUCUACGUUGCGUCAACGCUUCCGCUAUGGUCUACGAGGGUACGUGGACAACACUCUCCCCUCUCGUUGCUAUGCAUCACCAUGAUCUUGCGUGUGCGUAGGAUUUUUUUUUUUGAAAUUACUACGUUCCCCAACAGUGGCAUCCGAGCCUAGGUUUUAUGGUUUGAUGUUAUAUGCAUGAGUAGAACACAAAUGAGUUGUGGGCGAUAUAAGUCAUACUGCUUACCAGCAUGUCAUACUUUGGUUCGGCGGUAUUGUUGGAUGAAGCGGCCCGAACCGACAUUACGCGUACGCUUACGCGAGACUGGUUCUACCGCCGUGCUUUGCACACAGGUGGCUAGCGGGUGUCAGUUUCUCCAACUUUAGUUGAACCGAGUGUGGCUACGCCCGGUCCUUGCGAAGGUUAAAACAACACCAACUUGACAAACUAUCGUUGUGGUUUUGAUGCGUAGGUAAGAACGGUUCUUGCUCAGCCCGUAGCAGCCACGUAAAACUUGCAACAACAAAGUAGAGGACGUCUAACUUGUUUUCGCAGGGCAUGUUGUGAUGUGAUAUGGUCAAGACGUGAUGAGAUAUAAGUUGUUGUAUGAGAUGAUCAUGUUUUGUUGAAGUUAUCGGCAACUGGCAGAAGCCUUAUGGUUGUCUCUUUAUUGCAUAAGAUGCAAGCGCUAAAUAAUUGCUUUACUUUAUCGCUAUGCGAUAGCAAUAGUUGCAAGAGCAAUAGUUGGCCAGACGACCAUGUGACGACACAUUGAUAUAGAUCAAGAUGAUGGAGAUCAUGGUGUCAUGCCGGUGAUGAUGGAAAUCAUGACGAUGCUCUGGAGAUGGAGAUCACAAGCACAAGAUGAUGAUGGCCAUAUCAUAUCACUUAUAUUGAUUGCAUAUGAUGUUUAUCUGUUAUACAUCUUAUUCUGUUUUGUUUGACGGUAGCAUUAUAAGAUGAUCUCUCACUAAUUAUCAAGAAGUGUUCUCCCUGAGUAUGCACCGUUGCCAAAGUUCGUCGUGCCCAGACACCACGUGAUGAUCGGGUGUGAUAAGCUCUACGUCCAUCUACAACGGGCGCAAGCCAGUUUUGCACACGCGGAAUACUCAGGUUAAACUUGACAAGCCUAGCAUAUGCAGAUAUGGCCUCGGAAGACGGAGACCGAAAGGUCGAGCGUGAAUCAUAUAGUAGAUAUGAUCAACAUAAUGAUGUUCACCAUUGAAAGCUACUCCAUUUCAGGUGAUGAUCGGUUAUGUUUUAGUGUAUUUGGAUCACGUGAUCACUUAGAGGAUUAGAGGGAUGUCUUUCUAAGUGGGAGUUCUUAAGUAAUAUGAUUAAUUGAACUUAAAUUUAUCAUGAACUUAGUCCUGGUAGUAUUUUGCAAAUUAUGUUGUAGAUCAAUAGCUUGCGUUGUUGCUCUCAUAUGUUUAUUUUGAUAUGUUCCUAGAGAAAAUUUAGUUGAAAAAUGUUAGUAGCAAUGAUGCGGAUUGGAUCCGUGAUCUGAGGUUUAUCCUCAUUGCUGCGCAGAAGAAUUAUGUCCUUGAUGCACCGCUAGGUGACAGACCUAUUGCAGGAGCAGAUGCAGACGUUAUGAACGUUUGGCUAGCUCAAUAUGAUGACUACUUGAUAGUUUUGUGCACCAUACUUUAUGGCUUAGAAUCGGGACUUCAAAGAUGUUUUGAACAUCAUGGACCAUAUGAGAUGUUCCAGGAAUUGAAGUUAAUAUUUCAAGCAAAUACCCGAGUUGAGAGAUAUGAAGUCUCCAACAAGUCUAUAGCUAAAAGAUGGAGGAGAAUCGCUCAAUAAGUGAGCAUGUGCUCAGAUUGUCUGGAUAAUACAAUCGCUUGAAUCAAGUGGGAGUUAAUCUUCCAGAUAACAUAGUAAUUGACAGAAUCCUCUAGUCACCAUCACCAAGUUAGUAGAACUUCAUGAUGAACUAUAGUAUGCAAGGGAUGAUGAAAAUGAUUCCCGAGUUUUUCAUGAUAAUGAAAUCGAUGAAGGUAGAAAUCAAGAAAGAACAUCAAGUGUUGAUGGUUGACAAGACCACUAGUUUCAAGAAAAGCGCAAAGGGAUAGAAAGGAACUUCAAGAAGAACGGCAAGCAAGUUGCUGCUCAAGUGAAGAAGCCCAAGUCUGGACCUAAGCCUGAGACUAAGUGCUUCUACUGCAAAGGGACUGGUCACUGGAAGAAGAACUACCCCAAGUAUUUGGCAGAUAAGAAGGAUGGCAAAGUGAACAAAGGUAUAUUAGAUAUACAUGUUAUUGAUGUGUACUUUACUAGUGUUUAUAGCAACCCCUCGGUACUUGGUACUGGUUCAGUUGCUAAGAGUAGUAACUCGAAACAGGAGUUGCAGAAUAAACAGAAACUAGUUAAGGAUGAAGUGACGAUGUGUGUUGAAAGUAGUUUCAAGAUUGAUAUGAUCAUCAUCGCACACUCCCUAUACUUUCGGGAUUAGUGUUGAACCUAAAUAAAUGUUAUUUGGUGUUUGCGUUGAGGAUGAAUAUGAUUUGAUCGUGUUUAUUGCAAUACGGUUAUUCAUUUAAGUAAGAGAAUAAACUGUUGUUCUGUUUACAUGAACAAAACCUUAUAUGGUUACACACCCAAUGAAAAUGGUUCAUUGGACCUCGAUCAUAGUGAUACACAUAUUCAUAAUAUUGAAACCAAAAGAUGCAAAGUUAAUAAUGAUAGUGCAACUUAUUUGUGGCACUGCCGUUUAGGUCAUAUUGGUGUAAAGCGCAUGAAGAAACUCCAUGCUGAUGGGAUUUUGGAAUCACUUGAUUAUGAAUCAUUUGAUGCUUGCGAACCGUGCCUUUUGGGCAAGAUGACUAAAACUCCGUUCUUCGGAACAAUGGAACGAGCAACAAACUUGUUGGAAAUAAUACAUACUGAUGUAUGCAGACCAAUGAGUAAUAAGGCUCGUGGCGAGUAUCGUUAUUUUCUGACCUUCACAGAUGAUUUAAGCAGAUAUGGGUAUAUCUACUUGAUGAAACAUAAGUCUGAAAUAGUUGAAAGGUUCAAAGAAUUUCAGAGUGAAGUGGAAAAUCAUCGUAACAAGAAAAUAAAGUUUCUGCGAUCUGAUCAUGGAGAUGAAUAUUUGAGUUACGAGUUUGGUCUUCAAUUAAAACAAUGUGGAAUAGUUUCACAGCUCACGCCACCUGGAACACCACAACGUUAUGGUGUGUCCGAACGUCGUAACCACACUUUAUUGGAUAUGGUGCGAUCUAUGAUGUCACUUAUUGAUUUACCAUUGUCGUUUUGGGGUUAUGCAUUAGAGACAGCUGCAUUCACGUUAAAAGGGCACCAUCUAAAUCCGUUGAGACGACACCAUAUGAACUGUGGUUUAGCAAGAAACCCAAGUUGUCGUUUCUUAAAGUUUGGGGCUGUGAUGCUUAUGUGAAAAAGGUUUCAUCCUGAUAAGCUCAAACCCAAAUCGGAGAAGUGCGUCUUCAUAGAAUACCCAAAGGAAACUGUUGGGUACACCUUCUAUCACAGAUCCGAAGGCAAGAUAUUCGUUGCUAAAAAUGGAUCCUUUCUAGAGAAGGAGUUUUAUCUCGAAAGAAGUGAGUGGGAGGAAAGUAGAACUUGAUAAGGUAAUUGUACCUUCUCCCUUAUUGGAAAGUAGUUCAUCACAGAAAUCUGUUCCUGUGACUACUACACCAAUUAGUGAGGAAGAUAAUGAUGAUGAUCAUGUAACUUCAGAUCAAGUUACUGCCGAACCUCGUAGGUCAACCAGAGUGAGAACCGCACCAGCGAUCCAUCUAUGGACUGGUGCAAGCAUCUCGGAGUGGGAAUAUACGCUUUGAUAAGUUGAUCCAAGCAUAUAGUUUUAUACAGACUUGUAGUGAAGCCUGUAUUUACAAGAAAGUGAGUGGGAGCACUACAACAUUUCUGAUAAGUAUAUGUGAAUGACAUAUUGUUGAUCGGAAAUAAUGUAGAAUUAUUCUGCAAAGUAUAAAGGAGUGUUUGAAAGGAGUUUUUUCAAAGAAAGACCUUGGUGAAGCUGCUUACAUAUUGAGCAUCAAGAUCUAUAGAGAUAGAUCAAGACGCUUGAUAAGUUUUUUCAAUGAGUAAAUACCUUGACAAGAUUUUGAAGUAGUUCAAAAUGGAACAGUCAAAGAAAGAGUUCUUUCCUGUGUUACAAGGUGUGCAAUUGAGUAAGACUCAAAGCCCGACCACGGCAGAAGAUAGAAAGAGAAUGAAAGUCAUUCCCUAUGCCUCAGCCAUAGGUUCUAUAAAGUAUGCCAUGUUGUAUACCAGAUCUAUUGUAUACCCCACCACUGAGUUUGACAAGGGAGUAUGGUAGUGAUCUAGGAGUAGAUCACUCGACAGCGGUCAAAAUUAUCCUUAGUGGUAUAAGGAUAUGUUUCUCGAUUAUGGAAGUGACAAAAGGUUCGUCAUAAAGGGUUACGUCGAUGAAAGUUUUGCCACUAAUCCAGAUGACUCUAAGUCUCAAUCUGGAUACAUAUUGAAAGUGGGAGCAAUUAGCUAAAGUAGCUCCAUGCAGAGCAUUGUGGACAUAGAAUAUUUUGCAAAAUACUUACGGCUCUGAAUGUGACAGAUCCGUUGACUAAACUUCUCUCACAAGCAAAACAUGAUCAUACCUUAGUACUCUUUGGGUGUUAAUCACAUAGCGAUGUGAACUAGAUUAUUGACUCUAGUAAACCCUUUGGGUGUUGAUCACAUGAUGAUGUGAACUAUGGGUAUUAAUCACAUGCAGAUGUGAAUAUUGAUGUUAAAUCACAUGGCGAUGUGAACUAGAUUAUUGACUCUAGUGCAAGUGGGAGACUGAAGGAAAUAUGCUCUAGAGGCAAUAAUAAAGUUAUUAUUUAUUUCCUUAUUUCAUGAUAAAUGUUUAUUAUUCAUGCUAGCAUUGUAUUAACCGGAAACAUAAUACAUGUGCGAAUAUAUAGACAAACAGAGUGUCACUAGUAUGCCUCUACUUGACUACCUUGUUAAUCAAAGAUGGUUAUGUUUCCUAACCAUGGACAAAAGAGUUGUUAUUUGAUUAACGGGAUCACAUCAUUAGUUGAAUGAUCUGAUUGACAUGACUCAUUCCAUUAGCUUAGCACCCGAUCGUUUAGUAUGUUGCUAUUGCUUUCUUCAUGACUUAUACAUAUUCCUAUGACUAUGAGAUUAUGCAACUCCCGUUUACUGGAGGAACACUUUGUGUGCUACCAAACGUCACAACGUAACUGGGUGAUUAUAAAGGUGCUCUACAGGUGUCUCCAAAGGUACUUGUUGGGUUGGCGUAUUUCGAGAUUAGGAUUUGUCACUCUGAAUGUCGGAGAGGUAUCUCUGGGCCCUCUCGGUAAUGCACAUCACAUAAGCCUUGCAAGCAAUGCAACUAAUGAGUUAGUUGCGAGAUGAUGUAUUAUGGAACGAGUAAAGAGACUUGCCGGUAACGAGAUUGAACUAGGUAUUGGAUACCGACGAUCGUAUCUCGGGCAAGUAACAUACCGAUGACAAAGGGAACAACGUAUGUUGUUAUGCGGUCUGACCGAUAAAGAUCUUCGUAGAAUAUGUAGGAACCAAUAUGGGCAUCCAGGUCCCGCUAUUGAUUAUUGACCGGAGACGUGUCUCGGUCAUGUCUACAUUGUUCACGAACCGUAGGGUCCGCACGCUUAAGGUUUCGAUGACAGUUUUAUUAUGAGUUUAUGAGUUUUGAUGUACCGAAGGAGUUCGGAGUCCCGGAUGAGAUCGGGGACAUGACGAGGAGUCUCGAAAUGGUCGAGAUGUAAAGAUCGAUAUAUUGGACGACUAUAUUCGGAGUUCGGAAAGGUUCCGAGUGAUUCGGGUAUUUUUCGGAGUACCGAAGAGUUACGGGAAUUCGUAUUGGGCCUCUUUGGGCCAUACGGGAAAGGAGAGAAAGGGCCAAAAGGGUGGCCGCACCCCUCCCCUUGGACUAGUCCGAAUUGGACUAGGGAGGGGGGGCGCCCCCUUCCUUCCUUCUCCUUCUCUCUUCCCUUUCCUUCUCUCCUACUCCUACUACAUGGAAGGGUUCCUAGUUGGACUAGGAAAGGGGGAAUCCUACUCCCGGCGGGAGUAGGACUCCCCUAGGGCGCGCCAUAGAGAGGGCCGGCCCUCCCCUCCUCCACUCCUUUAUAUACGGGGGCAGGGGGCACCCCAUCGACACACAAGUUGAUCUUCGUGAUCGUUCCUUAGCCGUGUGCGGUGCCCCCCCUCCACGAUAUUACACCUCGGUCAUAUUGUAGCGGUGCUUAGGCGAAGCACUGCGACAGUUGAACAUCAAGAUCGUCACCACGCCGUCGUGCUGACGGAACUCCUCCCCGAAGCUUUGCUGGAUCGGAGCUCGGGGUGCGUCAUCGAGCUGUACGUGUGUCAAGAACUCAGAGGUGCCGGAGUAACAGUGCUUGGAUCGGUUGGACCGGGAAGACGUACGACUACUUCCUCUACGUUGCGUCAACGCUUCCGCUACGGUCUACGAGGGUACGUGGACAACACUCUCCCCUCUCGUUGCUAUGCAUCACCAUGAUCUUGCGUGUGCGUAGAAUUUUUUAUUUUGAAAUUACUACGUUCCCCAACACAUUGAUCCACACCCUCUACUUCAACACACCAUCCCAUCUGCGGUGAUUGGACAUGAGCAUGGAGGCUAAAUAUAAAGUUUGCUACAUAUAUGGUUCAUAGAUAGAUUAAUACAGACAACAUCAUGAUGGAAUAGUUGGAGUUAAAUCUACAAAUUUUAGCGUAUAAUUUUUUUUGUUGCUCUUCAAUCGUCUAUCAGUGCACCUUUUCCCAGACGUUCCUUGGAUAAGUUUUGCAAAAAGGAAAAAGAGUGUUCCUUUGGUAAGCCGGCACAAACCUGCAGAGCACGUCAGGUGAUCGCUCAUCAGCACAAAAGGCCAUUUCCCAUUUUUGACGUCGGAUGGAAGCUCGCGCAGCCAGUCGAUGUGUCAGCUAAGGAUGUGCUGCUCGUGAGUGCUUAUUGUUGCGGCUCCAUCUAUUUGGUGAAUACAAAUCUCCAGCUACUCUCAUUGUCUACCACCCAUGCUUCUGCGAUGAUGUGCAUAUUGAGCUGUAUAUAUACAGGAAAAAUAAUAGUUAGAUAAAUUUUUAGGUUUUUUUUAGAAUUGGAGGAGGACCCCCGGCCUCUGCAUCUAGACGAUGCAUGCAGCCAUUUUAUUAAUUAUUCACACAAGUUCUUACAAAAUCAUACAACAGUAAGACUAAAGCCAGCGUCUAGACAACAUCUGUCGCUACUCCUAUCCAGUUGAUGUAGGGAUGCUGAUAAUCUGGGCCUAAUACCAAACAUCUAAGACCCGAGGUCCCAACCAGGACGCCUGCCGGGUAUGGGGCAUCCACCAGUCCGGCACACUCCUCAACCAGGACGCCUGCCGGGUAUGAGGCCGCCGCAGUCACCUGCCACCAAUCCAUUUUCAGUGAUGUACUGCUGCAUCUAUCUUGCCCGGUCUAGCUGUCGUCGACGCCACCACGACGCCAGACAACGCCACCAUCCUGCGCUCGUCCAUCAUCACACGCCCACCGGCGAGCACCGCUGGUCCAUGCCGCGGAGACCCGCCGUCGUCUAAGAAAGAGAAGGCACGCCACACCACCUCACGGCUCUUUCAUCCGGCGCCGCUCCACAAACGAUGCCCCCAAUAGGGAACACAACACCGCAACGCCGCCAUCAUCCGAUCCAGAGAACUUCGGAUUUCUCCCGAAGUGGCACGAGCAGGUUGACGAUAGUUGCUUGACGAUGCCUUCAUCAAGGUAACGACAUUGACGCCGCCACCGCCCGACAUGACAGGAGUCGGCGCGGUUUUCACUGGCGACUAUGUCUUCUCUACUCGCCGCCGGUGCUAAUAGUGGGAUCCAAGAUCCGUCCCUACUAGCCUGGCCAACCACCUUCGGUGGAGAAGGCAUCCGACUUUUAGGUACCAGCAGAAGCAGAUUGAAUAUCACUAAUUCGUUAUAGAGAAGAGCAUAAUAUUUUCCAAGCUCAGCAGCGUCCCGCAAAAGAAAAGCACAUAAUAAGGAAGGUAUCAAGCCAAGGUCAUAGCAUUACAUCUUGCCAUGGCCAAGAAGGGCAUUACCUAUGAAGAACACUGACGUAAAAGACGCGAACAAAGAAUGCAGACAUCACAACCGGUACAAUUAUCUAAAUUUGGUCUUCACAACUAUAAAAAAAGGAUAAAUGUAGACCGUCAUUUCAAAUCCAAGAUAAUAUCAUCUAGGUUAAGAAAACUCGAAUCACAACAUAGUUCACUGAAAUGGAUUGUCAAAAUAGCUUGGAAUUACUAUGCUUCGUGUUAUUUAGUAUGCUUGUUCAUCUUCCCAUGGAGUGUCCAUUGAUUCAGCUAGCUCGUGAUUGUUUUUAGUCCAUGAUAGCAAAAAUUUUGUACAUGCUUCACACAUGUAAAAACAAUGCAGGGUACUGCAUUUUUGUGUCUGAAUCAUGUGCACAGCUCAUGACAACAUAACUAAAGAUAUACUAAAUGCUUUCUAGUUAACUCGUCAAAUGACUAAUCAGUAUGGCUAAGCCCUCACUACAUAUGUAGGUAAGAACAAAAUAUCUCGGCUUAUUUUUGUGUACCAAUUCAGAUCUCACAAAAUUAGUUGAGUACGGAAAAUAUAACAGAAGGGAUAACAGGAAGAAGCUAUUAUCAACCAUGGAUAAUAUAUACAGCUCAUUAAUGGGUAGUGCGUACAAUGCGCACAAUUUCUGUUGAAGUAAUAGAAGUGGUGAAACACCUCAAGUAGGUUCAACCCAGAUUACUUACACAUGCAAUGCACUUGCCAUCAAUCUGGCUUACAAAAUUGGUUCACAGGAGACGGAGAUAUUAAUACGGGCAUGGCACCGUAGAUUGUUGAUGCCAAUAAAACUUAACCGGUUAAGGAGUUGAGCAAUGAGAUAUUUACUGGAAUGGUUGAUUAUGUUCAGUGUUGUUCUAGAGAGGCUCGAAAAGAAAAAGAGUCUACAAUCCCACGAAAAGUGCAUCAAGGCAAAGAUGGAAAAAUACGUGAGUUUUGUGGACCUAGGAUUGCUAAAGUUUUAUAGCGACACAUUUUAUCUGUUGUGCAGCUGAGACAGAGAGAUAAUUCACAUAAUGCAUGCGACAAACAAAAACUAUUGUGUUGAGGCAAAAAUACGGUGCAAGAGGUGCACCAAAUAUGCGACAGAAGACCAUGUGGCAACAACCAUGAGGAACCGGAGCCUGCGGAGGUAAACCCGACGUUCCGCACGCCUCCUGAUUUUAUGAGAAUCGGCCUCAUUGCUCUCAGUUUGCAUGGAAAUACCACGUUAGAUGCAAAUUAAGAUGGUGCUUUGGAGUCCACGUCCAAAUAGAAGACAAGAGAUAGAAUUCCUUUUGAGUUGUGCUAGCUAGAUAAGUAGGAGUACGUUAGUUGGUUUCUGUUAGGAUUUAGCCAUUAAAAUAAUAUGAUUCCUUUUAGAGUCCAGAUCGUUAUUACUUUCUGUUUAAGCGUACGAGAGUCAAGGCAUAUAAGUGGGAGGCUUCGGCCAAUGUAAGGGAGUUUUUUAAGUUUGAUUGGAGUUAUGAAAUAUACAGAAAAACGUCCGAGUCGUAGACGACCAUAUCGUGUGUAUUAUCUGUGAUUUUUCGUUCGAGGAAAUUUACUAGAGACGGACGGUUGAUCAUCACAUCGACGCCUACGUGCUGAUCUGAGGGGUCAUUAUUUUUUGUUCGUGUACUUUCAUACGCGGGUGAGAAUUAUUCUUGGAGGUUGCGAGAAGGAAUUGUUGAUCGAGCAUCGUUGUGAAAGAUCGGGUCAUCCAAGGCCCUAAGCAUCCCGGCAACGACAUUGAUGUGUACCUAAGGCCAUUAGUUGAACUAUUACAGUUGUGAAAUGGAAAAUGUGUACGUCCGUGGGAUGAGCAAAAACCGGAAGAAUUUGACCUAAAGGCGUUGCUGUUCGUGACCAUCAAUGAUUGGCCUGCUCUCAGUAACCUUUCAGGACAGACAAACAAGGGAUACCGCGGAUGCACGCACUGUUUGGAUGAUACCGACAAUAUAUAUUUGGAUAGUUGUAGAAAGAAUGUGUACCUAGGACAUCGUCGAUAUCUUCCGAGCAGGCAUCCCGUAAGAAAGAAAGGCAAGCAUUUCAAAGUUAAGGCGGGUCACCGGUCGAAGCCUCGCCAUCGUACUGGUGCUGAUGUACAUGAUAUGGUCAAUAAUUUGAAGGUAAUCUUUGGAAAGGGUCCUGGCGGACAACCUGUUCCGAAGGACGCUUACGGACGCGCACCCAUGUGGAAAAAGAAAUCUCAAUUUUGGGACCUGCCCUAUUGGAAAGACCUAGAGGUCCGCUCCGCAAUCGACGUGAUGCACGUGACGAAGAAUCUUUGCGUGACCCUGCUUGGCUUCUUGGGCGUGUAUGAAAGACAAAAGAUACACCGGAGGCACGGGAGGACCAGCAACGUAUGCAUGGAAAAGACGACAUACAUCAGGGUCAUGCCAGCUACGCUCUUACCAAAGAAGAGAAGGAAAUCUUCUUUGAAUGCCAGCUCAGUAUGAAGGUACCGUCUGGCUUCUCCUCGAAUAUAAAGGGAAUAAUAAAUAUGGCCGAGAAAAAGUUUCAGAACCUAAAGUCUCAUGACUGCCAUGUGAUUAUGACGCAACUGCUUUCCAUUGCAUUGAGGGGGUUUUUACCGGAAAACGUUUGAUUAGCCAUUGUGAAGCUAUGUGCAUUCCUCAAUGCAAUCUCUCAGAAGGUAAUCGACCCUGAAAUCAUACCAAGGUUACAGAAUGAUUUGGUGCAAUGUCUAGUCAGUUUCGAGUUGGUGUUCGCACUAUUCUUCUUCAACAUCAUGAUGCACGUCCUAGUUCACCUUUGCGAAGAGAUUAACAUUUUGGGUCCUGUAUUUCUACACAAUAUGUUCCCCUUUCAGAGGUUCAUGGGAGUCUUGAAGAAAUAUGUUCAUAACCGUGCUAGGCCAGAAGGAAGCAUCUUGAAGGUCUAUGAAAAUUAGGAGGUCAUUGAAUUUUGUAUUGACUUUAUUCCUAACCUUAAGCCGAUUGGUGUUCCUGAAUCGCGGCAUAAGGGCAGACUGGAUGGAAAAGGCACGCUAGGAGGGGAUCAAAUAAUAUGUAUGGACGGGCAUUCUCUCACUGAAGCACACUACACAGUUCUAUAGAAUUUCACCUUGGUGGCUCCGUAUAUGGAGGAACACAAGAAUUUUCUACACUCCAAACACCCAAAGCAAUCUGACGAUUGGGUUACACGUGAAAAACCGAGGACAUUCGCUGGUUGGUUGCAGACACGGGCCAUGCAUGAUGGCGAUAUUGAAGAUGACUUGUACUUGUUGUCCCAUUUACCAUCUUCGAAUAUAAUGACUUUCAAAAGGUACGAGAUAAAUGGGAAUAGAUUUUACAUGAUCGCCCAAGAUAAGAAGAGCACCAACCAAAACAAUGGUGUCCACUUUGAUGCAACAACCAACAUGGGAAAGGAAACAUAUUAUAGUUACGUAAAGGACAUAUGGGAACUUAACUAUGGAGUUGGUCUGAAGGCCCCUUUGUUUCGGUGCAAAUUGGACAAUAUGACACGAGGCGGGGUAACGGAAGACCUGCAGUACGGAAUGACAACAAUGGAUCUCAACAAUCUUGCGUAUGCAGACGAACCAUUCAUCCUAGCCAAUGAUGUGGCGCAGAUUUUCUAUGUGAAAGACAUGUCUACCAGGCCGAGAAAAAGAAAAUAUACGGCAGCGAAUGCAUCAUAUGAUGAGCCAAAGCGCCACAUAGUUCUUUCAGGGAAAAGAAACAUCAUGGGAGUGGAUAACAAGACAGACAUGUCACAAGAUUAUGAGAAGUUUGAUGAAAUUGCUCCAUUCACAGUGAAUAUUGAUCCGAGCAUCCAGUUAAAUGAUGAAGAUUGUCCAUGGUUACGGCCCAAAGGGACACACGCGAAGAAAAAGUUUCACUCCCUAAGAUCCCACUCUGGGAUGUGAUAGGCUUCACCGUUAUCACUUUCUUCUGUAAUGACUUUCCGGACUUAUAUAUAUGGAAAGUGCCGCUUCGAACAAACCGUAGAGAAUCUUUGUAAUUGUAGGGUACUUAUGUGUUUUGGUAUUUGAAACGCGAAGAAAUUUUAUGUGCAAAAACUGGAUGAACUUCAUCUACAAAUUAGUUCGACAAAUAAUUCAAAUUUAAACUAUUCAAAUUUGUAAACUACUGGCACUAACAAAAAGUUUGUAACUUUUUGUACCUAAAGAAAAAAUAUUCAGAAAUAAAUAAAUGAAAAUAAAUAAAGUAGAAAACAAAAAAACUAAAUUUUUUUAGACAAAAACUAAAUAAAAAAGCCCACCUACUGAGCCACAACAGCCUGCAUACGACUAGUAACCCAACCUGUAGUUGGGCCAGGAUGCAGGCCCGCAACGCCCAGUAGGCCCACGGGGCAGAGCGGCAGAGUUUGGCUCAGAAGCCUGCUAUAGGGAGGAGUUCGAGAGAGCAGCCGCGCCGGGGCUUUUAAACAGGUCCGGGCGCCCCUCGGCUAGCGAGGUGGGACUAAACUUUCCCGCACCGUACCUACGCCAGGCCGCACCUUUAGCACCGGGUGGUGGCUCCAACCGAUACUAAAGGGGGAGGGUCUUUAGUACCUGUUGUAGCCACCACCCGGUACUAAAGGGGGUGCGCUUCCAGCCGCUUCGCCUGGCCAAAACAGCCCUUUAGUACCGGUUGGUGGCUCCAACCGGUACUAAAGGGUGGUUCUUAUAAGAAAACACUUCAAAAUUUUGUCAGUUUCUCAUCUCUCCCUCUGCUUCUUCUCCUCUGCCCCGUCGCCGCCGCCCCUCGUCGCCGCCCCCGUCGUCGUCCCCGUCACCGUCCGUCGCCGUCCCCACCGCCCCUCGUCUCCAUGCCUGUCGCUAUCUCCACCGCCCCUCGUCGCCGUCCCCGUCACCGACCAUCGCCAUCCGUCGCCGUCACCUCGACCUCGCCCGCGCUGUGAGCCACUCUCCCCGGCCCCUCUCCUCCCUCCAAUCAAAGCUGCCGCGCCGCCGGUGCCGUAGGUGCACACGUGCCCGUGCGCGCGCGCACACACACACACGCACACACACAGACACACGCGUGCGCGCACACACACACACAAUUAUGUUUUUAGUUUUUAGUUUUUAGUUUUUUCUAUUUUUUCUGUUUUUUAUACAAAUGUUUUAGAUGAAUUAAUUAAUUAGAUUAUAUUAAUGUCAAAUAGUAUAUAAAAAUGUUAGAAAUAUGUUAUAGAAAUGUUAGUUUUAGCUAGAUGAAUAAGAUUAAUUUCAAAUUGUCACAGAAAUGUUAGAAAUGUUAUAGAAAUGUUAGUUUUUUGUUUCUUAUAAUUUUAGUUAUAGAAAUUUAGAAUUUUCAUAUAAGAAAUCACAAUCCAAUCAUUUAAAAAAUGUUACUUUUGUGGUGUAUCGUAUUUGUUCUCGACGAUGCCCGGCCCGCAUCCUCGCCGUCGACCCGUUCGCGACGACGUCCUGCUUCAGAGGACCCAUGUCCGGGACUGGGCUCCGCCGGGCUGGCACUAGGAGGUGCUACCUCAAGGGCUCGCCGCUUGGUGAGGAACCCGGGUCCCGUCAUCGACCCUGAGCUCUUUUGCAGGCGUUCCCCUGGACCAAUGAAGAUAUACUACUUCCUUACAACUUCCUGUGAGUCAUACUGUCUGGUACUACAAAUUCUGUUUUUACUUACUAGCUAGCUAGAUGUUAAUAAUUAUUACUAUCAAUGAUGAGUGUUAUGCACAUGCCCGCUUAAUUAAGACAUGCAAACGUGUGCAUGCAGUUUCCAUUGGAUCUUGUUAAUCAUUAAAGUUGACGAAGGAACAGUUGAAGUACUGGAUUCACUACUUUAAAAAAAGAAAGACUGCACAAUCGUGAAGGGGAUAGUCGACAAGUAAUUUCAAUCAUUAUUAACUAUAUGUCGGCCUGUUUAGUUCGUCAUUUCCUGAUAUCAACUAUUGAUACAUCUCCAACGUAUCUACUUUUCCAAACACUUUUGCCCUUGUUUUGGACUAUAACUUGCAUGAUUUGAAUGAAACUAACCCGGACUGCCGCUAUUUUCAGCAGAACUGCCAUGAUGUUGUUUUAUGUGUAGAAAACAAAAGUUCUCGGAAUGUCCUGAAAAUCCACGGAGGCACUUUUUGGAAAAUAUAAAAAAUACUGCCGAAAGAAUCAAGACCAGGGGGUCCACUCCCUGUCCACGAGGGUGGGGGCCACGCCCUCCCCCCUGGGUGCCCCCCUGUCUCGUGGGCCCCCUGAGGCUCCGCCGACCUUAACUCAAACUCCAUAUAUUCCGUCUCGCGGAGAAAAAAGUCAUAGAGAAAGUUUCAUCGCGUUUUACGAUACAAAGCCGCCGCCAAGCCCUCAUCUCCCUCAGGAGGGCUGAUCUGGAGUCCGUUCGGGGCUCCGGAGAGGGGGAUUCGUGGCCGUCGUCAUCAUCAACCAUCCUCCAUCACCAAUUUCAUGAUGAUCACCGCCGUGCGGGAGUAAUUCCAUCGUAGGCUUGCUGGACGGUGAUGGGUUGGAUGCGAUUUACCAUGUAAUAAAGGUAGUUUUGUUAGGGUUUGAUCCCUAGUAUCCACUAUGUUCUGAGAUUGAUGUUGCUAUGACUUUGCUAUGCUUAAUGCUUUUCACUAGGGCCCGAGUGCCAUGAUUUCAGAUCUGAACCUAUUAUGUUUUCUUGAAUAUAUGUGUGUUCUUGAUCCUAUCUUGCAAGUUUAUAGUCACCUAUUAUGUGUUAUGAUCCGACAACCCCGAAGUGACAAUAAUCGACAUACUUCUCAGUGACCAUUGUUUGAGGAGUUCAUAUAUUCACUAUGUGCUAAUGCUUUGUUCCGGUUCUCUAUUAAAAGGAGGCCUUAAUAUCCCUUAGUUUCCACUAGGACCCCGCUGCCACGGGAGCGUAGGACAGAAGAUGUCAUGCAAGUUCUUUUGCAUAAGCACGUAUGACUAUUUACGGAAUACAUGCCUACAUUACAUUGAUGAACUGGAGCAAGUUCUGUGUCACCCUAUGUUAUAGCUAUUACAUGAGGAAUCGCAUCCAACAUAAUAAUCCAUCAUUGAUCCAUUUCCUACGAUCUUUUCACAUCUUGUGUUUCGCUUAUUUACUUUUCCGUUGCUAUUGUUACAAUCACUACAAAACCGAAAAAUAUUACUUUUGCUAUCGUUACAUUUAUUAUCAUACUACUUUGCUACUAAAUACUUUGCUGCAGAUACUAAGUUAUCCAGGUGUGGUUGAAUUGACAACUCAACUGAUAAUACUCAAGAAUAUUCUUUGGCUCCACUUGUGUCGAAUCAAUAAAUUUGGGUUGAAUACUUUACCCUCGAAAGCUGUUGCGAUCCCCUACACUUGUGGGUUAUCAAGACUAAUUUCUGGCGCCGUUGCCGGGGAGCAUAGCUCUAUUCUCUGAGUCACUUGGGAUUUAUAUCUAUUGAUCACUAUAAAGAACUUGAAAGACGCGAAAACUACAAUUUAUCUCUCAACUACGAGGGGAGGUAAGGAACUACCAUCUAGCUCUGCACUAGAUUCUCCUUCUAUUUUGAGUAAGCUUGCGACACCUAAACCUGCUACUGCUAUGAAUUCUGAUAUGUCGCAUGUUAUUGAUGAUGCCACUUCUGCUAUACAUAAUACUUAUGAUGAAACUACUUCUCUGCGUGAUACUACUUUGCCAUUAGGUGAAUUUCUUGAUGAACAACUUGCUAGGGUUAGAGGGAAUGAAAUUAUUGAAGAUGCUAUUAUCGAUGAUAGUGAUGAUGAAAGUUCUCCGAAUGAUUAUGAAUUACCCGUUGUUCCCGAGGGUUAUGUUAUGAACGAAGAAGCUCCUAGAGCUAUCUUUGCUUGCAGUGAUAGAUAUGAUCUUUAGAAGUUAUUAGCUAAAUGGAAGUAGCAGUCUCUUAUGCUAGAAUGAAACCUGACCCUGCUUUUGCUACUUAACCUGUCUGUGUUACUGAUAAGGAAUAUGAAUUCUCUGUUGAUCCUAAAAUUAUUACUUUAGCUGAAUUUGAUCCUUUUUAUGGCCUUGAAUCUGAAAUUGUUGUGGCACAUCUUACCAAGUUGAAUGAUAUAGCCACCUUGUUUACUCAUGAUGAUAAAUCUCGCUAUUUUUAUAUUCUUAAGAUAUUUCCGUUCUCAUUAAAUGGUGAUGCUAAGACUUGGUAUAAUUCUCUUGCUCCUGGUUGUGUGCGUAGUCCCUAGGAUAUGAUUUAUUACUUCUCUGGUGAAUAUUUCCCUGCUCAUAAGAAACAAGCUACCUUGCGGGAAAUAUAUAAUUUUGUGCAAAUCAAAGAAGAGAGUCUCCCACAAGAUUGGGGGAGGCUUCUCCGAUUACUUAAUGCUUUGCCUGAUCAUCCUCUCAAGAAAAAUGAAAUACUUGAUAUCUUUUAUAAUGGACUAACCGAUGCUUCCAAGGACUACUUGGAUAGUUGUGCUGGUUGUGUUUUCAGGGAAAGAACAGUCGACGAAGCUGAAUUACUAUUGAAUAAUAUGUUGACUAAUGAAAAUAAUUGGACUCUUCCUGAGCCAAUUCCAUAGGCAAUUCCUCAUAGAUAUGAUAAACGUAAAUUCUCUCUAUAGAUAUGAUAGUAAACGUAAAUUCCUCAUAGAGCCAAUUCCAGUCUACCUAACCCGACACAGGUAGUAAACGUAAAUUCUCUCUAUAGAUAUGAUAAAGUUGAAAUUCCCUCUACUAAAUUUCAUAGCCCAUGCUUAGAUGAAUUUGAUGACUUUAUGGCUAGACAAGAAAGUUUUAAUGCUCAUGUUGGUAGAGAGUUAAAGAAUAAUACUUUCGAGAUAGGACGUGCGAGCGAUAAUAUGGCUAGAGUUAAAGGUGAACUCAAACUCGUUAGCAAAUAUGCUUCUAUGGUCGCUACUCAAGCUGAGCAAGUACUUAAAGCUCAAAAUAAUUUGCUUGAUGAAUUAAAUAAUAAAAAUGACUUUGCUGUUAGAGUGGCUACUAGAACUGGUAGAAUGACUCAGGAACCUUUGUAUCCUGAAGGCCACCCUAAGAGAAUCGAGCAAGAUUCUCAGAAAAAUAAUUUAGAGGCACCUAGUUCUUCUAAAAAGAAGAAAAAGAAAAACAAUAGGACCUUGCAUGCUUCUAGUGAACCUACUGUAGACACACCUAAGAAUCCCAAUGAUAUUUCUAUUUCUGAUGCUGAAACACAAUCAGGUGAUGAACAUGAACCUAGUGAUAAUGUUAAUGAUAAUGUUCAUGUUGAUGCUCAACCUAGCAAAAACAAUGAAAUAGAGAUUGAACCUGCUGUUGAUCUUGAUGGCCCACAAUCAAAGAAUCAACGUUAUGAUAAGAGGGAUUUUGUUGCUAGGAAGCACGGUAGAGAAAGAGCCCUCUCCUCCUAAACCAUCCAAGACAAAGGAUGAUGAGGAUUUUGAGCUCUUUGCUGAAAUGAUUAGACCUAUUUUCAUAUGUAUGCGCUUAACUGAUAUGCUCAAAAUAAAUCCUUAUGCUAAAUAUAUGAAGGAUAUCAUUACAAACAAAAGAAAGAUACCGGAAGCUGAAAUUUCCACCAUGCUUGCUAAUUACACUUUUAAGGGUGGAAUACCAAAGAAACUUGGAGAUCCGGGUGUACCAACUAUACCAUGCUCCAUUAAAAGAAAUUAUGUUAUAACUGCUUUAUGUGAUCUUGGAGCCGUUGUUAGUGUUAUGCCUCUCUCUUUAUAUCGUAGACUUGAAUUGAUUAAGUUGACACCUACUAAAAUAUCUUUGCAAAUGGCUGAUAAAUCAACUGCUAUACCUGUCGGUAUUUUUGAGGAUGUUCCUAUUGUGGUUGUAAAUGUCACUAUCUUAACGAACUUUGUUAUUCUUCAUAUUCCCUAGGACGAUAGUAUGUCGAUUAUCCUUGGUAGACCCUUUUUAAAUACUGCAGAGGUUGUUAUUGAUUGCAACAAAGGCAAUGUCACUUUUCACAUUAAUGGUAAUGAGCAUAUGGUACACUUUCCGAGGAAACAAUCUCAAGUCCAUAGCAUCAAUUCUAUUGGAAAAGUUCCAACUAUCAUUAUUGGAGGUUUUGAAUUUCCUCUCCCUACUAUCAAGAAAAGUAUGAUAUUCUUAUUGUUGGGGAUUUUCAUAUCCCCGUUGAGGUAACUUAGUGUUAUUCGAAAUUUCUCGGGUUCCGUGUUAUUCGGAAUGAGUUUGUUAACAAGACUUGAUCAACCUUGUUAGUGGAUUCAUUUUGAUGAUCACGAGAUGGAUGAAACUAGAAGGCACAACCUUCUGUACCCUCUUUUUACUUUCUGUUAUUUAGAAUAAAUAAAGUAAAAAUAGUAUUAUCUGUCUAUUUUCUGAAUUAUCCAUGCAAUAAAAAAUAUCCCAAAAAUAAAAGUGCUCCAAAUGCCCUGCAAAUUUAAUAUGAUUUUUUAUGGAAUAUUUGAAGAUUUUAGGCACUGAAAUCACUGCAGGAGGGGCAAGCACCAGGCCACGAGAGUGGACGGCGCGCCCACCCCCUGGGCGUGCCCCCCGUCUCGUGGGCCCCUGGUGGCCCCCUCCACUUAUGCCAGCACCCACACACUCCAUCCUAUACCCAAAAAAUCCCCAUCCAGCUCAAGCACGAGUUCUAGCUCAUUUUGCUGCGAUUUUCGAUCUCAUAGCUCAAAGCUCCAUUCACAAAACUGCUUUGGGAGAUUGUUGCUUGGUAUGUGGAUUCUCCAUUGGUCCAAUUAUUUUUUGUUCUAGUGUUUUAUUCAUUGCAAAUUUUUGCUGCAUAGGUGACCAUGUUCUUGAGCUUGCACAUUGAAUUUAUGAGGUCCCAAGCGAUUCUAAUGCAUGAUAUAGGCUCUAGGCACUUGUAGGAGUACUUGCUAUCAAUCUUGUUUAGUUUUAUUCACUUUUAUUUUGAAGUUACUAAAAUUUCAGAAAUUUUUCAGAAAAAGAAUUAUGUCUAGGAGAAUGUACCAAGGUGGUUCCUCGGUAAAGAAAGGACCCAGGAUUGCUAUACGUGAGCAAGAUAUUGAAUUACCGAGGGACGCAGAUGUUCGAGCUUGUGAAUGGCCAUCCGACGAUUUUAUGGUCGAAGCAGGCUUUAAGGAGGAAUUUGAUGUGUGUGUGCGUAAUGCUGAGCUGGAGGACUUCUUACAAGAUAAGUGUACUUAGUACUAUCAAUUGACUGAUUCCUUUGUGCGGAGGUUUAAAUAUAACUGUACGCGUAAUUCUCCUAGUGUCCUAUUUGAUAUUUAUGAUACAUCUUAUACCAAGGACUUAGAGAAUUUUACAACAGCUUGCAAACUUCCACAGUGGGGUAAUAUUAAUGAUCCUCACAAAUCUGAAUUUAGAGAUUUCCUUGCUAGUAUUACUGUGGGAGAAUCCAGGGACAUUGCACAAGCUACCAUAGGGAGCAUUCGAUUUCCCACUAUACAUUAUAUUGUUCUCUUCAUUGGUAGAUGCAUUAAUGGUAAAGAUGAAGCAUAUCAUAUGUGUGUCCCUCGUCUUUGUGUCCUCAAGAGUGCUGUGUUAGGUUAUAAAGGUUAUAACUUGGGGGCAGUAGUUGCACGUAGGUUGCAGAAUAAUGGUAGAGCUGGAAAUUUAUUUGGAGGAAUUUAUGCAACCCGUGUGGCUAAUUAUCUUGGUAUAGCCCCAUGAGAGGGGGAUGUGAUGAUACCUCUUGCUUAUUUAGAUUAUGAAGCUAUGGUCAACCAUCAUUUUCUUCGGAGGAAUGAACAAUUCCUCCAUUAUUGACUAAUCUAUAACAGACGCAACGUCGUCCAUGUUACUCUUCCUGCUCCUCUCCUUUUUGAUUAUCAGGCAAAAGGAACACGAGGGGAGAGCGGAGGCAGCUCGCUAACAUGCCGCAGCUCAGGAGGCGGUUGCUGCUGCAUCGCAGUACGACCCCAGCUACAACUACGGAUAUCAACUAGGCGGUCCUUGGUACUAGACCAACUUAGGCCAAAAGCCUAAGCUUGGGGGAGUACGUAUUUCUCACCGACUUUACAUUCAUGUUCACACACUAUUCUAGUCGUUGGUGCUCAUACUCUUUCAUUGUAUUAUCCAUGCUAGUUUAAUUUCCUUUUUCUAGCUUUCUUCUUGUGUGUUUGAUAAACCUUAAGAAAAAAUCAAAAAAAUUAGUUAGUUUAAUUUCCAUGCUUGUAGUAGAAUUAAAAUGAAAACCCAAAAAGAUUUCUCAUUCUUCUUUUACUUGUUGGGAGCUUUCCCGUGUAAAUAGUUUUAUUUUAUUUUAUUUUCUUUGGGGGUCGACAGUAGAAGACCAUAUUGAAAAUGUUUUCUGGAUCUCAUUUGCAUGAUUGUUUAUUUAACUUAGAGUCCUUGUUAUCUUGUCUUCUCUUUUGAGUUGAAUGCUUGCAGAUUUCAGCUUAGUCCAAUGCACGUGCACUAUUAUUAUUAUACACAUCGUUCGGUCGUGCAAGUGAAAGGCAAUAAUGACGAUAUAUGAUGGACUGGUUGAGAUGAGAAAAGAUGGUAUGAACUCGACCUCUCUUGUUUUUGUAAAUAUGAUGAGUUCAUUGUUUCUGAUGCAGCUUAUUAUGAAGUAAACAUAUUUGCAGUGACAUUUAGAGAUUAUAGUUGCUUGUGCCAUGCUUGAUUAGCUAUGAGUUAUAAUGGUUUACCUUGCGUGCCAACAUGCUAUUAGAAUGAUUAUGAUGUGGUAUGAUGGGAUGGUAUCCUCCUUUGAAUGAAUUGAGUGACUUGACUUGGCACAUGUUCACACAUGUAGUUGAAACAAAUCAACAUAGCCUUCAUGAUAUUUAUUUUCAUGGUAGAUUAUAUCCUACUCAUGCUUGUACUCGGUGUAAAUUAAUUUUAAUGCAUGUUUAUGACUGUUGUUGCUCUCUCAGUUGGUCGCCUCCCAGUCUUUUGCUAGCCUUCACCUGCACUAAGCGGGAAUACUGCAUGUGCAUCCAAACUCCAUAAACCCCAAAGUUGUUCCAUAUGAGUCCACCAUACCUUCCUAUAUGCGGUAUUUACCUGCCAUUCCAAGUAAAUUUGUAUGUUCCAUACUCCAAACCUUCAAAUGAAAUUCUGUUUUGUAUGCUCGAGCAGCUCAUGUUACAACUAGGGAUGCCUAUAUCUUCCAUGCUAGGUGGGUUAUUCUACAGAGGAGUGGACUCUGCUCCUCACUCACGAGAAAGGGCCGGUAACCGGGAUGCCUAGUCCCAUGAUCCAAAAAGAUCAAAGAAAAUCAAAUAAUUAAACAAAACUCCCCUAGGGCUGUUGUUGGUUGGAGGCACUCGUUGUUUCGAGCAAGCCAUGGAUUGAUGCUUGUUGGUGGUUGGGGGAGUAUAAACCUUUACCAUUUUGUUUGGGAACUGCCUAUAAUGCAAGUAGCUUGGAAGAUAUAGCCAUCUCAUAGUUGUUGCGUUGACAGCAAAAGUAUGCCGCUCAAAAUGUUAUUCAAUCUCUAUUUUAAAAUCGAGCUCUGGUACCUCUACAAAUCCCUGCUUCCCUCUGCGAAGGGCCUAUCUAUUUACUUUUAUGUUGAGUCAUCACCCUUCUUAUUAAAAAGCACCCGCUAGAGAGCACAAUGUCAUUUGCAUUCAUUAUUAUUGGUUUAUAUUGGGUAUGACUUGACCGGAUCUCUUUUACCAUGAAUUACAAUGUUUAGUCAGUCCUUGGUCUUUAAAGGUGCUCUGCAUUUAUGUUUUGCGGUCUCAGAAAGGGCUAGCGAGAUACCAUUUUGUUAUAUCAUGUUAUGAUUGUUUUGAUAAAGUGUUGUCAUCCGAGUUUUAUUAUUAUGGCUCGCUAGCUGAUUAUGCUAUUGAUAUGAGUAAUAGUGAGACCGAGGUGUUAUUGUGAGUAUGGUUAGUUCGUAAUAUUUGCUGAAACCUGAAUGCUGGCUUUUCAUGUUUACAACAACAAGAGCAAACAGACUUUGUAAAAGUUUUUCUUUAUCACUUUCAGUUUAUCAACUGAAUUGCUUGAGGACAAGCAAAGGUUUAAGCUUGGGGGAGUUGAUACGUCUCCAACGUAUCUACUUUUCCAAACACUUUUGCCCUUGUUUUGGACUCUAACUUGCAUGAUUUGAAUGAAACUAACCCGGACUGACACUGUUUUCAGCAGAACUGCCAUGAUGUUGUUUUAUGUGUAGAAAACAAAAGUUCUCGGAAUGUCCUGAAAAUCCACGGAGGCACUUUUUGGAAAAUAUAAAAAAUACUGGCGAAAGAAUCAAGACCAGGGGGGCCACACCCUGUCCAUGAGGGUGGGGGGCGCGCCCUCCCCACUGGGCGCGCCCCCUGUCUCGUGGGCCCCCUGAGGCUCCGCCGACCUCAACUCCAACUCCAUAUAUUCCGUCUGACGGAGAAAAAAAUCAGAGAGGAAGUUUCAUCACGUUUUACGAUACGGAGCCGCCGCCAAGCCCUAAUCUCUCUCGGGAGGGCUGAUCUGGAGUCCGUUCGGGGCUCCGGAGAGGGGGAUUCGUUGCCGUCGUCAUCAUCAACCAUCCCCCAUCACCAAUUUCAUGAUGCUCACCGCCGUGCGUGAGUAAUUCCAUCGUAGGCUUGCUAGACGGUGAUGGGUUGGAUGAGAUUUACUAUGUAAUCAAGUUAGUUUUGUUAGGGUUUGAUCCCUAGUAUCCACUAUGUUCUGAGAUUGAUGUUGCUAUGACUUUGCUUUGCUUAAUGCUUGUCACUAGGGCCCGAGAUCUGAACCUAUUUUGUUUUCAUGAAUAUAUGUGUGUUCUUGAUCCAAUCUUGCAAGUCUAUAGUCACCUAUUAUGUGUUAUGAUCCGACAGCCCCGAAGUGACAAUAAUCAGGAUAAUUCUCGGUGAUGACCAUAGUUUGAGGAGUUCAUGUAUUCACUAUGUGCUAAUGCUUUGUUUCUUUCUCUAUUAAAAGGAGGCCUUAAUAUCCCUUAGUUUCCACUAGGACCCCGCUGCCACGGGAGGGUAGGACAAAAUAUGUCAUGCAAGUUCCUUUACAUAAGCACGUAUGACUAUUUACGGAAUACAUGCCUACACUACAUUGAUGAACUGGAGCUAGUUCUGUGUAACCCUCUGUUAUAGGUUUUCACAUCUUGUGUUUCGCUUAUUUACUUUUCCGUUGCUAUUGUUACAAUCACUACAAAACCCAAAAAUACUACUUUUGCUAUCGUUACCUUUAUUAUCAUACUACUUUGCUACUAAAUACUUUGCUGCAGAUACUAAGUUAUCCAGGUGUGGUUGAAUUGACAACUCAACUGCUAAUACUCAAGAAUAUUCUUUGGCUCCCCUUGUGUCGAAUCAAUAAACUUGGGUUGAAUACUUUACCCUCGAAAGCUGUUGCGAUGCCCUACACUUGUGGGUUAUCAACUAUUUAACAACUUGUUUAUUCAUUUUCUUUUCCGGUCGGCAAGGAUUGGGAAAAGUUCAGGAAUUCGAAAGAGGUUCUAGGCGAAUGGAGAGAAAGGCUGUAUUGGUUUCGACCCAAGGUAUGAUUAAUUAAGUAGUACUAGCUAGCUACCAUGCAUCUCUUUAAUUCUAGUUUAAAUACCUUUAAUUAUCAUGCUUGAUUAAUUAUUAUCUGAUUAAAUUCUAAUUGUGUAAAGGCCCUGAAGCAGGCGCAGCGGACUGAUGUGUGUGCAUACUACGUUUUCGAGAACAUUCGCAUGAUGAUGUCCGAAAGGACCAAAACUGAUAAAUAGCUAUGGGUACGUUUGACAUAAAAAUAUUCACAAUUUUUACAUCAUUAUUGAUAUCUAGUCACAUAACUAAUACACAUGCAUAUUGAUCUCCUUCUUAACAGUUCGAAUCGGUGCAGGAGAAGCUCCUACCAGAGGAGCACAUACGAGCACUUUAAGAGGAAAUAGCAGGACUUUUGCUCGACCAGGUCAUAGAUCCCAAAGGGGAAUUCUAUUACGAGCUACCGCCCCAAUAAACCACUCUUAAUUGUCAUCAUGCUCCGAAGGCACCAAGGCAAAUGCCACUGGCUCUGAGGCAACAUGUAGGAAAAACUGUAUAUAUAUACAUGUGUAUGUGUGAAUAAUGGUGUGGUUGGGAGACAUUCAAUGAUAUAUAUAUAUAUAUAUAUAUAUAUAUAUAUAUAUAUAUAUAUAUAUAUAUAACCGGUUGUACGAGAAAUUCUAUUUAUAUAUAUGCAUAGCGUGUACAAUAUGUAGUAUCGUAAUAUACCAGCAAACGAAAAAGAAUUAAAUGUAAAACACAAAAUUAAAGGAAAAAUAAAUAAUAAAACCAAAAACCCACAAAAUAUUCAGUACCGGUUGGUGUUACCAACUGGUACUAAAGGUAUCCCCACACCCGGCCCUGGCUCGUGCCACGUGGUGGCCCUUUAGCGGUGGUUCAUGCAGAACCGGUACUAAAGGGGGUGGGGGACAGUCCCCACCCUUUAGUGCUGGUUACAGAACCGGCACUAAAGGCCCUUACGAACCGGUGCUAUAGCCCGGUUCUGCACUAGUGUACACACACGAAUUAGCGUCUCGCUCAUUUGUGCCUCAUCAAGUGGUAUUCAGAGCUAAGGUUAGUCACAGCGACUUAGUUUCAAUAUCAUCUAAGGAGGCGAGCAUUGACAUGUUGAGCGGGAACAUAUUGAUGGAGGAGGAAGGCAUCGGCGAGGUUGUUCUUUUUCACACUCGUUGCCUUGUGAAGGAGCGGUGUGUUAACUUGAUGAUUGAUGAAAGUUGUACGGUCAAUAUGGUGAGCAUCGAGGUGGUGAAAGAAUUGGGGCUGAAUAUGACACCUCUUGAAAGACCGUACAUGCUGAAGUGGUUCAAAGGUGAAAUCAAAGUUACUCAUCAGAUUUUGCUAAUUUUUGAUUUGGGAAAAUACUGUUGUGCGGAAUUUUUUUUCAUUUGUCCUGUGACCAUUGUGUCAUGCCACCUAUUACUUGGGAACCCAUGGUGCAAGCAUGUUGGGGCUGUUCGGGAUGCCAAGAAAAAUAUUUAUUCUCUAUCAUGGAAGGGCCAACAAGUUUGUUUUAUUCCCAUGCCAACGGAUGUGUUCGCCGCAUAUUGGAAAAAUCGUUUGCGGAAAAGUAGAGAAGAGCUACAAGAAUUAAAAGAAGUGGAUGCACCAAUAAAGGGUCUGAAUCUUUCGGUAGAGAAGGUAAAAGAGGAUGAUAAUGCUAAGGGGCAGCGGUGGAGUGUUUUUAAAACACAGCGUAAGAUCAAGAAUCGUGCUUGCAAGUUGAUAAUUGAUGGUGACAGCUUUACAAAUGCCAUUAGCAAAGAUCUCUUGUGAUGCGGGGCUAACCCGGCGUAGGUCGAUCUUUCACAAUUGGAGUGGAUUCUCUGAAAGAACAUGAUGAAUACAGGGAAGAACGGGGAGAAAUCACAAGGGGAAAGACUCAAGAACAAGGCCAAUCACACAUCCACUACACAAUCAAACACACAAGAUCGCAAGGUACAUGAACAACAGAGGGAAAGAUACAAGGUAGAGUUCAUCUCCAAUAGGAGGUCUUGAUGGCAUCCGAGACAGAUCUUCCCAUGAUGGGUCUGGACGAUAUAUCCCACAUGAUCUUCUCACAUGGAGGUCUUGAACUCCAUGGGACUAGUGGUAUCUCUCUCUCUCUCUCUCUCUCUCUCUCUCAAGAGUAGAGGAAGGUAGGAGCAAAGCUCACACACAAAUGAGCUAUCACUUUGCUAACCCUAGCUAGGAGGAGGUAGGGGGUAUUUAUAGUCUAAGUGGGCGAAAGGGUAAGUGGGAAGGGAUACAAGGCCAAAGGCCCACGGCUGCGCACAGGCAGUUACCGGACGUCCGGUGGGUACCGGUCGUCCAGUGGCUCGUGGGAGACCGGACGUCCGCUAGUCGCCGGACGUCCGCUAAAUCCGUUCUGCUGAAGAGGCACCGGACAUCCGGUAUCUUUGGACUUCUGUUAAUAUUAUCGGCCGGACGUCCGCUCGCAGGGGCCGGACGUCCGCUCGCUGGGGGGUGCGGUAGCUUGCGUUGGCUGGGCUUCAGGCGUCGGUCGCCCAGUGGAGGCCCAACGUCCGCUCGCUGGCUCGUCAUCCGGUGGGGGCUGCACGUCCGCUCGUUGUAGCUUAUUUGGCAGCUCAUCUUCUUGCGUCUUCAUUUCCACGCUUCCCUCGCGGAUGGUGUAGUUGUACCUUGGCACUUGUACUCCUCAUCGUCGUCCGUGAAGCUCCGGCAAUACCUAUGCAUGCAAGCGAUAGGAAUGUCAAGUAGUAUACCAUCCUUGAAUGGGUCAAGUGAACACGUGUAAAGGAGAUAAUUCACCUUUGUGUACAUGAAGUAGAUGUGGCACGUAUCACUUACCAAAUGGACACUUGACAUGGUGAUGUCCGUAGGAUGCUCUGCAUCAUCUCCCCUCCCUUGGGAGAGAUCCGACCUCGGAUCAAAACCAAAUCACCACGGGAAAGAGAUGGCUUCGCCAUGUAAAAGUGGACGUUCACCAAGUAGUCAUCAUCUUCAAGCUUGAAGUGGGCACUCUCCAAUGUCGCACCGUCUUGUGAUUCCUUCAAAGGAAGCAAGAACAACAAACACUUCGAAAAACAAAUGUGGUUAGCGUUAGUACAAAACCAAGCAUUCAAGAGGUGACUCACCCAACAAGUCUCGUCAUCAAGCAAAGCAUGUGGUGUGACAAAGGAUUGUGACAUGCCAUGUAAGCGUAUCAAUUGAGAAAAAUCAAGGUUAUCAUGGAAACAAGCAUGUAAAUGUGAGGUAGUGAUGCAAGUAUGUGUCACAAGAGAAUAAGAAUCUACCUCAAGGUCAUAGAAAUCAUGCAUAAAGCGCUCGAUAAAUGGUCGAUGGUAGGCAUAAGAAGCAUUCACAACACCAAAUAAAAUGAAGUGUCUAAACACAUGGGUCAAGUGCAAGACAAUCCAAGCAUAAUGUGCAUAGGGCAUAGGGAAUAUAGUGUGGCACUAAACAGAAUAGAAAGAGCAAUUGUUCAUCAUGUGUGAGGCAAUCAAGGCAAGCAUGUGACAAGCAAUGGGACAUGGUAUAUGUGAAGAAGUGAUAUCGUUGCAACCAAACAUGUGAUAGGAGCAACUAAUCCAAGAAUUGGAUGCAACACACAAGCCAAAUAUAUCAUGAUGCAUGGAAGUGUGAAAAUGGAAAUCAAAGCAAGAUCUCUAACAAGUGCGCGAUCAAGUGGUCCAAGAUGACCAAUAAGUCUCAUGGUGCAAGUAACACAAGUAUUAUGAUCAUCAAUAUCCAUGCUCAUGAUUUGGGGGUUCUCAAAAGAGAAGGAUAUCACCUUGAAGGCAUGUCCUUGUGUGUCUUUCACAAUGCUGAAGUGGUAGGAAAUGUGGCGUACGAGCGAGUCAUGGUAGAAUGUAUGAGGCUCGCUCUCAAGAGCUUGAAUGGUCAACUCACGUGAAGUGGAAGUCGACAUGAAGUCCAAGUAUCCUGCACAUGCACACAACAAAACAAAGAGCAUAUGCGCAUGGUAGAUAAACACAUCAUCCAUCGUGAUGGUUCUCUUCUCUUGCACAUAACCAUUAGUAGUAAAAGUGCAUGAAGAAUAUGAUGCAACAAUCUUUAUGUUCAUGGCAGAAUGCAUAUAGUGCAAAGAAGGAAGACAAGCAUGCUUCAUAAGAAAUAUGUCAAAAUCCCAAUCAUAUGAGAGAACGCUAUGGGGGCAAACUCAUUAUCAAGACUAAAGGCGUAGUUGCACUCAACACAUGGUAAAUCGUCUAGCAUCAAAGAGGCAACACAAGGAGACACAACAUAAUCAAGCAUAGUAAUCAAGCCGUGCAAACUAGUGGAGCAAAGAUGCAACGCACUAGGGGAAAUCAUGGCAAUCAUGUCAUAUGAGAAAGUAGGAAGCAUAGGCGAUGCACAUGACAUAUCGCAAGAACGAGCACAAAGCAAGAUCAUAGUGUCAUCAUAGGGAUGGGUCACAAGUGGAACAUGGCAAUAACAAGUGAUAUCUCCACCAAGCUUGCAAAUACACACACAAGUAUGAGAAUAAUGAAUCAUGUGUAAUGCAAAAGCAUGGGUCACUAAUACAUGUCAAAAGCAUAGGAAUGAGCAUAUCAUGCAAAGUGAACAUGGCAAGAUGGGCAUAGAAUAUGUAGUGGACAAUAACCCAUAACCAUGUGAAGGCCAUGUAGAAGAAAUACGUGAAGUCGUUGUGCGAUGGGAACGGUGUGAAAGCCAAUUCAAGCGAUCCCAAGUCAUCGUUGCUCUCUAGAGCUCGUUUUGUCAACUCAUGGGAUUGUGAGGUUGACAAGUAUAUAUGGGUACCUACACAAAAGAGACACAAACCAAAGCAAUUGUGUGCAUGGUAAAUGUACACAUCAUCCAUCUUGAUGUGUAUGUGCACGUGAGAGUUAGCACAAGAUAAGCAUCCACUACUAGGGACAACCCUAGUAGUAGCGCGGGUUUUGAGGCUAUCAGUAGCGCGGGCAGCCGCGCUACUACUAUGGCGCUACAGCUAAAUAUUAGUAGUAGCACGGUCCGCACCCGCGCUACUACUACUACUAUAUCAGCAGCGCUUUUCUGGAAUACCCUACUAUUAAUUAGCUGUAGCAGUUUCCUAGCCCCUCGCUACUUCUAUAUCUUUCAUCAUCCCCCCCUCCCCCGCUUAUUACCCUGCUUCAGUUUCAAUAAACUCCAAUUUCCAGAUACUAAGUACUACUAGAUAUCAAUUUCAUAAAGUAUUAUAGGUACGAGGUAGUACUCCCUCCAUUCCAAAUUACUCGUCGUGGUUUUAGUUCAAACCACGAUGAGUAAUUUGGAACAGAGGGAGUACUUGAUAACAAUUUCAUAUAUAGUCAACAUGCAUCCUCAAGCAGUACUAGGUCAUAUCGACAACGAUCAUCAUAUGUAGUUCUAGAUGAUAUCGACGAGGAUCAUCAUAUGUAGUUCUAGAUGAUAUCGACGAUAAUCAUCAUAUGUAGUUCUAGAUGAUAUAGCGACACACACGUAUGUAGUUCUAGAUGAUAUCGACGACGAUCAUCAUCCUCAAGCCUGGGUGGUGGGUGUUCCUGAUAGUAAUUAGGAUUGCCUGUCCAAGACGAAGAUUCUUGAGAACGAGGAAUCUCUUCCACCCAACCGAGUUUAAGUGUGUGCAACCGUCUGUGUCCAUGCGGUAAGUACAUGUUGUGACGGAGCUCCUUGCGGUAAGGCAUUGUCCAGCGGAGCCUUCUUCAUCAGGCUCGAUACCAUAACUUACAGAUAGGCUCUUUGCCAAUUUCUCAAUAAGAAAAACAUAUCAAUUAAUAAAUUGCCUCGCACAUACUCUUGCAAAUAAGUAUAUAUGGAUUAUCUACACUAUUAAUAGUUCCUUAGAUUCUACACUAAUAAGCAUGUGAUCGGAGUCUAUACUAAAGCAUAUCAUCGACUAGAUUCCACACAACAUAUCAUUGGACUCCACACUAAGCAUAUCAUCGCACAAUUUGCAUUUGUAAGUAUAACAUACCAUAUCAUGUCGAUCGACCAUGGUACUUGUCAGGCGGGUCACUAAUGGCACCCCGACAUAGUUAGCAUGUGGAGGAAUUAUGUCCCAUAGGUUGGACACCUCCUCCUCGCUCAACCUCAUUCUUUUAGCUAUGAUGGCUUCAUGAAGUGGGUCCUCGUCAUCUUCAUCGAGUGGGUCCUCAUUAUCUUCAUCAUCUUCAUCAUCUUCAUCAUCUUCCACCAGGUUGAUAUAAAUGCCAGCCAGCUUGGGUCUUUCUGCUCUGAAGGAGAAGCUGAUCGACUCACCACCAGUAAGAUGCAUGCGGGCGAGAAAAUGGGCCCAUCCAUCUCCUCCAAUCUGCGACAUAUUGCGUCCUUUCUUGACCUCCAUAGUGUACAUCCCCCCAGGAGCCUCAAAUGUCAUAGUGUCUCCUAUCAGCUUGUUGAAUUUCAACCUCACAUUGCAUGGGACGAUCUGUGUAAAAAACCAAAAUGACACAAUGCAGUAAUGCCAACACUAAAAUUAAAAUAGUUGUUACAUUUCAUAUAAUUUCUUACCGCCGCAUGACGAAAAAUUGGUUGGAAGUAGAUGUUGAACAGCUUGCCAGUUGCAAGGCUGCUGGCGCACCUUGACUUGCACAGUCGACAUGGUGGUGGUGGUGGCGGCACCAUUUUCCUAAAGGAAUAUGAGCAAAUGAUUAACGAUCCACUUCACAGGAAAGAAAAACAGUAGCAUGUGAUAUUUUUUGCUCUUCUUCAGUUAUAUUUUCAUAGCUUACUAACACCUUCUAAAAUAGAACCAACAACUAGCAGGCAAAUGCCGAAUCUUCCGCGAGAAGCAAUUUGCUUCUUCUACCGCGAGAAGCAAUUUGAUGGACAAUUAUGUCCGUGGGGAGCUUCUCUUGAGCGUCGUAUGUCCGUGGGCGAAAACGCCUUGAAGUCGCUUGGCAAAGAUGCCAAGGGAGAUGGUGAAGUAUUUGAGCGGUUCUUGGUGUUGAGCUCUAGACCUUUAUGUUCUUGUUGGUGAUGGUGUCGAUGCCGGUGUGAUCUUGCCGGAGAUGGUAGCUCGGAAGCAUGUGCUCUUGAGCGUCUUCUCAAAGAUGAGGAAGAUCUCUUGUACACUAGUGCAGAACCGGGCUUUAGCGCCGGUUCAUAAGGGCCUUUAGUGCCGGUUCUACAACCGGCAAUAAAGAGUGGAGACUAAAGCGCCCCGCCCCUUUACUACCGGUUCGGCAUGAACCGACGCUAAAGUGCCACAACGUGGCACAAGCCAGGCCUGGGUGCUGGUAGACCAUUAGUACCGGUUGGUAACACCAACCGGUACUAAAUGUUUGGGGGUGUUUUGGUUUUAUUUUCAUUAAUUUUGUGUUUUCCAUUUAACUCUUUUUUGUUUGCUGGUAUUUUAUGAUACUACAAAUUGUACACGUUAUGCAUAUAUAUAAAUAGAUUUUCUCGUACGUAGAACCGCAUAUAUAUAUAAAUACCAUUAAUUAUUCAAACAUACACAUGUAUAUACAUAUACAAUUUCUCCUACAUGUUGCCUUGGUGCCUUCGGAGCACGAUGACAAGUGGUUCAUGGGGGCGGUAGCGGGUAAUAGUAUUUUCCUUUGGGAUCUAUGACCUGGUUGAGCAAAAAUCCCGCUACUUCCUCUUGAAGUGCUAGUAUACGCUCCGCUAGUAGGAGCUGCUCCCGCACCUCUCUGAACUGUUAAGAAGGAGAUCAAUAUGCAUGUGUAUUAGUUGUGUGACUAGAUAUCGAUAAUGGUGUGAAUAGUGUUCUGACAAACGUACCCAGUCCUGUCUUUGAGAUCUGCUCCUUUGGACGCCAUCAUGUGAAUGUUCUCGCAAACAUAGAAUGCACAACGAUCAUUCCCCUGCGCCUACUUCAGGGCCUUUACGAGAAUGAAAUUGAAUCAGAUAAUGAUUAAUCAAGCAUGAUAAUUAAUUAAUGGUAUUGAAACAAGAAUUAAAGAGAUGGUAGCUAGCUAGCUAGCUAGUACUACUUAAUUACUUACCUUUGGUCGAUACUAAAACAACUUUUUUGCCCAUUUGCCUGGAGUCACUUUGAUGAAAUUUUCCCAAGCCCUGCCCGCCGGCAAAGAAAAUUAAUAAAGGGGUUAUUAAAUAGUUCAUAUCAGGAAAUGAUAACCCACAAGUGUAGGGCAUCGCAACAGCUUUCGAGGGUAAAGUAUUCAACCCAAAUUUAUUGAUUCGACACAAGGGGAGCCAAAGAAUAUUCUUGAGUAUUAACAGUUGAGUUGUCAAUUCAACCACACCUGGAUAACUUAGUAUCUGCAGCAAAGUAUUUAGUAGCCAAAGUGGUAUGAUAAUAAUAGUAACGGUAGCAAAAGUAAAGAUAAAUGUUUUUGGGUUUUUGUAGUAGUUGUAACAGUAGCAACGGAAAAGUAAAUAAGCGAACAACAAUAUGUUAAAAGCUCGUAGGCAAUGGAUCAGUGAUGGAUAAUUAUGCCGGAUGCGAUUCCUCAUGCAAUAGUUAUAACAUAGGGUGAUAUAGCACUAGCUCCAAUUCAUCAAUGUAAUGUAGGCAUGUAUUCCGUAAAUAGUCAUACGUGCUUAUGGAAAAGAACUUACAUGACAUCUUUUGUCCUACCCUCCCAUGGAAGCGGGGUCCUAGCAGAACCUAAGGGAUAUUAAGGCCUCCUUUUAAUGGAGAGCCGGAACAAAGCAUUAGCACAUAAUGAAUAGAUGAACUCCUCAAACUACAGUCAUCACCGAGAAGUAUCCCGAUUAUUGUCACUUCGGGGUUGUCGGAUCAUAACACAUAAUAGGUGACUAGAGACUUGCAAGAUAGGAUCAAGAACACACAUAUAUUCAUGAAAACAUAAUAGGUUCAGAUCUGAAAUCAUGGCACUCGGGCCCUAGUGACAAGCAUUAAGCAUAGCAAAGUCAUAGCAACAUCAAUCUCAGAACAUAGUGGAUACUAGGGAUCAAACCCUAACAAAACUAACUUCAUUACAUGGUAAAUCUCAUCCAACCCAUCACCGUCCAGCAAGCCUACAAUGGAGUUACUCACGCACGGUGGUGAGCAUCGUGAAAUUGGUGAUGGAGGAUGGUUGAUGAUGAUGACGGCGACGAAUCCACCUCUCCGGAGCCCCGAACGGACUCCAGAUCAGCCCUCCCGAAAGAGAUUAGGGCUUGGCGGUGGCUCCGUGUCAUAAAACACGAUGAAACUUUCUCUCUGAUUUUUUUCUCCCCGAACGUGAAUAUAUGGAGUUGGAGUUGAGGUCGGUGGAGGUCCAGGGGGCCCACGAGAUAGGAGGCCGCGCCCUAGGGGGGGCGCGCCCCCUGUCUCGGGGACAGCCUGUGGGCCCCCUGGUCUUGAUUCUUUGGCCAAAAAUUCUUAUUAAUUCCAAAAAGUGCAUCCGUGGAUUUCCAGGACAUUCCGAGAACUUUUCUUUUCUACACAUAAAACAACAUCAUGGCAGUUCUGCUGAAAAUAGCGUCAGUCCGGGUUAGUUUCAUUCAAAUCAUGCAAGUUAGAGUCCAAAACAAGGGCAAAAGUGUUUGGAAAAGUAGAUACGUUGGAGACGUAUCAACUCCCCAAGCUUAAACCUUUGCUUGUCCUCAAGCAAUUCAGUUGACAAACUGAAGGUGAUAAAGAAAAACUUUUACAAACUCUGUUUGCUCUUGUUGUUUUAAACAUGAAUAGCCAGCAUUCAAGUUUCAGCAAAUAUUAUGAACUAACCAUACUCACAAUAACAAAUAGGUCUCACAAUUACUCAUAUCAAUAGCAUAAUCAGCUACCGAGCCAUAAUAAUAAAACUCAGAUGACAACACUUUCUCAAAAUAAUUAUAACAUGAUAUAACAAAAUGGUAGCUCGCUAGCCCUUUCUGAGACCGCAAAACAUAAAUGCAGAGCACCUUUAAAGAUCAAGGAGUGACUAAACAUUGUAAUUCAUUGUAAGAGAGAUCCAGUCAAGUCAUACCCAAUAUAAACCAAUAGUAAUGAAUGCAAAUGACAAUGUGCUCUCCAGCGGGUCCUUUUAAUAAGAAGGGUGAUGACUCAACAUAAAAAUAAAUAAAUAGGUAGGCCCUUCGCAGAGGGAAGCAGGGAUUUGUAGAGGUGCCAGAGCUCAAUUUUAAAAUAGAGAUUGAAUAACAUUUUGAGCGGCAUACUCUCGCUGUCAACACAACAACUAUGAGAUGGCUGUAUCUUCCAUACUAGAUGCAUUAUAGGCAGUUCCCAAACAGAAUGGUAAAGGUUUAUACUCCCCCAACCACCAACAAGCAUCAAUCCAUGGCUUGGUCGAAACAACGAGUGCCUCCAACUAACAAUAGCCCUGGGGGAGUUUUGUUUAAUUAUUUUGAUUUUCUUUGAUCUUUUUGGAUCAUGGGACUGGGCAUCCCGGUUACCGGCCCUUUCUCGUGAAUGAGGAGCGGAGUCCACUCCUCUUGAGAAUAACCCACCUAGCAUGGAAGAUAUAGGCAGCCCUAGUUGUAACAUGAGCUGCUCGAGCAUACAAAACAGAAUUUCAUUUGAAGGUUUGGAGUUUAGCACAUACAAAUUUACUGCCGCAUAUAGGAAGGUAUAGUGGACUCAUAUGGAACAACUUUGGGGUUUAAGGAGUUUGUUUGCACAAGCAGUAUUCCCGCUUAGUACAGGUGAAGGCUAGCAAAAGACUGGGAAGCGACCAACUGAGAGAGCGACAAUAGUCGUAAACAUGCAUUAAAAUUAAUUUACAUCGAAUACAAGCAUGGCUAGGAUAUAAUCCACCAUGAACAUAAAUAUCGUGAAGGCUAUGUUGAUUUGAUUCAACUACAUGCGUGGACAUGUGCCAAGUCGAGUCACUCAAUUCAUUCAAAGGAGGAUACCAUCCCACCAUAUCACAUCAUAAUCAUUCUAAUAGCAUGUUGGCACGCAAGGUAAAGCAUUAUAACUCGUAGCUAAUCAAGCAUGACACAAGCAACUAUAAUCUCUAGAUGUCAUUGUGAAUAUGUUUACUUCAUAAUAGCUGACUCAGGAACGAUGAAUCAUCAUAUUUACAAAAACAAGAGAGGUCGAGUUCAUACCAGCUUUUCACAUCCCAAGAAGUCCAUCAUAUAUCAUCAUUAUUGCCUUUCACUUGCACGACCGAACGAUGUGUAUAAUAAUAAGAGUUCACGUGCAUUGGACUAAGCUAGAAUCUACAAGCAUUCAACUGAAAAGAGAAGAGAAGUAAUAUGGGCUCUAAGUUAAAUAAACAAUCAUGCAUAUGAGAGACACUAAGCGUUUUCAAUAUGGUCUUCUCGACCUCCAAAAGGAAGAAAAGAAAAUAAAACUAUUUACACGGGAAAGCUCCCAACAAGUAAGAAGAAGAACUAUAAAUCUUUUUGGGUUUUCAUUUUAAUUUCUACUACAAGCAUAGAAUUUAAAGUAACUAUUUUUUUUGGUUUUUCUUAAAGUUUAUCAAACACACAAGAAGAAAGCUAGAAAAAGAAAUUUAAACUAGCAUGGAUAAUACAAUGAAAGAGUAUGAGAACCCACGACUAGUGUGUGAACAUGAAUGUAAAGUCGGUGAGAAAUACGUACUCCCCCAAGCUUAGGCUUUUGGCCUAAGUUGGUUUAAUACCAAUGACCGCCUGGCUGAUAUCCAUAAGUAAAACUGGGGUUGUACUGAGAUGCAGAGGCAACAGCCUCCUGAGCAGCAGCGUGUUGGCGAGCUGCCUCCAUUCCCCUCUCGUAUUCAGUUGCUUCCUCCCUGGUGACAACAUAUCUUACUUUUGCUUGAUAAUCAAAAAGGUAGGGGGCAGGAAGAGUAAUAGGGACGACAUUGCGCCUGUCAUAGAUUAGUCGAUAAUGGAGGAAUUGUUCAUUCCUCUCAAGAAAAUUAUAAUCAAACAUAGCUUGUUUAUCCAAAUAAACAGGAGGUGUAAUCAUAUCCCCCUCUCAUGGGGCUAUAUUAAGAAAAUUAGCCACACGAGUUGCAUAAAUUCCUCCAAAUAAAUCCGCCCUUCUACUAUUAUUCUGCAACCUACGUGCAACUAUUGCCCCCAAGUUAUAACCUUUAUAACCUGACACAACACUCUUGAGGUCACAAAGAUCAGGGACACACAUGUGACAUGCUUCGUCCUUACCGUUAAUGCAUCUACCAAUAAAGAGAGAAAAAUAGUGUAUAGCAGGAAAAUGAAUGCUCCCUGUGGUAGCUUGUGCUAUGUCCCUAGAUUCUCCCACAGUAAUACUAGCAAGAAAAUCUCUAAAUUCAGAUUUGCGAGGAUCAUUAAUAUUACCCCACUGCGGGAGUUUGCAAGCAGUUGUGAAAUCCUCUAAAUCCAUGGUAUACGAUGUAUCAUAAAUAUCAAACAUGACACUAGGAGAAUUACGCACACAGAUAUAUUGCAACCUCCGCACAAAGGAAUCAGUCAAUUGAUAGUAUUGAGUACACUUAUCUUGUAAGAAGUCCUCCAGCUCGGUGUUACGCACAUACGCAUCAAAUUCCUCCUUGAAGCAUGUUUCGACCAUAAAAUCAUCAGAUGGCCACUCACAAGCUCGUACAUUUGCGUCCCUCGGCAAUUUAACAUCUUGCUCACGUAUAGCAAUCCUUGGCCCUUUCUUUGCCGAGGAACCACCUUGGUACAUUCUUCUAAGCAUAUUUCAUUCUCUGAAAUUUCUGAAAUUUUAGUAACUUCAAAAUAAAAGUGAAUAAAACUAAGCAAGAUUGGUAGCAACUACUCCUACAAGUGCCUAGAGCCUAUAUUAUGCAUUGGAAUUGCUUGGGACAUCAAAAAUUUGACACGCAAGCUCAAGAACAUGGUCACCUAUACAUCAAAACUUUGAAAUGAAUAAAGCACUAGAGCAAAAACUAAUUGGACCAAUGGAGGAGUCACAUACCAAGUAACAAUCUCCCAAAGCAGUUUUGUGAAUGGAGCUUUGAGCUAGGAGAUCGAAAAUCGUAGCAAAACGAGCUAGAACUCGUGCUUGAGCUGGAUGGGGUUUUUUUGGGUAGAAGAUGAAGUGUGUGGGUGCUGGCAUAAGUGGAGGGGGCCCACCAGGGGCCCACGAGAUAGGGGGGCACGCCUAGGGGGUGGGCGCGCCGUCCACUCUCGUAGCCUGGUGCUUGCCCCUCCUGCAGAGAUUUCAGUGCCUAAGAUCCUCAAAUAUUCCAGAAAAAAUCAUACUAAAUUUGCAUGGCAUUUGGAGCACUUUUAUUUUCGAACUAUUUUUUAAUGCACAGAUAAUUCAGAAAACAGACAGAUAAUACUAUUUUUGCUUUAUUUAUUCUAAAUAACAGAAAGUAAAAAGUGGGUACAGAAGGUUGUGCCUUCUAGUUUCAUCCAUCUCGUGAUCAGCAAAAUGAAUCCACUAACAAGGUUGAUCAAGUCUUGUUAACAAACUCAUUCCGAAUAACACGGAACCGGAGAAAUUUCGAAUAACACUAAGUUACCUCAAGGGGGAUAUGAAAAUCCCCAACAAUAAGAUUAUCAUACUUUUUCUUGACACUAGGGAGAGGAAAUUCAAAACCUCCAAUAAUAAUAGUUGGAGCUUUUUCAAUAGAAUUGAUGCUAUGAACUUGAGAUAGUUUCCUCGGAAAGUGUACCGUAUGCUCAUUACCAUUAACAUCAAAAGUGACAUUGCCUUUGUUGCAAUCAAUAACAGCCCCUGCAGUAUUAAGAAAAGGUCUACAAGGGAUAAUAGACAUACUAUCGUCCUCGGGAAUAUCAAGAAUAACAAAGUCCGCUAAGAUAGUGACAUUUGCAACCACAACAGGCACAUCCUCACAAAUACCGACAGCUAUAGCAGUUGAUUUAUCAGCCAUUUGCAAAGAUAUUUCAGUAGGUGUCAACUUAUUCAAUUCAAGUCUACGAUAUAAAGAGAGAGGCAUAACACUAACACCGGCUCCAAGGUCACAUAAAGCAGUUCUAACAUAAUUUCUUUUAAUGGAACAAGGUAUAGUUGGUACACCCGGAUCUCCAAGUUUCUUUUGUAUUCCACCCUUAAAAGUGUAAUUAGCAAGCAUGGUGGAAAUUUCAGCUUCUGGUAUCUUUCUUUUAUUUGUGAUGAUAUCCUUCAUGUACUUAGCAUAAGGAUUUACUUUCAGCAUAUCAGUUAAGCGCAUACGUAAGAAAAUAGGUCUAAUUAUUACAGCAAAGCGCUCAAAAUCCUCAUCAUCCUUAGACUUGGAUGGUUUAGGAGGAAAGGGCAUGGGUUUCUGAACCCAUGGUUCUCUUUCUUUACCGUGCUUCCUAGAAACAAAAUCUCUCUUAUCAUAACGUUGAUUCUUUGAUUGUGGGUUAUCAAGAUCAACAUCAGGUUCAAUCUCUACAUCAUUCUUUUUUUCUAGGUUGAGCAUCAACAUUAACAUUGUCACUAGGUUCAUGUUCAUCACCUUGUUGAGUUUCAGCAUCAGAGAUAGAAAGAGCAUUGGGAUUCUUAGGUGUGUCUACAGAAAGGUCUACAUGCAAAGUUCUAUCGUAUUUCUUUUUCUUCUUUUUAGAAGAACUAGGUUCCUCUAAAUUAUUUCUCUGAGAAUCUUGCUCGAUUCUCUUAGGGUGGCCUUCAGGAUACAAAGGUUCCUGAGUCAGUCUACCAGUUCUAGUAGCCACUCUAACAGCAAAGUCAUUUUUAUUAUUUAAUUCAUCAAGCAAAUCAUUUUGAGCUUUAAGUACUUGCCCAGCUUGAGUAGCAACCUUUGAAGCAUAUUUUCUAACGAGGUGAAGUUCAUCCUUAACUCUAGCUAUAUUAUCGCCUACACGUCCUAUCUCGGAAGCAUUAUUCUUUAACUCUCUACCAACAUAAGCAUUAAAACUUUCUUGUCUAGCCACAAAGUCAUCAAAUUCAUCUAAGCAUGGGAAAUGAAAUUUAGUAGAGGGGAUUUCAACUUUAUCAUAUCUAUAGAGAGAAUUUACCUUUACUAUGUGUGUCGGGUUAUCAAGACAAUGUGGUUCUUCAUCAGGUGGUAUAUUAAGACCAUGUAUUUGUUCAAUAGGUGGUAAAUUCCUAACAUCUUCAGCUUCAAUAACUUUUUCUUUCAUUAAUUUCUUUGCCUCUUGCAUAUCUUCGAGACUGAGAAAUAAAACACCUCUCUUCUUCGGAGUGGGUUUAGGAAUAGGCUCUGGAGUUGGCUCAAUUGGUUCAGGAAUUACUUCAGGAAUUGGCUCAGGAAGAGUCCAAUUAUUUUCAUUGGUCAACAUAUUAUUCAAUAAUAUUUCAUCUUCGUCGACUGUUCUUUCCCUGUUAACACAACCAGCACAACUAUCAAAGUAGUCCUUGGAAGCAUCGGUUAGUCCAUUAUAAAAGAUAUCAAGUAUUUUGUUUUUCUUAAGAGGAUGAUCAGGCAAAGCAUUAAGUAAACGGAGAAGCCUCCCCCAAGCUUGUGGGAGACUCUCUUCUUUGAUUUGCACAAAAUUAUAUAUUCCCCGCGAGGCAACUUGUUUCUUAUGAGCAGGGAAAUAUUUAGCAGAGAAGUAACAAGUCAUAUCCUGGGGACUACGCACACAACCAGGAGCAAGAGAAUUAUUCCAAGUCUUAGCAUCACCCAUUAAUGAGAACGGAAAUAUCUUAAGGAUAUAAAAAUAGCGAGAAUUCUCAUCAUUAGUAAACAGGGUAGCUAUAUCAUUCAACUUGGUAAGAUGUGCCACAACAGUUUCAGAUUCAAGGCCAUAAAAAGGAUCAGAUUCAAUUAAAGUAAUAAUUUCAGGAUCAACAGAGAAUUCAUAAUCCUUAUCAGUAACACAGAUAGGUGAAGUAGCAAAAGCAGGGUCAGGUUUCAUUCUAGCAUUAAGAGACUGUUGCUUCCAUUUAGCUAAUAAUUUCUUAAGAUCAUAUCUAUCAUUGCAAGCGAAGAUUUCCCUAGCAGCUUCUUCAUCAUAACAUAACCCUUAGGAACAACAGGUAAUACAUAAUCAUUGGGAGAACCUUCAUCAUCACUAUCAUCAAUAAUAGGUUCUUCAGUAUUUUCAUUCCCCCUAACUCUAGCAAGUUGUUCAUCAAGAAAUUCACCGAAUGGCAAAGUAGUAUCACGCACAGAAGUAGUUUCAUCAUGCAUAGCAGAAGUGGCAUCAUCAAUAACAUGCAACAUAUUAGAAUUCAUAGCAGUAGCAGGUUUAGGUGUCACAAGCCUACUAAUAACGGAAGGAGAAUCUAGUGCAGAGCUAGAUGGCAGUUCCUUACCUCCCCUCGUAGUUGAGGGCAAAAUCUUGGUUUUAGCGUCUUUCAAGUUCUUCAUAGUGAUCAACAGAUAUAAAUCCCAAGUGACUCGGUGAAUAGAGCUAUGCUCCCCGGCAACGGCGCCAGAAAUUAGUCUUGAUAACCCACAAGUGUAGGGGAUCGCAACAGCUUUCGAGGGUAAAGUAUUAAACCCAAAUUUAUUGAUUCGACACAACGGGAGCCAAAGAAUAUUCUUGAGUAUUAGCAGUUGAGUUGUCAAUUCAACCACACCAAGAUAACUUGGUAUCUGCAACAAAGAAUUUAGUAGCAAAAGUGGUAUGAUAAUAAUAGUAACAGUAGCAAAAGUAAAGAUAAAUGUUUUUGGGUUUUUGUAGUAGUUGUAACCGUAGCAACGGAAAAGUAAAUAAGCGAAGAACAAUAUGUGAAAAGCUCGUUGGCAAUGGAUCAUUGAUGGAUAAUUAUGCCGGAUGUGAUUCCUCAUGCAAUAGUUAUAACAAAGGGUGGUAUAGAACUAGCUCCAAUUCAUCAAUGUAAUGUAGGCAUGUAUUCCGUAAAUAGUCAUAUGUGCUUAUGGAAAAGCGGGGUCCUAGUGGAAACUAAGGGAUAUUAAGUCAUCCUUUUAAUAGAGAACCGGAACAAAGCAUUAGCACAUAGUGAAUACAUGAACUCCUCAAACUACAGUCAUCACCGAGAAGAAUCCCGAUUAUUGUCACUUUGGGGUUGUCGGAGCAUAACACAUAAUAGGUGACUAUAGACUUGCAAGAUAGGAUCAAGAACACACAUAUAUUCAUGAAAACAUAAUAGGUUGAGAUCUGAAAUCAUGGCACUCGGGCCCUAGUGACAAGCAUUAAGCAUAGCAAAGUCAUACCAACAUCAAUAUCAGAACAUAGUGGAUACUAGGUAUCAAACCCUAACAAAACUAACUUGAUUACAUGGUAAAUCUCAUCCAACUCAUCACCGUCCAGCAAGCCUAUGAUAGAGUUAGUCACGCAUGGCGGUGAGCAUCAUGAAAUUGGUGAUGGAGGAUGGUUGAUGAUGACGACAGCAACAAAUCCCCCUCUCUGGAGCCCCGAACGGACUCUGGAUCAGCCCUCCCGAGAGAGAUUAGGGCUUGGCGGCGGCUCCGUGUCGUAUAACGCGAUGAAACUUUCUCUCUGAUUUUUUUCUCCCCAGAUGUGAAUAUAUGGAGUUGGAGUUGAGGUCGGUGGAGGUCCAGUGGGCCCACGAGAUAGGAGGCCGUUCCCUAGAGGGGGCGCCCCCCUGUCUUGUGGACAGCCUGUGGGCCCCCUAUUCUUCAUUCUUUCGCUAAAAAUUCUUAUUAAUUCCAAAAAGUGCCUCCGUGGAUUUCCAGGACAUUCCGAGAACUUUUCUUUUCUACACAUAAAACAACAUGAUGGCAGUUCUGCUUUAAAUAGCGUCAGUCCGGGUUAGUUUCAUUCAAAUCAUGCAAGUUAGAGUCCAAAACAAGGGCAAAAGUGUUUGAAAAAGUAGAUACGUUGGAGACAUGUCAGGAAGUGACGAACUAAAUAGGCCGAGAUAUAGUUAAUAAUGAUUGAAAUUACCUGUUGACUAUCCCCUUGACGAUGGUGUAGUAUUUUUCUUCUUUAAGUAGUGAGUCCAGUAUUUCAACUGUUCCUUCGUCAACUUUAAUGUCUAACAAGAUCCAGUGGAAACUGCAUGCGCACACGUUUGCAUGUCUUAAUUAAGCGGGCAUGUGCAUAACACUAAUCAACUACCGUAAACCCUAUACACUUAAUUAUUAAUAUCUAGCUAGCUAGUAAGCAAAAACAGAAUUUGUAGUACAAGACAGUGUGACUCACAAGAAGUUGUAAGGAAGUAGUAUAUCUUCAUUGGUAUAGAGGCGCUUGAAGAACUCCAACAUGUUUUCCUCUAAACUUACUCGACAAGUUGGAAGAUUCCAUGUGUACUCAUUAAUGCUAUUUGGGUCAAUGAACCCAAUGCCAUAGCGUCCAGAUUUUUUCAUUUCAUACAUCUUCAUCCUGCAUAUAAUACCACACAAAAUAAUAUAUAGUGAGGAUAAUUACAUGUAAUGAUUGAUCAAAAUGAUCACUAUAGCUAGCUUGAGACUUAAAUUACAGAAAUAAAUCACUUAUAAACAAUAGCAACUGACGAUGGAUUUGUCGAGUGCGUCUUGAUUGUAUAACUGAAAUAGUUCUGAAUACUCAACGGGCGGAGCUUUCUCAUGGAAGUAAUGCUCCUCCUUGACAUUCACCAUGAGGGACUCUCGAUUGGAAGUCUUGGUAAUGUUCAUGAACCAUUGAUGCAAUUCAUACAUUCUCGUUGGGAGGUUCUUGACCUUGUCUGGCUCGACCAAAGGUUGGCCCCGGACAUAUUUCCGUUUUAUUUCCUCCUCUCUAAGCGGAGACAUGGGCUCGAUUUCGAGGAGUUGUCCAACAGAGAUCUUGAGCAUUUCAGCCUGCAUUAUAUGCUCCUCCGUUAUUACCACAUCGCCCAGCUGGAAAACGUUAAUGGUUUGCCCACAAUCAUAUUGGGCGCGCGUACUCCUGUCAUGUGUUGUUUGCACAACAAGCGGGGGGAUCGAUUGCGCCACCUGUUCUCCCAGCUGGGGAACGGUUUUCCCACAUUUUUUGCCAGCUGCUUGUUGGCUCGAGAUUGAGCUGGCUUCCUUCUGUAGUUGUGCUCGAUGUGACUUCCUGAUUUGGCGCUCAUAGUCUGAGACAACAGGCUUGGGAGCUGGUGCUCUAGCCAUAUGAAUGAAGUGGUCAAUCUUUUCCUCAGGCACUUUCUCCCUUGGCGGCGGUGCCGGUUUCGGUCCAAAAUGGGCGUCCACUUGGGCCUGCACUAUGGCUGUGUUUCGCUCCUCGAUCAUGUCGUAAGGCCUCUAAGCAAGAGGAGCGAGGCUUGGACCAUAUUUAUAUCGCUUGUCUCUGCCUGUACUUCCUGUACUACCUCGAAUCGUACUGCUACACAGCAUAGCUGCGGCGUGUCUCUUCUGCGAUUGCUGAGACGGUGGAGAUGGCUGACGUGGCUGAGUUGGAGCAGGAGGAGUGGCCUGACGCUGUGCCGGACAUGAAGCAGGAGGUGUGGCCUGACACAGUGUCGGACUUGAAACCAGAGGAGUGGCCUGACAUUGUGCCGAACUUGAAGCAGGUGUCUGCUCAUGCGUUCGGGGACUUGGAGGAGGUGGCGGACUUCGAGGAGGAGUCGGCUCACGCGUUCGUGGACUUGGAGGAGCGGGAGUCUACUGACUCGGUGGUGGACUUCGAGGAGGAGUCGGCAGACGACGCGGUGUCGGUGGACUUGCUCGUCCUCCAAGUAUUGGAGAACCUGACGUCCAUAGCAGCCAUGUAGCGAUGGAUGUGCUCGUCCUCCUCCCUGACACGGCGACGCACCACCUCCGGCAGGCCGGCUCCCUCUGCACCAAAUGUGGCCCACACGAACACCACCAAAGGAGAUCAGGGUCGAUGACGGGACCCGAGGCCGGGUUCCUCACCAAGCGGCGCGCCCCUCCAGGUAGCACCUCCUAGUGCCAGCCCGGCGGAGCCUAGUCCCGGACAUGGGGCCUAUGAAGCAGGACGUCGUCGCGAACGGGUCGACGGCUAGGAUGCGGGCCGGGCAUAUCGUCGAGAACAAAUACUAUAUGCCCGCAAAAAAUAACAUUUCUUAAAUGAUUGGAUUUUGAUAACUAAAAUUCUAUAUAUAUGCAAAUUCUAACAAUUUGACAUUAAUCUAUAACAUUUCUAAAACUAAUUCUAAAAUUUCUAACAUUUCUGAUUAUAUAACUAACAUUUCUAUAACAUUUCUAAUAUUUAUAUAACUAAAAAACAGAAAAAUUGCUAACAUUCCUAUAAAUAUUUCUAUAACUAAAAACAGAAAAAAUUAUAACAUUUCUAUAUAACUAAUAUUUCUAAUAUUUCUAUAACUAAAAAACAGAAAAAAUUCUAACAUUUCUAUAGAUAUUUCUAUAACUAAAAAACAGAAAAAAUUUCUAUAACUAAAAUUUAUAAAAAAUAAACUAGUGUAUGUGUGUGUGUGUGUGGACAUGGCGACCGGGGCAUGAGCUCACCGGCGAGGCGNNNNNNNNNNNNNNNNNNNNNNNNNNNNNNNNNNNNNNNNNNNNNNNNNNNNNNNNNNNNNNNNNNNNNNNNNNNNNNNNNNNNNNNNNNNNNNNNNNNNNNNNNNNNNNNNNNNNNNNNNNNNNNNNNNNNNNNNNNNNNNNNNNNNNNNNNNNNNNNNNNNNNNNNNNNNNNNNNNNNNNNNNNNNNNNNNNNNNNNNNNNNNNNNNNNNNNNNNNNNNNNNNNNNNNNNNNNNNNNNNNNNNNNNNNNNNNNNNNNNNNNNNNNNNNNNNNNNNNNNNNNNNNNNNNNNNNNNNNNNNNNNNNNNNNNNNNNNNNNNNNNNNNNNNNNNNNNNNNNNNNNNNNNNNNNNNNNNNNNNNNNNNNNNNNNNNNNNNNNNNNNNNNNNNNNNNNNNNNNNNNNNNNNNNNNNNNNNNNNNNNNNNNNNNNNNNNNNNNNNNNNNNNNNNNNNNNNNNNNNNNNNNGCGACGAGGGGCGGGACGGCCAGGGCGGCGACGCGUCGGGUGCGGCGACGGCGUCGAUCGGGGCAGGCGGCGUGUCGUCGACGGAGAGGAAGAAACAGAGGGAAACUGAAUUUUUUUCAAGUGUUGUAUAUAUACGAUGGACCUUUAGUACCGGUUAGUGGCACCAACCGGUACAAAAGAUCUGUUUUGGCCAGGCCAAGCGGUGGGAAGCACCAACCCUUUAGUACCGGGUCGUGGCACCAACCUGUACUAAAGACCCCCUCUUUAGUACCGGUUGCAGCCACCACCCGGUACUAAAGGGGGUGCGCUGGCGCAGUGCAGUGCGGCAAGUUUAGUCCCACCUCGCUAGCCGAGGGGCGACUGCACUGGUUUAUAAGCCCCAGUGCGGUAGCUCUCUCGAGCUCCUCUGCAAGGUAGGCCUACUAGGCCUACCUGUUCACUGCUGCCCUAUGGGCCUACCGGGCCUUUACGGGCCUGCAUCCUGGCCCAAGAAAACGUUGUGUUUCUAGUCGUAUGCAGGCCGCUCUGGCCCAGUAGGCGGGCUUUUUUAUUUUCUUAAUUUCUUUGCUUUAUUUAUUUUUGUUUUAUUUAUUUUUGAGUUGUUUUUGCUGUAUUUAGAGUUUCUUUGUGAAUAUUUUUGCUUUAGGUACAAAUAAUUACAAACUUUCUGUUAGUGCCUGUAGUUUUCAAAUUUGAAUAGUUUAAAUUUUGAAUUAUUUGAAAUUUGUGUGAAUCACUAGUUUGUGAAUAACUUAACUUUGAAAAUAGAUUUUUCAGUGAUUCUUUUUUCUUAUGUUUAAUAUUAGUGUGUUUUAUCAUUAUAUUCAAUUUGGUAAUGCUUAGGUUAUUUAAAAAUGAAAUUCCUUUGUAACAGAUGAGUUUUCGUCCGAAACCCUGAUACUUUGAAAGAGAUUGUCCAGUUUGUACACGAAGUGCAUCUAGUUUUUGCCGUAACCCUCUUUACUUUUUUGCAUAUGCUAUGUGGGUGAAAUUAUGAUACCAUGCCAACUUUCAACCUUUUCUGAGUUCAUUUGAAAUGCUUUUCAAUUUCAGGGUCAUUUAGCUGAAAAAAUCAGUAAAUGCAUAAAAGAAUUUGUUUGCACAUAAAAUUUCUUCGCGUUUCAAAUGCCAAAACACAUAACUACCCUAACUAUUACAGAGAUUCCCUCCUGGGUGUGAAACACAGAAGAAAGUGAUGAUAGUGAAGCCGAUCACAUCCCAGAUCUUUGGGUGUGAAACUUUUUCUUCGCGUGUGUCCCUUUGCGCCGUAGCCAUGGAAAAUCUUCAUCAUUUAACUGGAUGCUCGGGUCAAUAUUCACUGUGAAUGGAGCAAUUUAAUCAAACUUUUCAUAAUAUUCUGACAUGUCUGUCUUGUCAUCCACUCCCACGAUGUUUCUUUCCCCUGAAAGAACUAUGUGGCGCUUUGGCUCGUCGUAUGAUCCAUUCGCUUCCUUAUCUUUUCUUUUUCUGGGCCUGGUAGACAUGUCUUUCACAUAAAAAACAUGCGCCACAUCAUUGGCUAGGACGAAUGGUUCGUCUGCAUACGCAAGAUUGUUGAGAUCCACUGUUGUCAUUCCGUAUUGCGGGUCUUCCGUUACCCCGCCUCGUGUCAUAUUGACCCAUUUGCACCGAAACAAAGGGACCUUCAAACCACCUCCAUAGUUAAGUUCCCAUAUGUUCUCUAUGUAACCAUAAUAUGUUUCCUUUCCCGUGUUGGUUGUUGCAUCAAAGCGGACACCACUGUUUUGGUUGGUGCUCUUCUUAUCUUGGGCGAUCGUGUAAAAUGUAUUCCCAUUUAUCUGGUACCCUUUGAAAGUCAUUAUAUUCGAAGAUGUUAACAGGGAGAACGAGUAUAGGUCAUCUUCAAUAUCACCAUCAUGCAUGGCACGUUUCUGCAAUCAACCGGCGAAAGUCCUCGUUUGUUCACGUGUACUCCAGUCGUCAGACUUCUCCGGGUGUUUGGAGUGUAGAAAAUUCUUGUGUUCCUCCAUAUACGGAGCCACCAAGGCGGAAUUCUGUAGAACUAUGUAGUGUGCUUCAGUGAGAGAAUGCCCAUCCAUACAUAUUAUUUGAUCCCCUCCUAGCGUGCCGUUUCCAUCCAGUCUGCCCUUAUGUCGCGAUUCAGGAACACCAGUCGGCUUAAGGUCAGGAAUAAAGUCAAUACAAAACUCAAUGACCUCCUCAUUUUCAUGGCCGUUCGAGAUGCUUCCUUCUGGCCUAGCACGGUUAUGAACAUAUUUCUUCUAGACUCCCACGAACCUCUAACAUGCGCUGCAACUUCUUCUUCUUCAAAUCACUUGCGUAGUUUCUCUUUGCAUCGGCAAUGGCACGACCUAGAUCAUCAGCGGGCUCAUCUGAUGCCUCUUCUUCAGCUUCUUCCCGCAUUGCCGGCUCAACUUCUUCCCCCGUUGUUGUAUCAUCGUAUUCAGGGAACCCAUGGCCAGGAUAGCUGUCGUCAUCCUCUUCUUCUUCAUUGUCUUCCAUCAUAACCCCUCUUUCUCCGUGCUUGGUCCAAACAUUAUAGUGGGGCAUGAAACCGGACUCAAAUAGGUGGACGUGAAUGGUUCUUGACGUAGAGUAAUUGUGAUCAUUCUUACAACCAGCACAUGGACAAGGCAUAAAACCAUCCGCCCGCUUGUUUGCCUCAGCGGCAAGCAGAAAAGUAUGCACGCCAUUAAUGAACUCGGGAGAGCAUCGGUCAUCAUACAUCCAUUGUCGGCUCAUCUUCAUUACACAACACCGAAUAGACCAAAUUAAUACAAGUUCAUUCAUAAAGUUCAUAUACAACACUUAAUUAAAUGCAACAUACAAAUAACUCUCUAGCUAAAGAAUUUAAAUGCAACAACAAAUGCGAUCAAGAUCGCAACUAAGGUAACAAUUGAAACAACAACAUAAUGAUACCAAGACACACUAUCAAUGGCAUAUUUUCUAAUCUUUCUAAUCUUCAACCGCAUUUUCUCCAUCUUGAUCUUGUGAUCAUCGACGACAUCGGCAACAUGCAACUCCAAUUCCAUCUUCUCCCCCUCAAUUAUUUUCAUUUUUUCUUUCAAAUACUCAUUUUCUCUUUCAACUAAAUUUAACCUCUCGACAAUAGGGUUGGUGGGAAUUUCUGGUUCACAUACCUCCUAGAUAAAAAUAUCUAUGUCAACUUGAUGGGCAUAAUUUGUCAUAAAGAUGAAAUGCAACAACUAGUUUUAAAAGAGAAUAUACCACAUACGAAUCAUAACAAGGACGAGGGCCGACGGUGACGGAUAUCAAAACCAUGGCACUAUGUAUAACAAACAACAUACAGGUAAGAUAAUUAUACGAGUAACUAUAUAUCCAAUUCACACAAACAUCAAUUUGGUAAUGUAAUACAUUCAUGAACAAGAGCCUCACCACAUGGUGGUGCCGGCGACGGGACGGUGCGGGCGAUCGACGGUGGUUAUGACGGAGAUUUAGAAGGGACUAACUAAACCACACCUACAUAUGAAAACUAAGUGUUAUUUUUGACCUCAAAUUGCAUAUAAAUCAAAUACUAGCACAUAUAAUUCCUCCCAAAUUACUAAAAUCACAAAUUAAUCACUAUACAAAGCAUUGCAAGAGCUAAUCUAGCAAUAAGAGAUGAAAGGACAAAGUUGCUAACCUUUGUGAUCAUUUGAAUGGAUGGGGGCCUUCAAAUCUUGACAAAUUUUGGGCAAAAUGUGUGAUGAGCUCGAGGAAGAGAGGGGAAGAACAAAGGAGGAGAGGGGAAAGGGGAAGAACAGAGUGAGCUCGGGUGGACGAAGGGUUUAUGUACGAUGACCUUUAGUACCGAUUCGUGCCACGAACCGGUACUAAAGGUGCUGGAGGGGGCCCAGACUGACAACAUCCUGCCACCACUCUCUCUAGUACCGGUUCGUGGCAAGAACCGGUGCUAAAGGUUCGCCAUGAACCGGUACUAAUGAGAGCGGCCGCCUAGCCGUUUGAACCGGCACUAAUGGACACACUAGUGCCGGCUCAAAAUCAAAGCGGCACCAUGUGCUUCACAUUUGACCCUUUUUCUACUAGUGGUAGGACUUCAUGAGGGCCUUGAUCUCCUCCAUUUUAGAUUGCAUCUUGGCGUCGGAGUUGUUUUUCGUGACAUCGAACUCGUCAUUGUUGUUGUAGACCGAAGGUGAAAUGCCUUGCCUAUCCAUCACAAGACACGAGUAGAUGUGAGUAGGAAAUGAGAUAAACAAUACCAAGUUACCGUUGCCCAAAGUUGAGGAUGUAUCCCGUUUCACUCAAUGUGAGAUGAAAGAAUAGUGGAAUUGGUACCGGACUUGUUCACUCACACCUACAAAGUAACGCUUAUGGUGGAGCUCGGUGAGGAUGGUGGCACAAAAAUGUAAUGCAAAAUGUUAGCAAGAGUCAAUAAUGUUGAAAGAGAUUCACAGAUUCGCAAGUGAAACAAGUAGACCAAUAGCAAUGAAUGGCACACGGAAACACUUACACGGAUAGAUAAAUGGGGUCGUGCAACCAAGGAAUGAGCACAAAAUGUGGAGUCCACAGCAAAAGCUCGUGUUGCACAACUCAAGAGAGACGCUGGCACGAUUGCUCAAUAGGCGGAUGUCACUUGUGCACAACCUAUAAGAUGCAAAAUGGAUAAAGUUUAUGUCCCAAGUAUGCUAUGUAUGUAUGGUUCCUGGUGUUUCUCACACGAUGAUCCAAGAUGAUCAAGUAUGAUACCAGAUGAUAUAUUGUAAUGCACUCUGAUACGAUGCUAUGGCUAUUGCUUACAAGCUCUUUGUUCACUCUUUUUCCUUGCUUAAAAGCUUAUUCUUUUUUCUUUUUUUUGAUAUUUCCACAAUGCACAAACCAAGAUAGCAAUUGUGUAUACGCGAGAACAAUCUUGUGACACAAGCGAUGAUAUGAUGAUACCAAGAUGAUAUGGUAUGUAUGCAAUGGAAGGUGUAGAUCGGUGAUCACUAAUGUGCACAAGUAACGUUGCCGGCAAUAUUCAAAUGGCUAGUAUCGAUAGGCAAGUGAUGCGAAAUGGGGUAGGGGUUAAAGAUGCAAUGGCAAGGGGAAUAUACAAUGGUUUCGUCGAGGUUACCGUUCCUUGCUUAUGGUUAAUGGUGUCAAAAUGGUGAAGUGGUCAAUGUCGAUCACGACCUCGUGGCGAGGAUGAGUGGCGGUUUUCUCGAUGUAGAACCGUCCCUAAUUAGCCGAAACACCUUAGGAAACAAAAAAAUAAAACUUCGAACUCAAAAUCUCAAAUGUCAAAUGUCCAUGCGGUGGCGGUUUGCAUUUAGCAAUGCGGAAGUGGAAUGAUGGGUUAUGCGAGUCAAUGUUGGAGUGACCAUCCCGAAGUAGCCGAAACACCUUAGGAGACACAAGGCACAACUCAAACAAGCUCAGACAAAAUUGGGUUUAGUUCGGGGUGGUGGAAGUGUAUGGUGGGCACGCCUAUGCGGAAGUUAUGGUGGUGGUUGAUGAAGAAGCAACCGUCCCUAAGUAGCUGAAUCACCUUAGGAGACUCGAAUCAGUACUCAAGAAACCACUAAUGCUAUGGCAAGCAAAAUGGGCUAGGUUGCGGAAGUCGAUGGUGGUAUAGCGGAUGAUGUGGUGGAAGCCCUAGGCAACCAAAGUUCACAAAUUUGAUGGGGUCAAAUGAGGUUGUUGGUAUUUUUUUCGGAUGGACGAUGUCAAUAGCUUCAAAACGAUCUAAAGAACGUCAAAAUCGGAGUUCAGAUGAAUUAGUUAUGACCAAAACAAAAAUCAGCCGAAGUCGCAGACUAAGGCAUAGCAUAGUGGUGGGAAGGGGCUGAUGCCUUCCCACCCACCCAGUUUCAAGGCAUGGUACUUGCAAUUCAGGUUUGAUGCACCAAUUAUACUGUAGGGGGUUCCCUUACAGUCUUUCUGUCAAAAAAAAAUCAGCCGAAGUCAAUAUCUACAGGUGUUGGACGUCUGGUGGACGGAUGUCCGGUCGGGCUCAAAAAUCCGCUAAUAUCAUCCUGUUGGGUGGCACCGGUCCUCCGGUAGGGCGAGGACUUCCGGUGGUUCCUAAGGCUCGGGACGUCCGGUAAAGUGGCGGUCGUCUGGUGGGUCGGGGUCAACGCGAGAUGCGAGUUUAGGGACGUGAUUUUGGGCCGAAUUUUGGCAUUUUGGAGGUAAAAUUGAGGAGAUUUCGUGGAUGAAAGAUGGGGAAACUUGGGGGAAAGCAGAUCCACUCGAAACCAACCAAAUCCAUGGAUCAAAAUCAACAAAAUAUCAUCAAACCAACAAAUCACAAAAAAAAUUGAGGCUAUAUUUGGUGGGGAUUUUCGAAAUUUAGGACGAAAUCAAGCAAAAGAAGGCUAGAAAACGAUGGGACGGACUCCAAAUACGUGAUCAACGUGGCUUAUGAUACCAUAUGAUGCGGGGCUAACCCGGCGUAGGUCGACCAUUCACGAUUGGAGUGGAUUCCCUCAAAGAACACGAUGAACACGUGGAAGAACAGGGACAAAUCACAACGGGAAACACUCAAGAACAAGUCCAAUCACACAUCCACUACACAAUCAAACACACAAGAUCACAAGGUGCAUGAACAAGAAAGGGAAAUAUAUAAGGUAGAGUUCAUCUCCAAGAGGAGGUCUUGAUGGCAUUCGAGACAGAUCUUCCCGUGAGGGGUCUUGACGAUAUAUCUCACAGGAUCUUCUCACAUGGAGGCCUUGAACUCCAUCGGAGUGGUGGUAUCUCUCUCUCUCUCUCUCAGGAGUAGAGGAAGGUAGGAGCAAAGCUCACAUACAAAUGAGCUAUCACUUUGCUAACCCUAGCUAGGAGGAGGUAGUGGGUAUUUAUAGUCUAAGUGGGCGAAAGGGUAAGUGGGAAGGGAUACAAGGCCAAAGGCCCGCGGCUGCGCACAGGCAGUUACCGGAUGUCCGGUGGGUACUGGUCGUCCUGUGCCUCGUGGGAGACCGGUCGUCAGCUAGUCACCGGACGUCCACUAAAUCUGUUCUGUUGAAGAGGCACCAGACGUUCGGUAUCUUCAGACUUCCGUUAAGUACCGAUUGUUCGGCAGGGGCUGGACGUCCGCUCGCUUGGGAGGUGUGGUAGCUGCCAUUGGCCUAGCUUCAGGCGCUGGUCGCCCGGUGGAGGUCGGACGUCCGCUCGCUGGCCGAUCGUCAGGUGGGGGCCGGACGUCCGCUCGAUGUAGCUUCUUUGGCAGCUCUUCUUCUUGCGUCUUCGUUUCCACGCUACCCUCGCAGAUGGUGUAGUUGUACCUUCGCGCUUGGACUCGUCAUCCCGUGAAGAUCCAACAAUACCUAUGCAUGCACACGAGAGGAAUGCCAAGUAGUAUACCAUCUUUGAAGGGGUCAAGUGAACACGUGUAAAGGAGAUGAUUCGCCUUUGUGUACGUGAAGUAGAUGUGGCACGUGUCACUCGCCAAACGGACUCUUGACAUGGUGAUGUCCGUAGGAUGCUCUGCAUAAUCGUGCAGUCAUUGGGUUUGUCCAUUUGGCGACACCCGCAACAACAUCACGUGGAGUGGCUAUACAACUCCGGAAAACUAAAGAUCACACAUAAGGUACGUGUGAAGUUUGCAGUUGGAGAUUAUAUUUAUGCGGUGGACUGUGAUGUUGUGCCAAUGGAUGUGUGUUAGUUGCUAUUGGGAAGACCAUGGCAUUUAGAUCAUGAUGCAGUACACGCUGGAAGAUCUAACAAAUACACGUUCAUGCAUGAUAGAAGGAGGCACGUGCUGAAACCAAUGGCAGAUUCUGUGAUCAAAAUAGAACCGCACACUCCGGAUAAAUUAAUGGUAUCAAAAAUAGACUCGAAACCGAGGACGGUUUCAUUUCAAGGGAGAGAGGAUGAUACGGGCAUGACACCGUCGAUUGUUGAUGCUAAUAAAACUGAACCUGCUAAGGAGUUGAGCAAUGGGAUAUUUAGUGGAAUGGUUGAUUAUGUUCAGUGUUGUUCUAGAGAGGCUCGAAAAGAAAAAGAGUCUACGAUCCCACAAAAAGUGCAUCAUGGCAAAGAUGGAAAAAUAUGUGAGGUUUGUUGACCUAGGAUUGCUAAAGUUUUAUCACGGCACAUUUUAUCUCUUGUGCAACUGAGACAGAGAGAUAAUUCACAUAAUGCAUGCGACAAACAAAAACUAUUGUGUCGAGGCAAAAAUACGGUGCAAGAGGCGCACCAAAUAUGCGACAGAAGACCAUGUGGCAACAACCAUUAGGAACCGGAGCCUGCGGAGGUAAAACCGAUGUUCCGCACACCUCCUGAUUUUAUAAGAAUCGGCCUCAUUGAUCUCAGUUUGCAUGGCAAUAUCACGUUAGAUGCAAACUAAGAUGGUGCUUUGGAGUCCACGUCCAAAUAGAAGACAAGAGAUAGAAUUCCUUUUGAGUUGUGCUAGCUAGAUAAGUAGGAGUACGUUAGUUGGUUUCUGUUAGGAUGUAGUCAUUAAAAUAAUAUCAUUCCUUUUAGAGUCCAGAUCAUUAUUACUUUCUGUUUAAGCGUACGAGAGUAAAGCCAUAUAAGAGGCACGCUUCGGCCAUCGUAAGGGAGUUUUUUAAGGUUGAUUGGAGUUAUGGAAUAUACAGAAAAACAUCCGAGUCGCGGACGACCAUAUCGUGUGUAUUAUCUGUGAUUUUUCCAUCAAGGAAAUUUACUAGCGACGGAGGGUUGAUCAUCACAUCGACGCCUACGUGCUGAUCCGAGGGGAUCAUUAUUUUUAGUUCGUGUAUUUUCAUAUGCGGGUGAGAAUUAUUCUUGGAGGUUGCGAGAAGGAACUGUUGAUCGACCAUCGCCGUGAAAGAUCGGGCCAUCUACACACACGAAUUAGCGUCUCGGUCGUUUGUGCCUCAUCAGAUAUUGGGUUAAAACUUCCCUUGUUUUUAGAUUGAUUCUUGGGUGGACGCAGUAGUAGGGGUCUCUUGAAUCUGGAUACGUGAGUUCUUACUAUAAUUCUGAACAACAGGAAGCUUCAGUACACAGGAAACAAAAUUGGAUGUUUUGUAGGUCAAUCGAUCGGCACAACGAAAACAGUUUUUAAAUUUAACUGAACGCCCCCCGCUAAAAAAACAUAACUGAAGGCCAUGGCAUUGUUGGAGCAAAGAGCUAAUCUUACCAGAUUAGGAUGACAAUGCUGACAACGUGCUGGAAGUUCAAUACUUCAUUUUUCUAUGAUCAAUGCAGGUGUCUUCUAUGGGGCUUCUGGCAGCAAUAGUAGGUGGGUGAGCAUACUUCCUUGUUUAAAUAUUCGGACCAGCACAAGGAAUGGCGGAACAAGCUAGUAUACUGAUAUAAUACUAAUAACCUGUCAGUACCACACUAAUAUUUGUUGGAGAAGAUGCGUGAAAACCAAAGUUGUGAGUUUGCUUAUUUCCGCUUGCAUCAUCUUUGUGGAGGUCAAGACUUUCCUUACAGUGUAACAGGGCUAAACUCCACACCUUCAACCAAUAACCAGAGAGAGCAGCUCAAAAAAAAAAACCAAAUAGAGGCAGUUAGGAAAGGUGGUUAUAAUGGCAUACGGAAAACUCAACUCUUCUUUGUCUACACUAAUGUGCUGUUCUGACUACCUGGACUCAGAUGCAUACGCAAAAUUAAGCCCAUUAAGAGGCGCUAGAAUGGUGGCCAGACUUUUUCCUACCCUAGCUGCCGCCACCACCAAGGCGACUAGGGAGGCGAUCUCUGUCCUCCGAUCUUCACCGGCCGGGGCGCUGGCCCCCUCUCCCUUCGGAUGCUCCGGCGGCAGGAGGGAGGGGGGACCCCGUUCCUCUGCUCUGUAGUUAGGUUUUGGAUUUGUAGGUCGUGGUGCGUCGUUGAGGUGGUGCGAACGGCGCCCGGACGAAUAAAUCUGCCUCAACUCCACUCCCACACCGAAGGUGCCCUUCAUGGCGGCGUCUCGGAGUUGAUGGCAUCGUGUCUCUGCCAAUCCCAUAGAUCGGCAGCGUUAGGGUUCAUGGAUGGUGUUGGCGAGGCGGCGGCGACGACUCCAUCAGGUGUGUCUCUCCUUCUGCUCUAUCCCCGUUGUUGUGGCGUUGUCUCCGACGUCAUGGUGGAGCAGGGAGGUUUUGUCAUUCAGGAGUACACGCAGGCGGUUGUCUGUACAAGUGACAGCUGGAAGAUGGAGUUUCUUGUGCUGGGUCUGUGGUCGAAGGCUGGCAGUUCUGAUUUCCUCCUCAGACGUAGUCGUCAUGCGGGGGAUUCAGUUCUGAAGUUCGAUGGCGUGCCCGGGGACAUGUUGCCCCGGUCUGAUUCUUUCAAUGGCUAUGGUUUUGCUUCUGGCAAACUACUUUGGAGGUCCGUAAAGCUGCUGAUCAGCGAUGGAGCCGCGUCGAGCUUGGGUGAAGAGGUGAUCUGUCUUUUUACACUUUGAUGGCUGCUUCGGUGGUGUCGAAGGAAAAGGGCAGGCGCUGGUAUUUUGCAUAGGAUUUCCUAUUUUUUCAGUCAUGUAUGGUCGGUGUUUACGUGCCUUGUAACAUGAUCUUUAUUCUAUAUAAAUGAGACGCGUAUUACCAUGCAAAAAAAAUGGUGGCCAACCAGAUACGCCAUGUGGCGCAUGCUGGUUGGUCACGGUGAGAAAGUUUUUUUAGAUGGCAGGGAGACUUUCGAGAAAAGUUUUUCUGGGCUUUUUCAAUUUCCUUUUAAGAUGGUUGUGAUGUCCACGUGAUGCGAGAUUAUUUUUUUAAAAUUUUGACAUGAUUGUGAGGUGCGCAUAUCUUCCUCUUAAGCGGCCCGCAAUGGCGGGCCCCAACCACUAGUCAAGAUGAAAGGUUACGCAGAUGCAAAUGAGGUUACAUCACAUUAGGAAAAUUCACUUCUACAACGGACCUGCUAUUUUUAAACUUAUAUUCACUGGGACUGUAUAUGCCAAUGUCUUCAGAUCAUGUGCAGCAGCCUCUUCAAAUUGCUAGCCUCAUUGACAUGAUUUGUGAACCGCAGUGCCAUGACAGUCUGCCUGAUGGAUGACCUCAGGGUGCAGUCGGGAUGCUCGUGACGAGCUUUAUGCCUCCAUCUUCCACUGGUCAAAAUCCCGUCCAACUGCUCAUUGGCCGCCUUGCGAAUGGCUGCUUUGCUGAGCGACUGCAGCAAGUGGAAGACCUCCCCGUCGCCGUCUUCUUGUUCGAUUGACACCAGCCGAACGAGAUGGCACCAUAUUCCCGUCCAAUGCAGGUUCGCCUCAGUUGCUCGAGGGAAGGGGACCUUGUAGCUGGAGGAAGGAGUCGGGGUCGUGGCUCCCUAGUGUGGAGGGGGCGAGGACCGUGCCUCGCGGCCGGAGGAAUGAGGGCGCGGGAGAUGCCAGUGGUGGCUUAAGGGGGGUCGAGGGGAAUCAGUGGGGCUUGUUUGAGCGUGGGGAGCUGGAACAGAUAGGCUAGGGUUUGUAAUUCAUUUUUUUUACUGGAUUAAAUCUUUCUCCUUUUCUCUUUGAGGUACAAGAGUAAAACAAUUACUCUUCAGCCAACCCACAGUCGGCAGCCACAGCAUCCAACAGGUCGUCUGGUAGUCCUGGCACACAUUGCAGAUUUCCCAUCGUCCUAGCGCGGGCAGCCAGCAGAUGUGCAAUUAUGUUCUUCUUCCUGUUAGCAUGCUGAACUUUCACAUUGCUGAACUUGGUGAAUUCAUGUUUGAUAUCCUCGAGCACCGGAAAACAGGCCGACAAACACCUGCCCCCCAACUUCAGAUUAUCCAGCAUGACUUUGCAGUUCGUCUCCAGUAACAAAUAACCGUUGUACAGCUCCGACUGGACUUUCAGACCUGCUAGAAGUUACUGCGCCUCCGCUUCCUCUACAGAUUUGCAUUGCUCCCCUCAUUCAGGCAGUGAGAAGAGGACAACACCACGAUGAUCGCGAGCGAUUGCACCGACCUGAGAGGUCCCAUUAGCAGCUAAAAAUGCCGCAUCCAUAUUGUGUUUGAUUGUACUUGCCUCUCGGGGAUCCCAAUGAUUGGUUGCAAACGCCUCCACCUCCUCCCCAUGCAUACACUGCCUGGCUUCCUUAGCUACACCACGUACUGCCUGGACUCCUGUUUCUUUACCUUUUGGGUCAGGUUCACUUCCAGCAAUGCACUUGAGGAGGUCCUCUUCAUACUGUAUCAAGAAAAAUGUGGAUCGACAGAGUGCUAUCUGAUUCCAAGCUAUGCUUCCACCUGUUCCUCUUUGUGGCCAGAGUGCUAGUCGUGACCCUCCACCCAAAACCUUCACCUUCUCUGGCACUUUGGCCUUCGAGAUGAUGUCCCAUAAGAUUCGAUCACGGGCUUCUCCUAACGAGCUGGAGGUGGUGCUAUUUGAUUGAUUUCGGAUAGAUACUGCCAGUCUAUACGCACUCCUAACCGAGAACACACCGGACUUUUGGUAGUGCCAGGCCAGCACAUCGGAGACCCCAACUCUGGGUAAUUUUAUGCUGCAGAUCUCCUUCGCAUCAAACCUGUAGAAUAAUUGGUGAAUUAGCUCUGUGUCCCAUCCGCUGCUAUCCAGUUGCAUCAAUUUAUUGACCUAACGAAGACUAGACCUUCGAAUGAACUUGGCGGGUUUUAGACCUUCCCUCCGAGGGAUCCAAUUGUCUCUCUGGAUGUUUAUCUUCCACCAUCGCCAAUUUUCCAAAUUAGUGGGGCUUUCAGAAGUUCCAGUCCAUCUUCAAUUCCAUGCCAGACAAGAAAGGCCUCAAAUGCAAAGACCGUAUCGAUCAGCUCCCCAUCUAGGUAGUACUUGAAUUUUAGCACCCGCGCACACAAGCUGUCUGGACGUUCGAUCAUCCUCCAAGCCUGCCUAGCUAGUAGGGCUAGGUUAAAGAGACUCAUGUCCCAAAAUCCAAUGCCUCCUUCUUUCCUGGGUUUAGUCAUCCGUUUCCCUGCCUAGCUUGUAGGGCUUGGUUAACGAGACUCAUGUCCCAAACUUUCCGGUGGCCAUUUUCCUCCCCUCACCAAAAGUCUAUAAUUAGUUUUUCAUACUUAUCACAGAAACCUUGUGUCAUCUUAAACACACCCAUACGUUAGGUGGGAAGGGCUUGUAGAACGGAUUUUACUCGAGUUUCUUUGGCAGAAUGAGACAAAUACCGCUCGUUCAAGUCUGAGCAUCUCUUAAUGAAUAUUUCCAUGAUUGGUUCAAAUUGCGAUUCCUUCAUACGGCCCUCCGGGGUAGGUAGCCCUAGAUAUUAGCUUUCAAAUGUAGAUGAUGUGAUUUGCAGCUCGGUCUUCACCUCAAGUUGAUUUGAACCUGGACAUAUCCCACUAAACAAAACCGAACACUUGUUGUUACUCAGUAAUUGACCCGAGCCCUUCUGGAAUCAUUACAAAAUCUCCAAGAUGAUUUUGAUUUGAGAUGCCCGGGCUCCCCAUUGCUAUUUUUAUUGGAGUGACCCCUCCCCACCGGAUCUCCAUGUCCAUCAGGUAGGACAGCCCCUCAACAACGAAUAAAAACAAAUAUGGACUUAUUGCCUUGCUCAAGGCCUCUCGAGGGGUAGAACAUUUCCAGGAGUUCUCCGUUAAACUUGACAGAGUACCGCAUUGAUUUCACACAGCCCAUUACCCAAUCAAUCCAUUGCUUGUCAAAAUCCAGUUUUGACAGGGCAGCCUCUCGAAAGUCCCAGUCCACCAUAUCGUAGGCUUUGGCUAAAUCCAGUUUGAGAACACAAUGGGUGUUGGCCGGCUGUCUACUAUGCUGAAUUUUGUAGCAACAUUCGAAAGCAAUGGUGGCAUUGUCCAUUAUCAGACGACCCAGAAUAAAAGCACUCUGUGUUUCUGAUAUAAUUUCAUCUAACAUAGGUCUAAGCCGAUUGAACAAACAUUUGAAGAUCAUGUUAUAGAGGCUUAUAGGGCAAAAAUCCUUCUAGUAUUCCAGAUUGUUUUUCUUUGGGAUGAGGACGAUAACCACAUCGUUUAUUCCUUCUGGCAUGAUACCCUCCUUGAAGAAAUUCAGAACUGCACUCACCACAUCCUGCCUAAUUGUACUCCAAUUUCUUUGGAAGAAUCUCGUGGGGAAGCCAUCCGGUCUGGGAGCUUUCAGAGGACCAAUUUGGAAAAGUGCAUCACUUACUUCCUUCUCCGUGAACUCAUUAAUUAACUAUUGUAUCAUUCAUCCCAGUAGUAACCUUCUCAUUCAUGUAAUUGGUGAUUAGAUUUGGGUUCAAACCUCCUUCCUUUGUGUAGAGCUCCUUGAAGAAAUUUGUGGUCAGCUCCUGAAGCUUAUCCUUGUUCUCCACCCACUCGCCACUGUCAUCCUUCAACUUGUUGAUUGUUUUCUUUUUGCGUCUCCAUGAAGCCUUCCGCCGAAAAUACUUUGUAUUCGUGUCUCCCUCUCGCAGCCAAAGAGCUGUCGAUCGUUGUGGCCACAUCAUCUCCUCAUGGUGGAGCAGCUCGUCCAGGUUUCUCGAGACUAUUUUGAUUUCCUAAUCUCUUUCUGGCGAAGGGGUGCGUUGCCAAAAGAUCUCUAGCUGCUUCCUUAGUGCACCAGUCUAUUUUAUUACAGAACCAAACUUUGUCUUCGCCCAAGUGCUCAGUGAUUUCUUGAGGUCUACUAAUUUAGCCGAUAUAUCAGAAAGACUAGCGCCUGGGUUUCUCCUAUGCCACGAUUCCAAUAUAGCAUCUGCCAAAGAGUCCAACCUUUCGCACAUGUGUUCAUAGCGGAAUGCUUUCCCCUUUUAUUUUAUUGUUUGAUGAGAAGAUCUUUCUCCUUUUCUUAAUUCUGUGAAGGACACAGGGACAACAUCAAAUCCAUCGGGCUUUCCCCUUUUGCGUGAAUGGAUCUAACAUGUCGACCCAUUGAUUUUUAUUUUCUUUUGUGGGAACGCAUCAAUUGGUCGGUGCUUGACAAAAGAAAUUUCAGCCAUCAAACUUUAUGGUAUAACGUAAAAUUAACGUAUCUAAAGGGAUGACAGAUGGAGAACUAUGAAAGGCUCCAUCUUUGAAUAUUAGGUAAAGAUAACAAGACUUAUCCCAUGUCCUUAAGAACAAAUGAAACUACUGACAAAUCAUAUUUAUGUUUAUGAUCAAAGGAGAAUUACAUACGAGUAACAAUCUGAACAUAUGAUUUUCCCCCAAGUAAACCAACUAGCAUCAACUAAAAGGUGUAAUCAACACUACUAGCAACCCACAUAUACCAAUUUUGGGUUUUGGCUUAAAGAUUGAAUACAAGAUAUGAACUAGGGUUUGAGAUGACAUGGUUAUGGUGAAGAUGUUGAUGGAAACGAGUCCUCCCAUGAUGAGAGGAGCGUUGGUGAUGACUAUGACUUCGGGUUUCCCUUACUGGAGGGAAGUAUCCCGGCGAAAUCGCUCAGCUAGAGAGCAAAAGUGCUCCUGCCAAGGGUCCAUCUCGAGACGGUCUCACAUUGUCCCAAAAGUCUUUCUCUUAUUUAUUGUAGGAAAAAUGACCUCAUAUAGCAGAAGAUGGGCAUCAGGGGACCUCUAUGGGCCCAAUAAGGCAACUAGGCACGCCCGCCAGCCUUGUGGGCCCACUAAGGGUCUUCUCCGGCACUUCUUGGUUCCACUAUUUUUAUAUAUUCCAAAAAUUUUCUUCACAAAUUUUCAGGUCAUUUGGAGCUCCGAAGAGUAACUAUAUUUGUUGUAGAAUUUUUUAGCACAUAAUUCUAGCUACCGACAAUCUUCCUCUUCUAGUGUAUCAUGCAUUUCAAGAGAGAACAUGCAUUAAAAUUGCAUCAUAAAGUGAAAUAUUGAUAUAAAAAAUUAUAAAUAACAACACGGAAACAUGAUACAAAAUGGACAUAUCAACUCCACCAAGCUUAGGAUCUACUUGUGCUCAAGCGAAAACUGAACUCGAUAAACACGACCACGGGUUUAUAAAGUGAGUUUUCUAUAAAUCAAAAUACAUACUUGGAAGCAUCAUCAUCAUUAUUAUAGCACUAGUACAUCGACGUGCUAUACAAACGGUUUUUAACACCUUUCUGUGACGACAUUUUGAGCUGUCACCAAGUGAGUGUGUGCGAUAGGGGGGGAUCCUUCCCACACGACCCAGAAACAGUCGGGGAUACUGAAAGUGCUAGUUAUCGACAAGAGGGGGUGAAUAGGCGAUUUUUAUCAAAGUCUUCAAAACGUGGAAGUUUCGAAGACAAUCAAUUGAAAUGACCUAAUUGAUAUGCAACGGAAGAUAAACUACAACAAACAAGCCAUAGUCAAGUAUGCAAUAAUGUGAACGUAUAAAGACUAAUAACAGCUAGGUAGUACGGAUCAAGAUGGAAGAUAGUAUGAAGCCAAUCAACGAUAGUAGUCAAGCAAUGAAGUCAAACAGAUAAGACAAAUAAGCAAUGACUUCACGAAGACAAACUCAAAGUAAAGGAGGGAAGGGAUAGAACCAGUCACUUGUUGAAGACACAGGAUUUGUUGGACCAGUUCCAGUUGCUGUGACAACUGUACAUCUGAUUAGGGAGGCUGAGAUUCAACUCAGAAGACCGCGUCUUCACCUUAUUCUCCUUGAGCUAAGGACACACAGUCCUUGCCCAAUCACUCUGGUAAGUCUUCAAGGUAGACUUCCGAACCUUCACAGACUUCGUUCACCGGCGAUCCACAAUGACUCUUGGAUGCUCAGAACGCGACGCCUAACCGGCUGGAGGAUACGAAGUCCUCAAGUGUAAUAAGUCUUCAGGUCACACAGACAGAAAGACUUCAGUGAUGCCUAACACUAUUUGGCUCUGGGUGUUUGGGCUUUGUCCUCGCAAGGAUUUCUCUCUCAAAGGCUUCGAGGUGGGUUGCUCUCAAAACGACAAAAGCCGUAAAUUAACUCUUAGCAGCCACCAAUUUAUGGUGUAGGGGGUCGGCUAUUUAUAGCCACAAGGCAACCCGACCUGAUAUGUCCGAAAUGACCCUGGGUAACUAAGGAACUGACACGUGUUCCAACGGUCAGAUUUCAAACACACACGGCAAUUUACUUGCGCUACAAGCAAAGCUGACUCAUCCAGCUCUGGAUAAGAUUUGCUCUCAUUGUCUUCGCUCGAAGACAUAGGAUUUGGGUUGAGCAUCACUUCAGUCACUCGGACUUUGUUCACUUGGACCCCACUUAACAAUACGAUGGUUCCUAUGACUCAACAAAGAAGAAAAGGAAACAACGAAACAACACAGUCUUCGCGCUCCAUAGUCUUCGCUCAAUGUCUUCUCAUGUCAUAGUCUUCAAUGUGAAUAUCUUCACAUACCACCAUUGUCUUCAAUGUCUUCAUACAUUUUUAGGGGUCAUCUCCGGUAGGUAAACCGAAUCAAUGAGGGACACUACCUGCGUUAUCCUGCAAUUCUCACAAACGCAUUAGUCCCUCAACUAACUUUGUCGUCAAUACUCCAAAACCAACUAGGGGUGUCACUAGAUGCACUUACAACCUCCCCCUUUUUGGUGAUUGAUGAAAAACUGGUUGAAGUUUUCAACGGGAAUAAAGUAUGUGAAAUUGUAAAGGAUAGGGCAUUGUCUUCAUAAGUGGCAAGGGCUCCCUCUGAAGAUGUGCAUAUAAGUAAUUUGCUUUUGGAAUGCAAAUGCACAUGGAAGGUUGUACUUGUGGAGAUCCUCUUCAACUUAUGAAGAUAAUUCAUCAUGCAUGAAAUGAUAUAACUUGAGGAAUGACAUGCAUAAUGGAAAAUGGACGUCUGCAGAAUGAUCUAAGUGUGUAAGUUAUCAUCGCACAUGAAAGAGCAAAUAAGUAGCAGACGACCAUCGAGUUUAAGUGUUACAACUCAACGAACGAAAUGUAUAAAAGCAAGAGUAGGCAAAAUAUAAAGCAACCGCCCAUAUGAACCCGCUUGAAGACUAUCAAACUCAUACGCUUCUCCCCCUUUUAUCAGUAAUGACCAAAAAGGUUUGAAGACAUAGAGCAUCUACUCGUCCUCAUGAGGAGUAGUUGAAGCAGCAGGGUUGUCGUUGUCGUCUGGCGGUGCAGACGAACUUGGUGCAGUGUUGAUGCAUGCAGAAGUAGGGGGUGGUGAAGUAGCAUCGUCUUCAUCAUCGAUCACGUUGGCAUUCACAGUUGCCGCGGAGGAAGAAUAGUCAGAGUCUUCAAGGGAUGGAGUUCGUCGUAGGACAGCAUUCCGUGCAGGAGUGGAGCCAAACUUGAAUCGUUCAGUGAAGCCAUCUUCUUGAAGAUCUGCUUCAGCACUGAGCAGGGUCAAACUUUUCCAUGAUCGCCGACAGGUUUCGUGAGUGACAAAUGCAUUCUUGGUGGCAAGAUUUCGAAUGCGAUUUACAUCCACCAAGAGACUUUGCAUCUGACGCUUGAGCCAAAAAUGAUGCUUAUCUUGUUUCUGAUGCAGAGCCACAAGAAGUUCUCGGUUAUUUAGGACCCGAGAGCGCUUCUUUGGCCUUUGAGAAAUUGUGCUCUCAGUAGCUUCAGUUGGCGCACGAUGAGGCAGACGAGUGUUUCCAACCAGCGGAUAGACACGAGUAACAGCUUGGACUCCUUCCAUAGGCUGAGUGAAGCUUUGAUGUUCAGCAUUUUGAAGACAAAGAGGCUUCUUCGCAGGCUCAGGGUAUAUGGCUUCAACUAACAUAUCAACCUCUGGUAGAAAGAUCACAUGAUUGCGAGCAUAGGGCUGAUAGUUGACAGCAGAGUGUUGCUUGAUGAGGCGCAUGACCCAUGGAGCAUAGAAUUUCAGGCCAAAAAGGUCAGAUCCAGAUGCAGCCAGUUGCCUGAGGAAGAAAUCUUGUGCAUUGAAGCUGAUGCCAUUGAGGAUGUAAAAGACCAAUGUCUUCAUGGCUCCUUCAAGUUUUGCAGCUGAUGAAUGUCCUUUGAUAGGCCAUAGAGUCCGCCUGAUGAUGUGAUAUAUGGUGCGCGGCAGAUACUCAAGGUCAUCAACAAAGAACUCCUUAGGGUAUUCAGCGUCAUGUGGCAAUGGCUUCAUCAUGCUCAGCAUCUGGCUCAUGUUGGGUUCAGGCUUAUGGAAGAUGCUCUCGAGUGCAUUGCGGUGGUUUUGACAACCAGGUUCGUAUAGCUCUCAAAGAGUGGAUAGGACUGUGAGCUCAAUCUUGUCAAGAGCUUUGGCAUCAUGAUGAACAUUUCCAGUCAUCCACUCGAGAAUCCAUGUUUUUGUAUCCCUGUUGUAGCCGCGAAUGUUGAGGGUAGCACAUAAUUGAAGCAAAAGUUCUUCAUUCCAAUGUUCUUUGUCUGUCACAAAGCUGAGCAGACCAGCAUCACGAAAGCAGUCAAGUGCUUCUUCUAAGCAUGGCAGUCCAGCAAUGGCUUCAGUGUCGAGGCGCAUAUGAGGGAAAAUGCGCCCUUGAUCAUACAGAACGCAGGAGUAAUAGCUUCGCUGCUGAUGACUCCAGAAAUAAUCAGAUGAUAUUCUUGGCCUUGAGUAGGGGUUCUUUGAGCUGUCAAAGAAGGUGUUGUGGCUUUUGAAGCCAUUUGCAUUGAAGGACCCGAUAGAUGUGGCAGUACCUGGAAACCUUGGCAGUCUUGGCUUUGGUUUCUGGACCUGAGGCCUAUGCUCAAUGUGAUAAUCAAAUUGAGGACCAGAGAUAUUAGGCGGGGGGGCCAGAACGGGCCAUUUUACUGUGAUUAGCUCGCCAUGGUUGUAUGCUUGCUCAAUUGUAUAGGGCCUUGGUGGCGGAACAGGAGCAGUGGCAGCAACAGUGGCUUCAGGCUGCACAACAGAAGCUUCAGGAACAGUUGCAGCAUUGACUUCUGGCAUGUUGCUUGGUGCAGGCUCCACAUUAGCUUCAGCCAUGACUACGUCAUUGGCUUCAUUCGUGUUAGUGGUGGCAGCCUCAACGUUUUCAACCUCCACUUGUUGAGCUGGAGGGUCUGGUAAGGGCACGUUCACUUCUGGAACAACUUCUUCAGGAAUGGGGGAGUAGAGACACGAUCUUCUUGAUGUUCGUCAUCAACUGAUGCAGCCAGAUUGUCUUCAGCAGCUUGGGCUUCAGACACGAAGACAUUCACAGUUUGAGUGGCUUCUAAAAACACUUGACGUGCAACAGGUUGGUGAUGCACUUCUCCUUCUGGAACGCUUGGAAGAGGGACUUGAGGCAUUGGUCCUUUGCGAAUCCUUUGUAAAACAGGCGACGCCUUUGGAGAUGGAGUAGGCAGGCCCUCAUCCUCUUCAACUUGCACAGAUGGUGUGACUUGUUGUUGUUGGGGAGUACUGGGGGAGUCUUGUUGUUGCGGGCGAUCAGCCCAUGAUGUAUCCUGAGCAAUUGGCAUCAGAGGACGACCAAUGCUGAUGAUUUCGCUGUUCGUGAGAACAGGCGAUGAUACCAUGUUGUGUUCAAUCUGAGGAAGAACUUCAUCAUCUUCAACAUUGUCAUGGUGACCAAUGUCUUCAGCAGCGAUGGGAUCAACUGCUGGAAUGUCUUCAGCUUCAUGAGCCUCUGUGGAAGCUGGCUCAUGAACAAUCAUUCGUAGUUCUUGAUUUGCAGAUGUAGGGCGAACCACUGAGAUAGGUUCAACAACAAGGGGCUCUGUGGGAGCAGCCCGAUUCUUCUUGGUUUUGCGCUUCUUCUUGGAGGGAGCAGCAUCAAAGGCUUCUGAGGGUUUUCGUUUACUGGCUUCAGCCUCUGCAGCCCUCGUCUUCUUUUGUUCUGAAGCGGUUGACAGGCCAUUUGGCUUCGAGCCAGUCAUGCUGCUUGGAAAGACUAUGCGUGGUUCAUCCUGCCUUGAAGAUGCAGGUUGGACAGUUGAUAGCUUCUUCUUUUUUGCAGCCAUCCUGGGGUCGAUGCCAGGACGACCAAGAGUCUUGCGCUUCUCAUCCUCAUUGUAGGCAAGCACACACUUGUCAGCCAAAUUCUUCAUGCGCUCUCUAGAGCCUCGAGCUUCUUCACGCUUCUUGUGAAAAGCUUCUUUGAGCUCGUUCAGCAUGAUCUUGAAGUUUUUGACAUCUUGCACGUUGAGCGUGCCCACAUGCUUCUUGAACUGAGCCUUUUCAUAGUCAAUCUUGUGCUUCAGUUCAACAAUGCGCUGAGCAAUAGCUAGCUCACAAGCAAUAGCGCCAUUGAAGCAGACGCUGAGGCCAAUGGGAAGUUGCAAGUCAUCAAACCUGAGAUUUGGUGUGUCAAACCACUCAUCAAUGAAGUUAUGGAUGAUUGCCACGUCAAAGAGAGGCAAAUUAUUGAAGAUCUCUACUUCUUCCUUGCUCUUGGUCAGUUGCUCAAGAGCAUCAUCUGCAAGAUCGUCAUCACUGGACAGAUCAAUGUGCUCUUCACGCAGAAGGGCAGCAGGAGUCAAUGUCUAAUCAGUACUCUUGAUGAUUUUCUUUUUCUUCUCCGUCUUCUUGGAGAUGCGUGAAAGAUCUUCAGACUGCACACUGUCUUCAGGAGGUGGAGUGGCCAGUGGCUUCACACAAGAAGCUUUUGGAGGUGCAGCUGAUGAUGAAGCCUUAGUUUUCUUGGGCUUCUGCGGCCUUGGAGGAGGAGCAGGGGCUUCAUCAGUAUCAGCAUCAUUAUCAGAAUGAUCCACUUUGGCACCUUGUACCAAGAUGUAUGAGACGAGGCCAUCAAGGUUCGUGAAGGGGCCGAUCUCAUUUUUUUCACCUUCACGUGUGCCGUCAUUAUGGGGAGCAGAGGGACCAGGAUUGAAGUCUAAUCCCCAUGACUUCUUGUUUUCCUUUGCUGAUGCCUUUGCAUACUGGAAGUUGCGCUUGAAGAGAUUAUCAUCACGACACUAGAGCAAUGAGGAUGGAUCAGCAUUUUCAGGCUGUGGUCCACGGACCAUACAAGGAUAGAAUUCUUGUGCAAUAGCUUCAGCUUUGUUCUUGGGGGGAAGGCCUCGAUAGAGAAUAUCACCCCAAGGACUCUUGAUCGCAUUUUUCUCAGCGUACUCCUGGGUCACGAACUUGUACUUGAACCAUUAAUUGUUCGGCCCAAUAGCGUCGAAUCCAUGGGAUUCGGGUCUUCACUACUAGGGAAAAGCCUAGCAGCAGCGUGGGUUUUGGGCCUAUUAGUAGCGCGGGAGCCGGCGCUACAAAUAAGGCGCUACAGCUAACGUAUAGCAGUAGCGCGGGUGCCACCCGUGCUACUACUACGUCCUUUAGUAGUAGCGUGGGUAAAAAUCCGCGCUACUACUACCAGCGCGGUUUUUUUUUGAAUUUUUCGAAAAAAAAAAUCGAUUUUUUCCCUAAUUUUCAAAUUUCUAAACUAUUUUAACCUCAAAUCUCUAAUCACCCCUCAUCGCUGCUCAAUUUAAUCUCUAAUCACCCCUCAUCAUUCCAAAUCAUCGAACUUCUCGGACGGUCACCCAUCCUCUCACUACUCCAGCCUGAGCACGCUUAACUUCCGGGUUCUAUUCUCCCUCGUUUCCAAGUCUGCACUUGUCGUUUUCCUGACAAUAGUAAGAUGUCAAUCCUAUUAACCUCAGGAAUUUGGCUUGAGCAUGAAGUCACACAUUUCACUAUUUGAGUUUGAAACUAUUGUUCUAAAAAAUUAGUAACACUAAUAUUUCUUGAAUAAUUAGUUUGACCAUAGUUUGACCAUAGUUUGACCACAGUUUGGCCAUAGUUUGACCAGAUUUGACCAAAAUUCAAGAAAACUAAAAUAAUUAUUUAGUAACACUAAUAUUCUAGAAUAAUUAGUUUGACACUUGUUUGACCACAGUUUGACCACACAGUUUGAAUUUUUUUCAAUUUUUUCCAUUCUAGAUCUUAAAAGCCCCGUAACUUUUUUUCUGUUUGGUUUUUGAGGAUUUUGAAAAUGUUUAACGGGGUUCCCCGAGUUAAAUUUGGAUGUAACUUUUCGAGUAGAAGAUUUUUCAUAUAAAAAACUUUUUCAUCUGAGUUAGUAUGCAAAAGUUAUGCCCAUUUUUACAAAUUCUCGAGAGAUUUUGCAAAUAAAGUCGAAAUUCAUAUUUGCAAAUUUUCCCAACAACUAGACCACAUAUCACAUGGCAAACUUAUUUUCUUUUAUUUUUUUGACAUUUUCAUUAUUUUCUUUUAUUUUUUUUAAACUGAAAAGGCGAUCCACAAGGGGGGGGGGGUAGAGUUUGAAAAUGGGACCUUUAGUAGUAGCGCGGUUUUUAGCCCCUCGCUACUACUAUGGCACCACUUAGUAGUAGCGAGGGCUAAAAAGCACGCUACUGCUAUCAAACUUAGUAGUAGCGAGGUUUUAAAAACCCGCGCUACUACUAUGGCAUGUCUCGGGGGGCACGGUAGAGACCGCUUAGUAGUAGCAAGGGUUAAAAACCCGCGCUGCUGCUAUAAACUUAGUAGUAGCGAGGUUUAAAACCCUGCGCUACUGGUAAGUAGCAGUAGCGAGGGUAACUAGUAACUUUCUGUGUAUAGGCUUUUCCCUAGUAGUGCUUGCGCUGAUUAUAAUCCUCUUGAGGAUCUGUCUUGUAGAUUUCUGCGAGGUCAUCAGGCAAAUCUUUUGAUGUUCCACCUCGACGCUGUCUGCCACCCUUCCUUACUGAUUUCUCUGCAGCCAUGAACUUCAAACUGAAUGGCUUCAAGGGCUUUCGCUUGCUGGUCAAAGGCUUCAAGGGCUUUCGCUUGCUGGUCAAACAGGAACUAGCUUCAGGAGAGUUAAUGUGUUGCUGUAAGAAUUCUGCAAACGAAUGCAGACUAUGAGAACCAAGGGAUUCUCCCACGGACAUGUACCUGUGAUAGCAUUAGAGAUGCGAGGGAAGGGGAAGAGGUCAUAUGCAUUCUCAGAAGAUUUGAAGAUAAAUCAGUUUGAAGACAUUGACCGCAUGCUGCGAAUGCAUUCACUUAUAUGUUGAGAGUUGGUUCUAGAUUUGUACGAAUCCGUGAAUAAGUACAAGUGAGGAAUCUAACUAUAUAUGAAGCUUAAGUGAAUAUACUAGGCAGUAUGAGAUGCAGACAGAAUAGAUCUAACAUUGUGUAGACAGAAACCAAUUUUGGUAAAUAGGAUGAAUCAAUGCGGAUCAAAAAGAUGGUAAAAAUAGAGUUAUAUUUACCACACGAAGAACUGCUAGAUGGGAUGAAUAGGAGACCGAGCAGUUCAAUCCAUCGUGCCCUAACUUGGCGAUGGAGUACACCUACGGCGGCGGCGGAGAGGACGAUGCCCGCGGCCGGCGUGAGGACGGCGUCGGAGAAGUUGCGGCAGCUAAGCGCUUCGUCGCCGGCAUCGUCGAGAGCUAGCGGUGGCGCUAGGGUUUGACGAGAUGGAGAUGUGGAAGAAGGUUUUCUUGACCACAGGGGACACGUAUUUAUAAGUAGGUGUGUGGCAAAGCCCAAUUACGCAGGUGCCCUCCCUGUUCACAUCCGUGGGACAUGUGGCAAGCAUGCAACAUACUCAGAGUUGUCCCAUGGUCCCACGCCCGCCAAGUUUGUCGGAUGGUUGUUCCGGCUUCUCCGGAUUUCAACAAUAAAGAUGAAUCAUUUAAAAGGACUUGAUGUUUGUCUCUGUGCCUUCUGCUGACAAGGAUGCAGAGAAGACAUUUGAUAGUUUCAAUAGAAUGCAUAUGAUUUGGACAGAUAGAGUUUGAGAUAGAAAGCAUAGAGAGGUUAGGGUCCGAUCACAUUCACUUAGUUCAAAAGAUUCACAAAUGAAGACAUAGCUAUAAGUGAAUGCUAUAGAGGACAAAAUACUAGUGUAUAUAUAUAUAUAUAUAUAUAUAUGAGAAAGCAAUCAACUCAACAUAGUGAAGUAAAUCAUGAAGAUAAGUUGAAAGUUGAAGACAGACCAAAUGCGAAGAUAUUCAACAAUAACUCCAUGAGUGAAACACUUCAAACCAAGAAAUUUGGUGGUGGCGUUACCCACCGUACAGGAAGUAUUAGACCCAGACACGGCGCACAAUUAUCAUGGCGCUCUGAAGUCAAAUUCCAUGUUAAUGUAUUCACACUCAGAAUGUAAGUCUUCAUUGAUUGAAGAUAUACUUUACUUCGUGUGUUGCACAUCCAAGUCAUCAACAUGCAUAAGUGUUAGGAUGUGUGCCUGAUCACAGGACAUUUGAGGAUUCCAAGAUAUUCAGCUCACACCGUAACUUGCAAAACCUUUUCUCAUCCAAGGGCUUUGUGAAGAUAUCUGCCAGUUGCUCUUCAGUGUUGACGUGAAUGAUGUAAAUAUCUUUCUUCAUGACAUGAUCUCUGAGAAAAUGAUGACGAAUUUCAAUGUGCUUUGUCUUCGAGUGCUGAACUGGACUGUUGGCAAUCUUGAUUGCACUUUCGUUGUCACAGAAGAGAGGGACUUGUUUCAGAUUGAUGCCAUAGUCCUUGAGAGUUUGCUUCAUCCACAGAAGCUGAGCGCAGCAAGAUCCAGCAGCAAUGUAUUCAGAUUCAGCAGUUGAGAGUGAUACACAGUUUUGCUUCUUUGAAGACCAACAGACAAGUGAUCGUCCCAGAAAGUGACAUGUGCCUGAUGUAGACUUGUGAUCGACCUUGUCACCAGCAUAAUCAGCAUCCGAGAAUCCAACCAGAUCAAAUCUUGAGCCCUUUGGAUACCAUAAUCCGAGUGUUGGGGUGUAAGCCAAAUAUCUAAGAAUUCGCUUCACAGCUAAGUGAUGAGAUUCCUUUGGUGCCGCUUGGAAUCGACCACACAUGCAAACACUAAGCAUAAUAUCUUGCCUAGAUGCACAUAGGUAAAGUAAAGAACCAAUCAUGGAGCGGUAUACCUUUUGAUAGAACUCUUUACCAUUGUCGUCAGGACCAAGAUGGUGUUUGGCUGGCAUUGGCGUCGUGCACCCUUUGCAAUCUUCCAUUCCAAACUUCUUCAGACAGUCUUUGAGAUAUUUUUCUUGAGAUAUGAAGAUGUCGUUCCUUUGCUGACGAAUUUGAAGACCAAGGAAGAACUUCAGCUCACCCAUCAUGGACAUCUGAUAUUGCUCUUGCAUCAUGUAUCCAAACUCAUCACUAUACUUCUGGUUGGUGCAGCCGAAGAUAAUGUCAUCCACAUAUAUUUGGCACACAAACAGUUCACCAUCAUAUGUCUUCGUGAAGAGUGUGGGAUCGAGGGAUCCAGGUUUGAAGCCUUUGCUCUUUAGGAAGUCUUUGAUCGUAUCAUACCAAGCGCGAGGAGCUUGUUUGAGGCCAUACAGUGCUUUGUUUAGUUUGUACACCAUAUCAGGAUGUUUUGGAUCUUCAAAGCCAGGUGGUUGAGCAACGUACACUUCUUCUUCAAUUUUGCCGUUGAGGAAUGCACUCUUCACAUCCAUUUGAUAUAGCAAGAUGUUGUCGUGAUUAGCAUAGGCUAGCAGUAUGCAAAUAGCUUCAAGCCUUGCUACAGGAGCAAAUGUUUCAUCGAAGUCAAUUCCUUCAACUUGAGUAUAUCCUUGAGCCACAAGACGUGCUUUGUUUCUGACGACUUGACCAUGCUCAUCUUGCUUGUUUCGAUAUAUCCAUUUAGUGCCAAUAAUGUUAUGCUUGUGAGGGUCAGGGCGCUUGACAAGUUCCCAAACAUUAUUCAGCUUGAACUGUUGAGGUUCUUUUUGCAUGGCUUGAAUCCAUUCAGGUUCCAUAAAGGCUUCAGCAACUUUCUUGGGUUCUGAUAUUGAUACGAAUGAAAAAUGCCCACAGAAAUUUGCUAACUGUGUUGCUCUUGAGCGAGUAAGUGGACCAGGUGCAUUGAUGCUAUCAAUUAUCUUCUCAAUCUGUACUUCAUUUGCAACACGAGGAUGAACUGGACGAAGACCUUGCUCAUGCUGAUCAUUGUCAUCAUUGGGAGGAUUGUCUUCGGUCUGAGCAUUGUCUUAAGGUUGGUUUGGUGCAGAAAUGAUAAGUUCCUCUUCAGGCUGUGCUUCAGAAGGCAUGAUUUCACCAGUUCCCAUCAGCUUGAUAGAUUCACUGGGAGGAGCUUCAUCUAAUGUGCUUGGCAGAAGCUCUCGUUGUGAACCAUUGGUUUCAUCAAAUCGCACGUCCACAGUUUCAAUGAUUUUGUAGUGAAAGAGGUUGAAGACUCUGUAAGAGUGCGAGUCCUAUCCAUAACGAGCAUGAAGCCUUCGUGAGCUUUAGGUGCAAAUUUUGACUUGUGAUGGGGAUCCUUGAUCCAGCACCUAGCACCAAAGACUCUGAAGUAACUGACAUUUGGCUUCUUGCAAGUGAGGAGCUCAUAGGAUGUUUUGCUCAGAAGCUUGUGGAUGAAACACGGUUGAUGAUGUGACAUGUUGUAUCAAUAGCUUCAGGCCAGAACUUUCUUGGUGUCUUGUACUCAUCGAGCAUUGUUUGAGCCAUCUCAAUGAGGGUUCUGUUCUUGCUCUCUACAAUGCCAUUUUGCUGAGGUGUGUAUGGGGAAGAAAACUCAUGAGUGAUUCCCAUUGUAUCCAGAUAAAGAUCAAGCCCGGUAUUCUUGAAUUCAGUGCCGUUAUCACUUCUGAUAUGCUUGAUCUUGACGCCAUAAUUGUUCAUGGCUCGAUUGGCGAAUCAUCUGAAGACAUCUUGUACUUCAGUCUUGUAGAGGAUUAUGUGCACCCAUGUAUAUCUUGAGUAGUCAUCAACAAUGAAGAAGCCAUAGAGACAAGCUGUUGUUAUGAGGGUAGAGUAGUGAGUAGGGCCAAAUAAGUCCAUGUGUAACAGCUCGAAGGGUUGAGAUGUCGUCAUGAUUGUCUUUGAGGGGUGCUUCGCCCUAGUCAUCUUUCCAGCUUCACAGGCACCACACAAAUGAUCUUUCUUGAACUUGACACCUUUGAUGCCUAUGACAUGCUUCUUCUUGACGAGUGUGUGUAAGUUCCUUGUGCCAACAUGCCCCAGCCUCCGAUGCCAGAGCCAGCAUUCUGAAGCUUUUGCAAGAAGACAUACGGCAAGCUGUGGACCUGCUGAGAAAUCUACCAUGUAUAGAUCAUCUUUCCUAUACCCUUCAAAGACUAGAGACUUGUCAGAUUCCUUUAGUACAAGGCAACGAUAUUUUCCAAAUAACACAAUCAUGUUCAAGUCACAAAGCAUUGAGACAAACAUUAAGUUGAACCCAAGGGAUUGAACAAGCAUCACUUUAUCCAUGUGUUGAUCCUUUGAGAUUGCAACUCAACCUAGACCCAAUACCUUGCUUUUACCAGUGUCAGCAAAUGUGAUUUGACUCUUGACGGAUGGACGUAAGGUUGAGUCCAUGAGAAGACUUUGAUCACCAGUCAUGUGAUUAGUGCAUCCACUGUCGAUAAUCCAUUCUGAAGCACGAGGUGUCAUACCCUACAGUGCAGUUAGGAGGAUAGGCUUCACAAGGUAUGUUGUGAAGCAUAAGCAUUUGACGCACACUAGGAUUAACACAACUUAGAUCAUGGUUAGAACACUCAGUAUGACAGGUAAGCGAUUCAUAUGUUGAAUACAUAGUAAGUCAUUUUAUCGAGCGUCCCUUAAUGUGUUUUAGGUCCCCAGCAAUAGUAUCGGACGCCUUUGAUUGCUGGAUGGAGACCAUAUUCUGCAAAAGAGAGUUAAUUGUUCUUCACCACCCACAUCUUCAGGGGUGGCUUAGAAGCAAUGAGUCUAAGUGCAGCAUCUGAGAAUUCCGGCUUUGAAGCCCUAUCAAAUAGCCUUGCAGGAGAUGAAUGAUACUCAUAUGAAUAAGCAGAAAAGUUCUUAGUCCUAUGAACAUGGCGGUUUGAGGACACACGUUCAUAUUCAUAAUUUUGAGCACGAUUUCCCUGCAAAACAUUGGUGUUAGGGUGACUCAAGUGAGUCCUGUACUCGUAUGAAGCCGUUGGACCAUAUGAUGCCUUUGUCUGGGGUUUGUCUUCUUCCCUGGUGGUGUCAUGAUGACAUUCACUGGAAGAUUCUUAAGACAGCUUUUGGGAACCCAGAUCUUCUUCAUAGGUGGUCCAUUCCUGUAGUUAGUACCAAUAUACCUGGCAAACACUUCACCAUUAUGAUUUUUGAACAUUUUGUAGUUUGCAUCAAAGGAUUCAUAAAUGAUAAUAGGAUUAGCACAGGUAAAGCCAGAUAAAGUGGAUGGAUCCACUGAAGGUUCCUUUGCAGCAACCCAUGUGGUUUUGGGAUACUGCUCAGGCUUCCAAUAGGAACCAUCAGCAUUCAUUUUCCUCUCGAACCCAACACCCUCUUUCCUAGGGUUUUGGUUCAGGAUCUGCUUUUUGAGGACAUCACAAAGUGUCUGAUGUCCUUUCAGACUUUUAUACAUCCCUGUUUCAAGCAAUGUCUUCAACCUAGCAUUUUCAUCAGCAAUAGCAGUGGUAUCCUCCGUAGAGGGGUUAGUUUCCACAUCAGUAGUUGAAGACAAUGCAAUAGUAGCAGCAUUAGUAGCGUUAUCACGCUCAAUGCAUUUUAGACAUGGUGGUUCAAAUCCAUUCUGUGUAACGCUGAUUUGUUGUGCAAGUAAUGAAUCGCGCUCCUUCAGAAGAUCUCCAUAAUCAACUCUUACCUUUUCAAGAUCUUGCUUUCUUUGAAGACAUUCAGAAGAAAGUUUCUCAUGAUCAGACAAGAGUGCAUUAUGUUGAUCUUGAAGGGCGUCAAACUUGGAAUGAAGUCUCUGAAGACUCUCAGCCAAAGCUUUUGACUGAUCCAUUUCUUCGCCCAACAUAUCAUCGCUCUUACUAAGCAUGUUUUGAACCUUUUCCAAAGCUCUUUGUUGUUUAGUGGCAAGGGAAGCAAGUUUGACAUAGCUGGGGCCAAAUUCGUCACCUGAUUCAUCAUCACUAGUUUCAGAGAGGUAGCAUUCACUUACCUGAGCACCCCCUGCCAUGAGGCAUGGUGAAGAUGAAGACGAUUCAGGUGGAAAGGUCAUCUCUUUAAGAGACUCCUUGUAGUCAUCAAGCCAAGGAUCAUGACGAUUAAGAUGACCUUCAUAGACCUCAGAAAGCCGGUCCCAGAUUAGCUUCGCGUGAUUGAGGUGCAUGAUGUUCCUGAACUGAUUUCGGGACAGACAGGAGCAGAUGACAUCCUUCGCUGUGAGGUUCAGUGGAGUGUACUUGCGAAUGUCAUCAGCCUCCGCCAUCUUGCAUAGAUCGGUAAGACCAAUCUCACUGACGUUCCACAGCUCGCUAUCCAUAGCCAUGAGUCGCUUCUUCAUCAUGGCCUUCCACCGAGGAUACUCAUGACCGUCAAAGGUGGGGAAAGAUAUAUUCCUCAAUCCUGCAGUCGACAUAGCUAAACUCUAGGUGGUUAAACCGAAUCACACAGAACAAGGGAGUACCUUGCUCUGAUACCAAUUGAAAGUGCUAGUUAUCGACUAGAGGGGGGGUGAAUAGGCGAUUUUUUUCAAAGUCUUCAAAAUGUGGAAGUUUCAAAGACAAUCAAUAGAAAUGACCUAAUUGAUAUGCAGUGGAAGAUAAACUACAACAAACAAGCCAUAGUCAAGUAUGCAAUAAUGUGAACGUACAAAGACUAAUAGAAGCUAGGUAGUAAGGAUCAAGAUGGAAGAUAGUAUGAAGACAAUCAACGAUAGUAGUCAAGCAAUGAAGUCAAACAGAUAAGACAAAUAAGGAAUGACUUCAUGAAGACAAACUCAAAGUAAAGGAGGGAAGGGAUAGAACCAGUCACUUGUUGAAGACACAGGAUUUGUUGGACCAGUUCCAGUUGCUGUGACAACUGUACGUUUGGUUAGGGAGGCUGAGAUUCAACUCAGAAGACCGCGUCUUCACCUUAUUCACCUUGAGCUAAGGACACACUAUCCUCGCCCAAUCACUCUGGUAAGUCUUCAAGGUAGACUUCCGAACCUUCACAGACUUCAUUCACCAGCGAUCCACAAUGACUCUUGGAUGCACAGAACGCGACACCUAACCGGCUGGAGGAUACACAGUCCUCAAGUGUAAUAAGUCUGUAGGUCACACAGACAGAAAGACUUCAGUGAUGCCUAACACUCUUUGGCUCUGGGUGUUUGGGCUUUGUCCUCGAAAGGAUUUCUCUCUCAAAGGCUUCGAGGUGGGUUGCUCUCAAAACGACAAAAGCCGUAAACUAACUCUGAGCAGCCACCAGUUUAUGGUGUAGGGGGUGGGCUAUUUAUAGCCACAAGGCAACCCGACCUGAUAUGUCCGAAAUGACCCUGGGUCACUAAGAAACUGACAUGUGUUCCAACGGUCAGAUUUCAAACACACACGACAACUUUACUUGGGCUACAAGCAAAGCUGACUCAUCCAGCUCUGGAUAAGAUUUGCUCUCAUUGUCUUCGCUCGAAGACAUAGGAUUUGGGUUGAGCAUCACUUUAGUCACUCUGACUUUGUUCACUUGGUCCCCACUUAACAGUACGGUGGUUCCUAUGACUCAACAAAGAAGAAAAGGAAACAAUGAAAUAACACAGUCUUCGCGCUCCAUAGUCUUCGCUCAAUGUCUUCUCAUGUCAUAGUCUUCAAUGUGAAUAUCUUCACAUACCACCAUUGUCUUCAAUGUCUUCAUACAUUUUUAGGGGUCAUCUCUAGUAGGUAAACCGAAUCAAUGAGGGACACUACCUGCGUUAUCCUGCAAUUCUCACAAACGCAUUAAUCCCUCAACCAACUUUGUCGUCAAUACUCCAAAACCAACUAGGGGUGGCACUAGAUGCACUUACAGAUACGAAGCCUGGAUGCAAUACAGUUGUUCCUAUAAAACUGUUUCUGAUAUCUUGAAUAUCCCAAACGCUUCAUCCUUGUAACUCGUUUGUGCUCGCUUUGCCAUUGCAGACAGUAUUUUGUGGUGCUACUUUUACGAUGCGCGACCCAUCACAAACAGUUCACGAUUAUAUAACAUGUACGAUAAGCAGAAAAUCACACACAUUUACUUUUCCUCGACUGUAUGUGAUUCAAUGUAAGAGCGCAUACAUUUGUGCCUAUAAAAUUGUAUGCAAUGUUUGAAUACAUCCCACGCGAUUCAUCCUUCGUACCUACGUCGGAUGAAGACCUAUCACACACGUUCUUCUAUGACCAAACGUUUGCGAUGCGUACAACAUUAUAAACAACCCAUAUUUGCCAAACGUGCGUGAUAAGGUGACUUUCACAAACAUUUAAUUAAAAGGAACUGUGUGUGAUGCUGUUGUUAAUCACAAACGUUUUUCUUGGGUGAUGGUGUGUGCGGUAGAGAUUGAUCACACACAUAGUGGAUCCAAGAAACGUGUCUGAUCUCCAUGUCUAUGCAGUCGUUUUGCUUUCGCAAACCGUGUGCCGUGUAAUUCCUAAUUUAGCCCUAAUUUAUCCCUUGUUUAAUCCCUAAUUUAAAAAUCAUCAAUUUUGAAUUUGAAAGUAGGCAAACCGUUAUUUCAUAUAUAACCAUGUUUAUUACAAAUAUAGGUUCCACCAUGAAUGUAUAAUUCAAGGCACAUGUACAUAUACUGAAGAACUCCCGAAGCACCAAGUAAAGAAUAAUGAACCAUAGUUGUAUUGAAGACUAUAAAGACAGAGGCGAAAGACAUUCUGGUUGCUGGAGAAGGUGAAGCAAAAUGCCCAUAUUGUGCCCUCCUCCAUGCUUAAUGCGCGCACGACUCUAGGCCAACCCCUUGUGAUGGUUGCCCGUCCAUCCUUCUAUGUCUUCAUUAGGACUUCUCGACGCUCAUUGUAUUCUGUAUUACAAAGCAACCAACUGGUACAACCAACUAUAGGUGCUGGGGAGGAAGCAGCACAGACACGCCCAAAGGAAACGAAAGAGGAAACAAAAGGAACAAAUGCCGACAAUGAUGGAUCGAUAAAAAUGAAAAAGCCUUGGGACCACUGCGCCCACCGUAGAUCUCCCACCAUGCUCCAAGACUCUGAUGCGUCGGUACCAAUCAACACCUCCAAGAAGGGACAUGACGAUGACGACGCUGCCGCCAAGGGUUUCCCCCGGUACUCGACGAGGAGAGAAGAAGGGUAGCCCCCGACGCCCUCUAGGAAGGUCUAGCGGCAACCUGAAGUGCCACCACAUUGGUGCCGGCCAUGACGAACGGAAUUUCACCCAAUCCCAUCCAUCACCUAGGGUGCUCCGGAGCCCACCACCAAAACCAACCACCACCCUGUGCCAACAUGGUCUUGAAGCUUCACACACCGUCUCAUCACGGGACCACGAAGUGAGGUCUGCGCACUAUCGGCACGCGGGAGGGCUCAACCUCCACCGCCAGCAACGGUAGCCGGUCGGACGCAGUAGCAGCAGCAUACGAGACCCGUGGGUUGAUACGUCUCCAACGUAUCUAUAAUUUACAAAGUAUUCAUUCUCUUAUAUUAUCAUUCUUGGAUGUUUUACAAUCAUUUUAUAGCAACUUUAUAUCAUUUUUUUGACUAACCUAUCACCAAGUGCCAAGUGCCAGUUGCUGUGUUUUGCUUGUUUUUUACAUCACAGUAAAUCAAUAUCAAAUGGAGUCCAAACACCGCGAAACUUUUUGUGGAAUUUUUAUGGACCAGCAGACACCCAAUGGUCCAGAGCUGCACCUGGAGGGUGCCCCAAGGGGGGCACAACCCACCAGGGCACGUCUGGGCCCCCAGGCGCGCCGUGGUGGGUUGUGCCCACUUCAGUGUCCUCCGACACCCCCUCUUUGCACUAUAAAUCACCAAAUAUUCCAAAAACCCUCGGGGUUAACCUAGAUCAGAAGUGCCGCCAUCGCAAGGCUCUGUAUCCACCGAAAACCAAUCUAGACCCUGUUCCGGCACCCUGCCGGAGGGGGAAUCAUCACCUGUGGCCAUCUUCGUCAUCUCGUCGGCCACCACGGUGCUAAGGGUUUGUACCGGUAGCUAUGUGUUUAAUGCCUCUCUCUUGUGUUCAUCAUAUGCACAAUCUUGAUGUAUCACAUGCUUUGUUAAUAUAGUCGGAUCAUAUGAUGUUUUCCCCUCGCUAUCUUGUUGUGAUGAAUUGAGUUUUCCUUUGUGAUUUUGUUUUAUUGGUUUGAAUACUUUUAUGGAUUUGAGAACACUUGAUGUAUGUCUUGCAUAUGAAUACUCAUGGUGACAAUGGGGUAUCGUAUUGAUUUACUUGAUAUAUGUUUUGGCACUCAACUCGCGGAUUCCUGAGCUGACAUUGUGGUAAUCUAUGCAUAGGGUUGAUGCAUGUUCUUGUCUUUGUUUCUCCGAUGAAAAUCUUGGGGCACUCUUUGAAGUUCUUUGUAUUGGAUUGAGUAUUAUGAAUCUGAAAUUGUUGGAUGCAUAUCGUAUAUUAACUCAGAGAUAGUCGUGGUGACAUUGGAGUAUCUAGGUGACAUUAGAGUUGGUUGAUGUGUGUCAUAUGGUGUUAUUCUAGUACGAACUCUUGAUUAGAUCGACCGAAGAGAAUAGCUUGCUGUUAUUUUAGUACGAACUCUAGGAUAGAUUGAUCAGAAAGAAUAGCUUUGACGUGGUUUCGUACCCUACAAAUAAUUUCUUCUUAUAUUCUCCGCUAGAUAGGAACUUUGGAUUGAUUCUUCGUUGAAUGUUGAGGGAUGGUUAUGUGAUCCAAUUAUAUUAGCGUCGUUGAGAGAUCACACUAGAUAAAGUACGGACCCUAGGCCUCAUUUUCAAGCUUUGCAAUACCGUUUGUGCUCAAUUUUCUUACUUGCUACCUAGCUAUUUUUUAUUGUUCUUGUUACAAAAAACCAAUAUCUACUAUCAUUACUACACUUUUAUUACCAUCUCUUCGCCGCACUAGUGCACCUCAAUUUACCAUUGUAUUUGGUGUCCUGGGGACACAAGAGAGUUUUUGUUAUUUGGUUGCAGGGUUGCUCGAGAGAUACCAUCUUCAUCCUACACCUCCCACGGAUUGAUAAACCUUUGGUCAUCCACUUGAGGGAAAAUUGCUAAUGUCCUACAAAACUCAGCGCUUGGAGGCCCAACACGAGUCUACAAGAAUAAAGUUGCGUACUAGACAUCAAGCUCUUUUCUGGCGCCGUAGCCAGGGAGGUGAGUGCAUGAAGGUAUAUCUUUAGAUCUUGCAAUCGAAUCUUUUAGUUACUUGUUUUAUCACUAGUUUGGUUUAUAAAAGAAAACUACAUAAAAAUGGAAGUGAGGUUGCAUCAUAUUAUUGAUCAUCUUUAUUAUAUCUUCUUGAAAAUGAUGGAUCUGAAAAUUGUGCUCAAUUGUUAGAAGAAGAAGUCAAUAAAUUUUUUGGCACAAAAUAUUUGAAUGAUGAGCAUGAUUGGAAUUUUGUUAGUAUGAAUUGUUUGAAUAUCCAAAAUGCUAAUGAUGAUUGCAGUAGUCAAGAUAAUUAUGUCUUUUAUAAGUAUGUCAAUUUUUGCAGAGUCAAUUGGGAGUGCAUUUGCACAUAAAAAGGGAAGAUAGAUUUUGUAAGAGGCAUAAAUAUUUAGGAACAAAAAAGUUGCAAGAGAAGCUAGAUGAUUGUGCUGAAAGAUUUCAUUUUUUUCGUCGUCCUUGUGAACUUUGCAAUGAACACGGUAAUUUAAAUCUCCAAUGCAAAUUGUUUCAUGAUCAAAUUGUGUACAAAAGUUUUGAUAACUUGAUUACCCUUGAGGAUCAUAAGGAGAUAAGUCUUCUUUUGGGAUAUGAAGAAAUGAAACAUAAAACUAAGUAUACUAGUCAUCAACCCGUGCAACUGCACGGGCUAGGUCAAAUUCUUGGAUAAUAUUAGGUCACAUAAAUUUCAUUUGCAUAUGCAUCAUUGUGUCUAACUAUUACUUCCUCCGUAAACUAAUAUAAGAGCAUUUAGAGGAGUAAUUCUUUGUCAUUCUUUUUUGAUUAAUAGAGUUUUCUAUUGAUCCAAAGUGUUUGAUCAACGUGAUAAUAAAAAAGAGUUCACAUUCGGCAUUUGUUUGAUCUCCAUUUAGAAUAUUUGAAGGAAUAUAUGUUAGUUAGACAUGUUUUAUAUUAAUAAUUAAUUGACGCGCUUAAAUACAGGAAAUACACACGUGGUUCCUCUUCUAGUAUAAGAAUUAUUUAUUUGUAGUUUUGCGCCUACCUAUAGACUCCAAGUGCCACAUCUAGAUAACGUGGUCAUAUUUAUAUUCUUAAGUAAAAAAAUAUGUUACUUCAUCAAGAGGGUUAGUUAUAUAUGUACAUCGUGGUUUGGGCACAUUUUUCCCAGGCUGUCAGAACAACAAAUAUUAUUUGAGGUAUUUGUUAUACUGAAUGUUCGAGCCUUUCCUAAAAAAAGAGUAAUUUCGUGUUCAUUCAGAAAUUGACCCAACCGGGCUCGGAUGGAAAAGAUUUCGUAUUUAUACCAAAGCUUGUAAUGUUACCUUAUUUGUAUUGUUUAAUACUCCAUACUGUUUACAACAAAGAAGAAUCAGCACACUGAUUAUGAUAAACAACCACGAAUUUUUUACAUAUGCUGUAUGAAUCACAGUAAUACAUACCACUGGUAGACUUUUUGACAUUAUGCUAGAUGGGAUAAACCCAUUUAAAAUAAGAACAUAAACAACAGCUAGUAAACAUAGUGGCAAAAUUUAACAUUGCGUUGGUUCAGUACAUUUACCUUUCAGCUAUCAAUGAUAACAGAAAUUCCGAAAGAACACAUAACUUAGUUGGAUGUGCAUACCUGCAUGGACAUGAACAUGAAUGUUCAUUGUCUCAUAGAUAAAUAUCCAGUCACAAAAUAUACAUUAUGUUCAUUCUUCUCACAAAUCUAUGAAGACACAAAAUGUUUACUGGUUCCUCUUAACAUGGAAAAAAAUUAACCUUUCACCCUGAAGAUUUUCUUUGGCUUUGCAUCUCCAUAUCUUUGGAGACUUUCAAGAUAUAAGAAUACAUUAUAAUGUGAAAUAUUUCUUCUCAGACACCAAUGUCAUGAGCUGCUCACAAAAACGGAUGGGAAACCUUGUCAGGAAGACACAUAGUAAGUGCCAGGCAUUAGCACUUGUGUACCAAUCAGGAUCAUGUAGGUAGCAGGAAAAUGGAAGUAUUCAUAUUAACUCUAUAUAUGGUAGUUUUGUGACUCUUCAUUACACUACGGUCAGAUACCUUCUCCUUAUCUUCUGUUUUUUUUUCACAAAUAGGAAAUCAUUAGAAAAACUGAAUAGUGAGUCCAACUUGAACUGUGCACCUGCAUGGGCUAGCUAUUUGGGUGAACACAUAAUAUAGUAACAUGAACACAAUUAUUGUAUUUCCGUGACUUUAUUGUAUUUGCAAAUUUGCAACAGUAUUGACAGAAAAAUAUAUCAUCCAUAGGGGCAUUCCAAGGACAAUAAUGAAAUAGUUUGUAUAGUUUAAUAGGACAUAUAUAUGGUGCAUAUCUAUGUACAAUUACAAUAAAAAAUCGCAUAAGGGAAAAUGGUCUAAACAUAUCAUCGUAGUACAAUUAACACAAGCAUUGAUAUGUAUAUAUCUCCAUAAGACACUGUAACAAAAGAAUAUCACCUCUAGUCUUCAACAUCUGAUGUUUUUGAUGUUGAUUCUGAAGGAAAUCCUUCAGCAAAAGAACCAUGUAAAUGUCAAUGAUAAUACUAGAAGUCUCAAGGUACAUACUCAUGCUUAUUAAUUUCUUGUUAACAAAAAUUAACAACUAACUGGAACUGUAGGACAUUACGAACAGAAUCAUAAACUUUGACAUGCAUCUCUCACACUUGAUGAUGCCAUUACAGAAGUUUCGAGUGAGUCUUGGCACUACAUAAUCUGAAAAUCAAUUUUAAUACCCUAUGUACCAAGCAUGUGGAGUAUAUGGGGAAUGGGAGGAUUUAAGAAAAAGAGUGAAUAAGUGAAUUAGCUUGAACCAAUUUUCAUGGCGGCACCGGUAGUAGGUGCAAUAUUACAACAUCUCGAUACGGAGGCUGGUGGUGAUUGGUGGUGCUUUUGUUCAACCUGUGUGAUGGAAGUGCCGAGGAUAACUGCAACAACACCACAAAGCCAUGGGUUAUAGGUGGACUAGCAAAAUCAUGGCCUGGCUCAUGGCGGCGUGACCUUUGGAUUGCCUACAGAUUUUUGGAGGACGAAAAGCGAGGUGCUCUACUUGAGAGAGAUUGGGAAGAUGUAUGGGUGAACCUGGGAGGCAUGUUUCUUUUUUACGGGAGGAGAAAGACUACCGCCAGGAUUGAGAAAGACACCAUGGAAGGUAUGCCUGGGAAGAGAGGAGAACAACACACGCUAGAUUGAAGGAGGAAACCCGGAACGCCCCAACGAAUCAGAAGUUUUUCUUUUAUCAUAAUUCUCUGCCGAUUUUCUUCCUUUUGAUUUUUUGAAUCCUUCUUCCUUUUGAUUCAAUAUAGAUUGUAGGCUGUAGAGGGGACCUGAAAAUAAAAAGGUGCUAGAGGAGUCCUAUAGAUAAAAGGUGUUCAUGUGGGACAAUAUAAAAGGAAUUCUCGUGAGAUAAUUCAUCCAACGAUUACCAAAUAAUCAACACAGAGAUUGGAUGUAUGAUUUUGCUUAUUUUUCAAGGAAUAACGCGAAGCCUUUUUUUAUCUAUCAUGGAGAUUUCACGCUUGGAAGUUUUUUUUCCUUUAAUACCUAUGGACAUCGUGGAGUUCCCAUGGACGUGAUAUAGAUCGUUUUUACUGCACCAUCUUUAUUACGCAACUGUUCCACCUAUCUUGGCCGUAAAUUCUACAAUCCAAUGGUACAAUUAAUAUUGAUGAUGUGGGUUAAUUAAGCGGCUUUAAUGGUGCCUCCAAUUAUUAAAUAUAAGAUUGCAAAAUUUAGUCUCAAGAGAUUUCUUGAUUUUGAUCAACAGUAAAUUUAAAUAUUUUGUGCAGUAAAUGGCAUUGAAAAUCCUUAUAUUGCCGACUAUCUAAAGACAAGAAAACAAAUAGAAUAUGAAGAGAGCACUAACGAAAAGGAAAAUAUUUCCCAAUACCCUCCGAGUUUUUAUUAUGAUGAAUCAGGUAACGAGGGGGCUCUUCCUAUCCAAUCAAUCUCUUCAACAAGAAGCUUGAAAAAAUUAAUUAAACCCACACAUGAUGUGGUGAAGAAGAAGAAAAGAAGAAAGAAUAGAGGUAAAGAGGUAUCUCUCCUAAACAAUGUUGCUCCUAUCACCAUUGUGCCUCAUGAAAGUGAAUCAAAUAUGUUGAUGGGAGAUGAUGAUAUUGAGUAUGAUUUUUUAUACAUACUACUUGUUGUAAUGAUUAUGAUUGGGAAGACAAUGAUGUCCCUUAUGAUCUUGAAAAUAUUUUUAGCACUUUCUUGGAAGAUUAUGAUAAUAAUGUUUGCAAUACUAUUGGUGCCAUUCAUGCUAUUGAUAAGAAUGAUUGUGAUGAUAUGCAAAACCACAAGCUUGGGGAUGCUAUGUUUAAUGAGUAUGAAAUGUUUGAAGAUAUAUUUGCUCGAAAUAAUGCUUUUCCUAAGCUUGGGGAUGCUUUGCUUAAUGAAUAUGAUCCUUUGAUUCCUUCUACUUUCGAUAAGAAAAUUUAUUAUGAUGAUUGAUGUCUACUACACAACCUUCUUCUUGUAGACGUUGUUGGGCCUGCAAGUGCACAGAUUUGUAGGACAGUAGCAAAUUUACCUCAAGUGGAUGACCUAAGGUUUAUCAAUCCAUGGGAGGCGUAGGAUGAAGAUGGUCUCUCUCAAACAACCCUACAACCGAAUAACAAAGAGUCUCUUGUGUCCCCAACACACCCAAUACAAUGGCAAAUUGUAUAGGUGCACUAGUUCGGCGAAGAGAUGGUGAUACAAGUGCAAUAUGGAUAGUAGAUAUAGGUUUUUGUAAUCUAAAAAUUUAAAAACAGCAAGGUAACUAAUGAUAAAAGUGAGCGUAAACAGUAUUGCAAUGAUAGGAAACAAGGCCUAGGGUUCAUACUUUCACUAGUACAAGUUCUCUCAACAAUAAUAACAUAGAUAGAUCAUAUAACAAUCCCUCAACAUGCAAUAAAGAGUCACUCCAAAGCCACUAAUAGCGGAGAACAAACGAACAGAUUAUGGUAGGGUACGAAACAACCUCAAAGUUAUUCUUUCAGAUCAAUCUAUUCAAGAGUUUGUACAAGAAUAACACCUUAAGACACAAAUCAACCAAAACCCUAAUGUCACCUAGAUACUCCAUUGUCACCUCAAGUAUCCGUGGGCAUGAUUAUACGAUAUGCAUCACACAAUCUCAGAUUCAUCCAACCAACACAAAGUACUUGAAAGAGUGCCCCAAAGUUUCUACCGGAGAGUCAAGAAAAUGUGUGCCAACCCCUAUGCAUAGGUUCAUGGGUGGAAUCCGCAAGUUGGUCACCAAAACAUACAUCAAGUGGCACGUGAUAUCCCAUUGUCACCACAGAUAAACACGGAAGACAUACAUCAAGUGUUCUCAAAUAAAGACUCAAUCCGAUAAGAUAACUUCAAGAGGGAAACUCAAUUCAUCACAAGAGAGUAGAGGGGGAGAAACAUCAUAAGAUCCAACUAUAAUAGCAAAGCUCGCGAUACAUGAAGACCGUGCCAUCGAGAGAACACGAGAGAGAGAGAGAGAUCAAACACAUAGCUACUGGUACAUACCCUUAGCCCUGAGGGUGAACUACUCCCUUCUCAUCAUGGAUAGCGCCAGGAUGGUGAAGAUGGCCACCGGUGAUUGGUUCCCCCUCCGGCAGGGUGCCAGAACGGGCUCCCAAGAGGUUUUUGGUGGCUACAGAGGCUUGUGGCGGCGGAACUCCCGAUCUAUCUUGAUAUUCGAUGGUUUUAGGGUACAUAGGCUUAUAUAGGCGAAAGAAGUCGGUCGGGACGUGCUCGAGGGGCCCACGCGACGGGGGCGCGCCCUACAGGGGGGGCGCCCUCCUAUCUCGUGGCUGCCUCGAGUAUCUUCUGACGUGAACUCCAAGUCUCCAGGAACAUAUUCUUCCAAAAAAUCACGCUGCCGAAGGUUUCAUUCCAUUUGGACUCCGUUUGAUAUUCCUUUUCUUCGAAAUACUGAAACGGGCAAUAAAACAGCAAUAUGGGUUGGGCCUCCGGUUAAUAGGUUAGUCCCAAAAGUAAUAUAAUAGUGUAUAAUAAAGCUCGUAAUCAUUCAAAACAAAUAAUAAAUAGCAUGAAUGCUUCAUAAAUUAUAGAUACGUUGGAGACGUAUCAAUGAUAGCAUGCCUCUUAUUUAUGAUGAUUACAUUGAUGAAAGUGGGUUUGGCAGAGUGUCAACUCUAGAUAGCAUGCCACUAUUUCGGAGGGUGUUGAAUCUUAAUACAAUAUGGGUGAAAUUGGAUUUGGAGAGGUCAUGACUAUUUAGUGAUACAUCCACUAUUUUGGAAUAGGUUUCAAUUAACUAUGACAAUAAAGUUGCUAUCUAUGAUGAUUAUAUGAUGACACGUAUGCCAUAAAGAUUAAUAAAUCUACUACGCUUGUGCAUCAUGUAAAGAGUGAUUUUUGUGAUAGUUAUAUUAUUGAAUCCCUUCAUGAGAUGUUUCUGAAAAUUAUUAUGAGAGAGGAACUUCUGCUCUUACCUAUCUCAAUAAUAUCAAGUUUCUUCUCUAUAUGUUUAUUGUUUCGAAGUUGUAUUUGUUUUUCCUUCCUAUGCUAGUUGGUUCUUGAUUUCAUGGGUUGCUUGCUCAAAAAAUCCCAAUGCAUAGGAAGUGUGUUAGACUUAAAUGUGCCUGACAUGUGCUUCAUGAUGCUCUCUUUGUGUUUCAAUUCAAAUCUUUUAUGCGAGCAUCAUUGAAAUCGUCAUGCCUAGCUAAAAGGCGUUAAAGAAAAGCGCUUGUUGGGAGACAACCCAACACUUUUACAUACUGUUUGUGUUUUCACAUGAUUAAGCUACUGUAGUAAUCAUGUUUUAUUGCUUUAGUUUCAAUAAAUUGCCAAGUAAAUCCUUUGGGAUAGUGUGGAUGAUAGUUGACUUGAAUUUGUGCAUAAACAGAAACUUUUGUGCUCAGUCAAGGAAAUUUAAAAAUUCACUGGAACAUGCUUAUGAUAUGAAUUAUUUGCAGGUGAUAGAUAUACAAAUUCUCUAUGUUAUCCCAAUUUUUCAGAAUUUUUGGAGUAGCAGAAGUGUGGUUGGACUACAUAUUACGUCAGACUUGUUCUGUUUUUGACAAAUUUUGUUUUGAAUGCGUAGUUUGCUUGUUUCCUAGUUUCUAUGGCUUAUAUUACUCAAUAUAAAUUGUGGAAUUGAUAUGCUACAGUAGGCAUUGUGUGGAAAAAAAUAUGAAUCUUGUCUUUUACAGUACCAAAGUGAAAUGGUUUGCUCUUUAUGAUACUAACCUAUCUCACGAAGUUCCGUGAAGUUUUGUGUGAUUGAAGUUUUCAAGUUUCGUGUGAGAUAUCGAUAUGAGGAGAAUAAGGAUUGACAGUAACCUAAUCUUGGGCAUGACAAAGGCACUCCAAGGUAAUAUUCAAGGAAGAUCCAAGCAACUAAGCUUGAGGAUGACCCAGAAGGCAUCCCCUCUUUCGUCUUCAACAUUAUCGGUAACCUCACUUGGAGCUACAUUUUCAUUCGUCACAUGAUAUGAGUUUUGAUUGGCGAGUCAUUUUCUCUUGUUUUGAUUUGCUUGAUGUUAUUUAUAAUAAUGUUUUGCAUCUUUAUUUUCAAUAAUAAUGUCAAGUAUAGCCUUUACCGUUCUUAUUUUGCAAGUAUAUGAGUUGAUGUUUAAAAAACAGAAAGUUUGUCGCUGUUGCAAAAAUUCCCUAGAUACGUAAGAAUGUGAUAAAAUGCUGAAACUUUUUUCAAAAUAAGUUAUGAUAAAGUUUCUAAAGCGUGGUAAAUUUUCAUAAUUUUUGGAGUUCAAUAAGUAUUGAUACUCUUGCAUUCUUUACACAUUGUACUGUUUUGGCAGAUUGUUGUUAUGUUUGCAUUGUUUGCCUAUGUUUGCUUGUUUAAUGAUUCUAUUUGAGGAUAUGAGUAUUAAAUAUGCAUAGGAAUUUAGUAUGCAAUGUUGAAUACUAAUUUUAGUCAUUUGCUAUAGUAGAGAAUGAUAAGGUUUUUGCAUUGGUUUAUACAAACUUAUCUCACGAGUUCUUUUAUAGUUUUGUGUGUAUGAAGUUUUUAAGAUUUAUAGAGACUGUGAUAUAAAAGGAAUUAUGGAGACACAAAAGCUCAAUUUUGGGGAUGCCCAAGGCAUCCCAAGAUAAUAUUUCAAGAAGACUCAAGCAUCUAAGCUUGGUGAUGCCCCGGUAGGCAUCCCACAUUUCUUCAUCAACAAUUACCGGUUAGUAUCGGUUGAAACAAAGUUUUUGCUUCUUCACAUGAGUUGUGCUAUUCUUGGAAUGUCAUUUUGUUUUGUUUUGCUUGAUGUUUUAAUAAAAUACAUAGAUAUGAAAGUUUUUAAAUAAUAGAGUCCUCAAAUAGCUACCUAUUUACUUUACUACUUGCUUUAUCUUCACUUAUAUCUUUUUGGAGUAGCUUGUCAUUUACUCUUGUGCUUCACGUGUAUCCUAUGAGUAAAUUGUUGAAUGAAUUGUAUAUAGUGAAGUUGAAAUUAUAUGUUCAUAGCAUACCUAGUAGUAUCUUCACAUUGGGUUUAGAAAGUUGAAGUUGAAGUUGAAGUUGAAAUCUUUUGAAGCUUGACAAUCACAAUAUUGGUCAUGCAAGCAAUUCAUGAAUGAUUACUAUAAGGAAGAGAACAUUCACAUGUAAAUACACUAUCCUGGAAAAAUUUUGUGAUUGUGAGCCCCCAUCAAAAUAUUAUAUGCCAAAAUUGUUUAUGUUGGACAAGGAAGACAACGUAAUGAUUUAUGUUUGUUCAUAUUCACAUAGUAGCUAUAUUGUCAUAGAUCCUUCAACAUGUGGUGCUUGCCCCUCAUCUUUGCUAGACAAAAAUUCCGCACCAAGUAGAGAUACUACUUGUGCAUCCAAAAAACCUUAAACCCAAAUCUUAUUUUCAACAAUCCACCAUACCUACCUAAGGAUUGAAUAAGAUCCUUCAAGUAAGUUGUCAUUAGUGCAAUAAGGCAAUAAAAAUUACUUCUAAAAAGUGUUAGAUCAUUUAGUGUAAGAGAAAAUUGAGCAUUGUAAGAACUUGUGAUCGCAAAGAAUAAAAGCGACAGACUACAUAAUAAAGGUUGCUACCAUAAGUGGCAAUACAUGAUCUUCUUUUGCACUAAGGGUCUGAGCAUAAAAACAAAUAAGCGCAUGGCAACCUCUGCUUCCUUCUGCGAAGGGCUUAUCUUUUCCUUUUAUGUAUUUACUUUCAUGCAAGAGUCAAAGUUUUUCUCUCUAUUCCUUUUUAUUUUUCUCCUUUGGCAAGCAUAAUGUGGUGAGGAAAGGUCUAGGCACAUAUAUCCAGUUGGAUAUGGGUUGCAUGAGUUAUCAUUGCUGACAUCACCCUUGAGGUGAAUACGUUGGGAGGCGAAACUCUAAGCCCCUAUCUUUCUACGUGUCUGGUUGAAACGUUUUACUCAUGUGUAUGCGGUGAGUGUUAGAAACCAUAGAAGACUAUGAUGGUUGAGUAUGUGGAGCUCUUACUUAGACUUUGUUGAAGACUUUGUUGAAUAAGUUGAAUUACAAUUGCUUGGUGACUGAGAAAAUAGGUUGUUGAGUUUCAAGAGAAUUCAUUGUUUGAACCUUAUCAUGUGAAUUGGUUGCUACUCUAUCAUGAUAAGUUUUACGAGAAACAAUUGCUUGUGCACGUUGCUAGCAUUCAAACUUCAUACAUUAUUUCUUUUAUCAUUUACCUACUCGAGAACGAGUAGGAAUUAAGCUUGGGGAUGUUGAUACGUCUACAACGUAUCUAUAAUUUAUGAAGUACUCAUGCUAUCAUAUCAUUAUUGGAUGUUUUACAAUCAUUUUAUAGCAACUUUAUAUAAUUUUUUGGGACUAAUCUAUUGACCCAGUGCCAAGUGUCAGUUGCUGUUUUUUGCUUGUUUUUUACAUCAAGGAAAUCAAUAUCAAACGGAGUCCAAACACCGCGAAACUUUUUGUGGAAUUUUUAUCGACCAGAAGACACCCAAUGGGCCAGAGCUGCACCUAGGGGUGCCCCGACAGGUGCACAACCCACCAGGGCGCGCCUGGGGGCCCACCUAAUGGCCCCCGGCCCCCCUAUUUGCACUACAAAUCACCAAAUAUUCCAAAAACCCUCGGGGUUAAUGUCACGCCCAAUAUGUGAUACUAUCCUAAAGAGACUCGAAGGUCCCACCAAGGAUAGAACCGCAUAUUGAAACGCUUUUGCAAGGUGGAUAUCAUUACAUCAACAUUACAUAAAUAGAUGGGGAUACAUACUAGAGGCAUACAAUGCCACAUGAAUACAACAAUACAUCAUCCAUAAGAUCAACAUCCGACUACGGAUGAAACACAAACAGAAGCUCAAACGACAUCCACCCUGCUAUCCCAGGCUGCCGACCUGGAACCUAUCCCCUGAUCCAAGAAGAUGCAGAAGAAGAACUCCAAAACAAGCAAACAUCACUCUCGCGUCAUGAUCAUCGCAUAACAUGUACCUACAACUGUUGUUGUAGUAGUCUGUGAGCCACGAGGACUCAGCAAUCCCAUUACCAUGGGUAUCAAGACUAGCAAAGCUUAAUGUGAAAGGAAGGGGUAAAGUGGUGAGCUUGCAGCAGCGACUAAGCAUGUAUGGUGGCUAACAUACGCAAAUAAGAGCGAAAAGAGAGCAAGCGAAAUGGUCGUGAAGCUAGCAAUGAUCAAGAAAUGAUCCUGAACUCCUACUUACGUCAAACAUAACCCAAAACUGUGUUCACUUCCUGGACUCCGCCGAAAAGAGACCAUCACGGCUACACACGCGGUUGAUGCGUUUUAAUUCGAAUCAGGUGUCAAGGUUAUCUACAACCGGACAUUAACAAAUUCCCGUCUGCCACAUAACUGCGGCACGGCUUUCGAAAGUUUAUACCCUGCAGGGGUGUCCCAACUUAGCCCAUGAUAAGCUCUCGCGAUCAACGAAGGAUAUACCUUCUCCCAGGAAGACCCGAUCAGACUCGGAAUCCCGGUUUACAAGACAUUUUGACAAUGGUAAAACAAGACCAGUAAGACCGCCCGAUGCGCCGACAAUCCCGAUAGAAGCUGCACAUAUCUCGUUCUCAGGGCAACACAGGAUGAACACUGCGUACAACUAAAACCAGACCUCAAGUUUCCCCGAGGUGGCGCUGCAAGUGGCUCUAGUUUGGACCAACACUCGAAGGAGCACUGGCCCGGGGGGGUUAAAUAAAGAUGACCCUCGGGCUCCGGAAACCCAAGGGAAAAAGGGCUAGGUGAGGAAAAUGGUAAAACCAAGGUUGGGCCCUGCUGGAGGAGUUUUAUUCAAAGCGAACUAUCAAGGGGGUCCCAUAAAUCACCCAACCGCGUAAGGAACGCAAAAUCCGGGAACAUAACACCGGUAUGACGGAAACUAGGCCGACAAGAGUGGAACAAAAAACCAGGCAUAAGGCCGAGUCUUCCACCCUUUACCAAGUAUAUAGAUGCAUUAAUUAAUAUAAGAGAUAUUGUGAUAUCCCAACAUAAUCCUGUCCACCAUGGAGCAAUCUUCAACUUCACCUGCAACUAACAACGCUAUAAGAGGGGCUGAGCAAAGCGGUAACAUAGCCAAGCAGUGGUUUGCUAGGAAGGGUGAAAAAGGUUAGAGGCUGACAUGGAAAUUUAGGAGGCUUGAAGAGCAAAAGAUAGGUAGCGCAGCAUAGCGAUAGAAUGAAGCAACUAGCAAAGCAAUGAUAGUAAUGAGAUCCAGGGUGAUGGUCAUCUUGCCUAGAAUCCCGCUAGGAAGAAGAACGAGUCCAUGAAGAAGAUGAAGCCAUGAAGACUUACCAAGCAUAGAUGAACGAAUCCUCACGAUCGUAACAAAACGGGAACUAUCGAGAAGAAGCACACAACAUAGUAAACACACCACACAUAGACAAGACAUGAUGCACAAUACGCAUGAUGCAUGACAAGGCUACAUGAAGCUACUCAUGGCAAGAGAUGAUGCAUACAAGAGCAACACAUCAAAGCAAGUUUAAAUGAGGCUGGGAACAACACAUAACAAUUCCGGUAAGUCCUCAUAUGCCAAUCUCGAAAUUGGUCCAGAUCUGAACAAACAUUAAUUUGAAGUUGUUAAACAGCAAGUUAAAGAGCACCAAGAGGAUCUACAUGAAAUUUUAGUCAAGUUACAUAUAAAGUUCAUUUAAUUCGGAGUUACGGCCUAGAAGAUAUGAGCAAAACAAGUCAAGCAUGGCAUUGAUGCAAAAUGCAUACAAACAUCAAGCAAACACCUCAAAACAAGGAUGCAACAUGAUAAUGUGAAACUACAUGCAAAAUCAAGCAAGUUUCACAUAGAGCACACUCAAAACGGAGGAACGAUUCAACACACACACUAAACAAGAUAUAACAACAGUCUGUCCAAAACAGCAACUAGGCAUAUUGUAAGCACCAAAAUAACAAGCUACAGCAUCUCAACGUAAUAACAAAAGGCAUGGGCAUAAAAUAUAGGUAAAGCAUGACAAAACGUGAACACUGAGCUAUCUCUAUAAAUCACUAGAACAUGCUCAAAAGGACAUGGCAAGAUUGCAAAUAAUAACAGUUUCAGGCUGUGCAGAAAUAACAUCAGGUUGCAAUGUCUAGAGCUAUCAAACAACAUGCUACAGGAACUCAUCAUGGCAAGCAAAGGCAUGGCAUGAUACUACUAAAUGCAUAGAACAAAAGUCCCUUACUGACCAUGAACCAAAAUGGCACAGAAAAUAUGAUGGCACCCAUGUAAACAUGGCAAAUGAUAUGACAGAUUCAUGCAUGGCAGGAACAACAAUAAGUGGGCAUGUUGGUGAGCUUGUACCACUCACCACAGAGCAAUGCCUGGCAUGCCAAGGUGACUAACAGUAAGAAUACAUGUUUGUGAAUCUAAGCAUGGCAAGAGCAAGUUCAUAGGGUGCAUGGAUCACUAACAACAAUCAUGGCAACAUUGAGCUUAGAGUUAACAGGCUAACAACAACAUUAUUUAGCAACUUUGGAGCAUGAUAACAACAAGCUACAACAGUCUAUAAAUGCAACCAGGGGCAUGGAUGAAUGGAUCAUGACGUGUAUAACAAAUCAUCCUUAGUGAACAUCUCCAGAUUAUGCAUAGAAUGACUUGUAGCAGCAGUUUUACAUAGCAUCACGAAAUAACAGAUUCAGCCUAGCAAAACAGUAACAGCAAGUACCCUACUUCAUGAGAUCGAUGCACUCAGUACAAGACUCACAAAAAUACAUGGAUGGCACCAAUGUGAAGACGGCAUGAUGUAGUUCAAAACACAUGUAGACAUCAAGCUCAUAGGAUGCACACAUCAAAUGCAACAAAAAUGACAAAUCAACAAGUUCUGUUAACAGACAGUAGUUAACAUCAUAUAGCACUCUUGCAACGAUGAUUAAAGCAUCAAGAUGGACUCAAACAAACAUGACAUAAUGGAAUCUCACAACGAACGAUUCGAUAUAUCACAAGCACAAAACGGAGCUACGGAUGCAAAGUUAUAAUGCGAUGAAUAGGGGCUAAAAAUAUGCAAUUAUUUCGGGACUUGGGGAAAUCGGGGUCUACCUUCGGUUAUCUCGGAUCUAGAUCCGGGGCGUGGGAACCGAGGCGGCGGCGCGAGCUGGCCGGAGUGGGAGAGGACGGUGGCCGGAGGGGUCGGAGAAGGGCGGAGGAGGCCGGGGGCGGCGCCGGAGCCCGGCGAGGCUGCGGGAGGAGGCCGGCGCCGGAGGAGCUGCGGUGGCGCGCGGGGUGCGGCCGGGUGGNNNNNNNNNNNNNNNNNNNNNNNNNNNNNNNNNNNNNNNNNNNNNNNNNNNNNNNNNNNNNNNNNNNNNNNNNNNNNNNNNNNNNNNNNNNNNNNNNNNNNNNNNNNNNNNNNNNNNNNNNNNNNNNNNNNNNNNNNNNNNNNNNNNNNNNNNNNNNNNNNNNNNNNNNNNNNNNNNNNNNNNNNNNNNNNNNNNNNNNNNNNNNNNNNNNNNNNNNNNNNNNNNNNNNNNNNNNNNNNNNNNNNNNNNNNNNNNNNNNNNNNNNNNNNNNNNNNNNNNNNNNNNNNNNNNNNNNNNNNNNNNNNNNNNNNNNNNNNNNNNNNNNNNNNNNNNNNNNNNNNNNNNNNNNNNNNNNNNNNNNNNNNNNNNNNNNNNNNNNNNNNNNNNNNNNNNNNNNNNNNNNNNNNNNNNNNNNNNNNNNNNNNNNNNNNNNNNNNNNNNNNNNNNNNNNNNNNNNNNNNNNNCACGGGCCGGGAGGGCCCCGCACGGGCCUGGCGGGCGCGGCGCGGGAGGCGGCGGCGCCCACGUGGCGGCUCGGGAGAGGCUGGGAGCGGCGGCGCGUGGACGGGCGGACAUGUCUGGCCAUCGCGUACGUGUUCGGCGGCGCCCAUGUGGCGGCUCGGGAGAGGCUGGGAGCGGCGGCGCGGGGAUGGGCGAACAUGUGCGGCCGUCGCGGACGUGUCCGGCGGAGCGGGGAGGAGCGGGGCUAGGGUUUGGAUCCGAAAUUUUGGAGGAGGGACUAUUUAUAGAUUCUGGGAGCUAGGAGAGUCCAAAUGAGGAGAAGUUUUCGGCCACGCGAUCGUGAUUGAACGGCGGAGAGCAUGGAGGGGGGUAGGAUGGGUUUUGGUCCACUUUGUAGGGGUGUUGGGCUGCAACACAAAGAGGGCUUUACGGUUCCCCGGUUAACCGUUGGAGUAUGAAACAACCUCCAAAUGGCACGAAACUUGACAGGCGGUCUUCCGGUGCUAUACCAAGGCCGCUUGGCAAACCUCGGGCCAUUCCAAGAAAGUUUAACACCCGCUCCUAAUGAGAGACAAAAAGGGCGACGCCGGAGGACAUAGGAGUGCCGGAUUGCAAAACGGACAACGGGGAAAAUGCUCGGGUGCAUGAGACGAACACGUAUGCAAUGCAAUGCACAUGAUCACAUGAUAGAAUGCAACAUGCAAGCAAAUGACAUGGCAACUACGGCAAAUAACUAGCAGACACCUGGCGCAUCAAAUCCGGGGCAUUACAACACUCCUCCACUAACAAGAGAUCUCGUCCCGAGAUCUUAGGACCGAGACAGAAGGGAAAAGGGAUGAGGUGAAACAAGAACUCAAGAGAAGAAGCAAGGAAUCGAGAGCACUCGAGAAGAAGAGGGGAACAACGAAAAUGACGAGAAUCGAAAACUCGCGGAAUCAGAUAGACUAUGAAACCACUCCGGUUAGAACGAGAUAAGAAACGAAUAAGAUUGAAAGGAUUUAGGCAGCACUCCGGCUAAAAAUGGGAGGAAUAGAACACGAGCUUGAGAGGAUGGAAUGAUACUUGUUGGGGAUAUAACUAUAUGAGUAAGCCGCCCAGGAGGGGCCGGGUUACACAAAGAAGACUUACCAGAGAGAAGGCCCAAGACCAACGCAUGAAGAUGGUGGUUCAUAGAGGGCUUAAGGCCCACAGGCGACUUAAGGCCUGUUGUAGUAAACCGCCAUAAUGACAUGACUUGUAUCAUAAGGUAGUUUUGACUAGUCACCAAGACGGACACUGUUAUGAGCCGGCCGGGACUCUGUAGGCCACAGGGCGUCAACCCGUGUAUAAACCCUCUCGUGUCCUUUGUCCCGAUUAACCCCUUCAAGCUUCCUAGUUGCGAUAGCUCCACAACUAAGUCCUUUCACGAGGACAUCUGACGUGACAAUUCCACGACAGUUGGCGCUCACCGUGGGGCCAGCGCACGGUGGAUUUGAGUUCUUGAAGGGCAACUUCAAAGGGCUCAAGGGAUACGUAGUGGGCCGGAUGACCAAGAGUCGUCGCGGCAAGAUCUACAUCAACAAUGAAGGCUAGGGCCCCGACGCCGGCUCAAUUGAGUACGGGUACUGGGUCCCCUUCGGAGGGAUCCAUGUCUUCAUCGGUCGGAUUGGCGAGGCGGGGCCUGAGCCGGACAACUGCACCGACCUCGUCGAGACAGCUCAGCAUGCGAAACCCUCCCGAGCUCAACCCGGCAUGAAGCAUGUCUUUGUGGGCUGCGUCCAGGAGAAGAGCUUUUUGAAAGUCCUUAAGAUGGUGGUGAGACGGACGUCCACUCUGACGGUGAUUCGUCCGCCGGUUCAACAGAUUCUCUGUAUCAAGUUCAAGAUGGUGUGCUCGGGGGCUGUUCCGAUGGCAUCAGUAUUCCGGACCCCUAUGAGUCACCGAAUUGGGCAGGAGUCUUCAUGGCUGGGAUUCAACCCGGUCAAAACUCUAUGGCCGCUACUGCAGUCACGUCCGGGAUAGGAGUGGCCCGGGCAGGAGGCCCUGUGCGCCUGCCGGCUCAAGUGCUGAUAGACCUCAUGGACAGGCUUACGACCCUGUUAACCGCCACGGUUAUCCCUGCGAACAAACAUGAGCAUGACGCGGAGGUGGCACGGGUACGUGAGGAGAUAACUCAGGCCAAGGAGGCCUUGGCAGCCGAGGAUACUAGACUAGCUACGGAGCGGGCGGCUCUCGACGCCCGGGCACAGUGUUUGCAGUCAGAGGCUUACCAGCUCACGAUGAGCUUAAAUGCGUCCAAUGAGGUAAUAAGGAGGAGACACCAGAAGACCCAAUCCCGGUUACCACCGAAUUACGACCCUCGGGUUCUUUUUGCUACACCCGGAGCCGGCCCAAGUAACCCGACAGAUGCCAAUCAGCUUAUGACAACCGGAGCAGGAGGACCGGCUCAGCAUCGAGAGAUGCCGCAUCCUCAUGUGAGCAUGGCGCCGCCGCGUUAUGUGCCGAUACCGCCGGGUCACUUUUCCAACCCCAUGGAGAACUUAAUCGCAGCAUCAGCGCGUCUGGCGGCUCUCCCAGUGGAUGGUGAUGAUCCAACAGCAGUGGACACCCGGAGAAUCAGGGAACUUGUCCAGACGGCCCUGGCUCAGCAAGGGACCUAUUCUUACAGCCGGGAUAGGAUUCAUUCAACUCCUCCGCCUUGGUUUGCACCGCCUCGUCAGAACCGGAGUCCGAGUUACAGCAGGCCCAUGGAGUCUGAAGCUUUGUCAAGCAACGCCCAGCGCCGCGACCAACAUGGUGGCUAUAACUCGGUGUAGCACCGAGCACGUCAAGAGAACGAGCGGGCGGCUCAGCUCGCGGCUCAACAGGCGGCACGUCAAAAUGUUACAGAGUAUCCAACAACUUCCAUUGAGAUGGGAGUAAUCACCAGAACCGGUGGUGUUCGUUGUUUGAUACCGGCUUUGCGUAACGUGCGCCUGCCCAAGGACUUCAAGGGACCUCGAAAGGUGCCGAAUUACACGGCCGAUUUACAACCUGGAGGCUGAAUUGAGAGCUAUGAGAUGGCCAUGGAGCUGUUGGAAGUCAGUGACGUGGCAAUGGCUAAAUACUUCACCAUGAUGUUAGAUGGAACGGCCCGGUCUUGGUUAAAGAGUUUACCACCCAAUUCCAUUGGUUCGUGGGAGGAGUUAAAAGCCCGUUUCAUCCAGAACUUUAAGGACACCUGUAAGCAGUCUAUGUCAAUCGUGGACUUGACGAAUUGUAAGCAGGGGCGGGCGAAUCCACUAACCAUUGGGUACGCCGGGUCAAGGAGAUAAUUCAUUCAUCUGAUAAGAUGGAUGCCAGCUCUGCAGUCCUCACGCUGGAGAAAAAUUGGAGCUUUGAACCGUUGAGGCAGAAACUAGGGCGCCUUAAGCGUGACUGCAGAGAUAUGGGCACACUGAUGGCGGCUUUAGUUAAAUAUGUCAAUUUUGAUAGUACCAAGGAUCCCGCGUCUGAUGAUGAGAAGACAGGGAAGGGAAAAGGAACGACAAUGGAAAGGGUCAACAACACAACCCGGGGAAUCAAAAGCGGCAAUAAGCAUAAGGCGGACGACAACCUGGAGCUUGUAGCCAACGCUAAUACACAGGGUAACAAUCAGAGACGUAAGGGUAAGUGGCCUCGAUCCACCGGGUCAGGCCCAUCUCUUGAGCAGCUACUCAAUGAUCCCUGCCCGAAACACGGCACCCGGGAGCACCCCGCUACACACCUGUGGAAGGACUGCGUGAUCAUGAAGGAGUUUAGAAAUUCCAAUACCUUUGAUGGUGGUCAUGGAUCGGGCGGCGGUUCAGUGGCUGGCGGCUUUCAUGUCCCGGGUGGUGGUUCAAAUUCCGGUUUCCAGGGACAGCUGGGUGGAAAUAAUCAGCAGCAAUCUGGUCAGGGAGGACAACAGCAGCAGCAGUCGGGUUAUCAGAGCCAUGCAAAACAGUUGAGUGGUGGGCAGUAUCAUGUGUUUACCACUAGCUUAUGCAAACGUGACCAGAAGGUUCUUAAUAGGGCCGUAAAUUUGGUUGAGCCGGCAAUUCCUCGUUAUUUGAGGUGGUCAGAGCAACCCAUCAUAUGGAGCAGAGAGGAUCACCCUCCACGAGUCGAUAAUCCGGGUCAGCUAGCCUUGGUGGUAGCACCCCAGGUUGGUGGAUAUAAAUUCACUAAGGUACUCAUGGAUGGAGGUAGCAGCAUCAAUAUCCUCUAUUAUGAUACUUUCCAGCGCAUGGGGUUGACUGAGAAGAAUCUGAGAACAUCCAAGACUAUUUUUCACGGGGUGGUUCCAGGCAUGUCGGCUUACCCAGUUGGCAAGAUUGAGUUGGAGGUGGCCUUUGGAUAUGAUUAUGAUCCCAGGGCUGAGAAAUUGACGUUUGAAGUGCUCAAAAUCAGGAGUCCAUAUCACGCUUUGUUUGGGCAACCGUCUUACGCUAAGUUCAUGGCACGAGCGUGUUACGUUUACUUAUAGCUCAAGAUGCCGGGUUACAAGGGUACCAUCACUGUGCAUGGGAAUCGGAAGGUAGCUUUGGAAUGUGAAGAAGGUGACGCGGCUUACGCUGAGACUGCAUGUGUUGCGGAAGAGCUUAAGUUUUACCAAGACAAUGUUGACCCGGCGGAUAUGACCUCCCUCAAGAAACCAACUACUGAGCAUGACCCGGCAUUGAAGUUUAAAUCGGCUGCUGAGACAAAGCUUGUUGACUUUACCCCAGGAGGCGCCUCUAAGCAGUUCAGUAUCAGUGCCAACUUGGAUCCUAAAUAGGAAAGCAGGCUCAUCGAGUUCAUCCGUGACAAUCAGGACAUCUUUGCAUGGAAACCUUCUGACAUGCCGGGUGUAUCGAGGGAACUCGCUGAGCACACUCUUAAUAUUGAUCCAAAGUAUAAGCCGGUCAGGCAGUUUCUCCGACGGUUCAACGAAGAGAGACAGAAAGCUAUUGGAGAAGAGGUUGCCCGGCUCUUAGCGGCUGGGUUUAUUGUUGAUGUUUUUCAUCCGGAGUGGUUGGCUAACCCGGUGUUGGUACUCAAGAAGAACGGCACUUGGCGGAUGUGCAUGGAUUACACGGACUUAAACAAGGCUUGUCCGGCUAAUCCCUUCGCUCUCCCCAGUAUUGAUUAAAUCAUUGAUGCUACAGCGGGUUGUGAAUGUUUGAGCUUCUUGGAUGCUUACUCUGGUUAUCAUCAGAUCAAGAUGGCAGUUAAGGACCAGGUGAGGGAGUCCUGGAUUAGGGGGUGUCCGGAUGGCCGGACUAUGACCUUUGGCCGAACUCCCGGACUAUGAAGAUACAAGAUUGAAGACUCUGUCCCGUGUCCGGAUGGGACUUUCCUUGGCGUGGAAGGCAAGCUUGGCGAUACGAUAUGAAGAUCUCCGCCUAUUGUAACCGACUCUGUGUAACCCUAGCCCUCACCGGUGUCUAUAUAAACCGGAGAGUUUUAGUCUGUAGGACGAACAACAAUCAUACCAUAGGCUAGCUUCUAGGGUUUAGCCUCUCUGAUCUCGUGGUAGAUCCACUCUUGUACUACCCAUAUCGUCAAUAUUAAUCAAGCAGGAGUAGGGUUUUACCUCCAUCGAGAGGGCCCGAUCCUAGGUAAAAGCAUUGUGUCCCUUGUUUCCUGUUACCAUCCGCCUAGAUGCACAGUUCGAGACCCCCUACCCGAGAUACGAUGGUUUUGACACCGACAUUGGUGCUUUCAUUGAGAGUUCCUCUGUGUCGUCGCCCAUAGGCCUGAUGGCUUCUUCGAUCAUCAACCACGACACGGUCCGGGGUGAGACCUUUCUCCCCGGACAGAUCUUCGUAUUUGGCGGCUUCGCACUGCGGGCCAACUCGCUUGGCCAUCUGGAGCAGAUCGAAAGCUAUGCCCCUGGCCAUCAGGUCACGUUCGGAAGUUUAAACUACACGGCCGACAUCCGCAGGGACUUGAUCUUCGACGGAUUCGAGCCACGGCCGAGCACGCCGCACCGUCACGAUGGGCAUGAUCUAACUCUGCCACCGGACAGUGCCCAAAGCAUCGCUCAGGUGCCCGCUCCGACCAUUAGCUCGGAGCCGACUGCGCUAGUUGGGGAUGGACGGUUGGACGCCACCCCAGGAGCCGCAAUCUCUACGGCGAUAGAGCCGAAUACCAGCCUAGUCCUUUGCAAGGCCCGUGAUUCCAAGGUGUCGGACUCCGUUCCGGACUACGAAUCCUCCGCACCCCUUCUGAUCGAACCUGAUUGGGCUCCCAUUAUGGAGUUCACCGCCGCGGACGUCUUUCAGCGCUCGCCUUUUGGCGACAUCCUGAAUUCACUAAAGUCUCUCUCUUUGUCAGGAGAGCCCUGGCCGGAUUACAGUCAGCAUGGUUGGGAUACGGACGACGAAGAAAUUCGAGGCCCACCCACCACCCACUUCGUAGCCACUGUCGACGAUUUAGCCGACAUGUUCGACUUUGACUCCAAAUACAUCGACGGUAUGGACGCCGAUGAAGGAGACGACCAAGAACCAGCACCUAUAGGGAACUAGAAAGCCACCUCGUCAUAUGACAUAUACAUGGUGGACACCCCCAAAGCAGGGGAUGGCGACGAGAAAACGGAGGAUGACCCCUCCAAGAAGCAACCCAAGCGCCGACGUCAGCGGCGCCGCUCUAAGUCCCGCCAAAGCAAAAACGGCGAUUCCGGCACCGGAGAUAACAACACGCCGGACAGUGCCGAAGAUAACCCCCUCCAGCAGGAUUCAGUGCAGGAGGACGAAGGAGCCAGCCCUCAUGAGAGGACGGCCAACAGAGAGGUUGAGGACGACAAUUAUAUGCCUCCCUCUGAAGACGAGGCAAGCCUCGACGACGACGAAUUCGUCGUGCCAGAGGAUCCCGUCAAACUAGAGCGUUUCAAACGCAGGCUUAUGGCCACGGCAAGCAGCCUCAAGAAAAAACAGCAGCAGCUUAGAGCUGACCAAGACUUGUUGUCGACAGAUGGACCGAAGUCCUGGCGGCCGAAGAGUAUAAACUCGAGCGCCCCUCCAAGAGCUACCCAAAGCGUAGGCUGCUACCCCAACUUGAGGAGGAAGCAACUAAACCUACAUCACCAGCGUACGAUGCGCCCGAUCGGCCACCCCGUGGCCGCGACAGAGAGGCCUUCAGGCCCUUGACCCAAGCCGCACCCAGGCACCGCUCAAAACAUACCAGAGUACGGGGAGACGCAACAGACCUGCGGGACAUAUUGGAGAACAAGGCAAGGGAAACAAGAUCGAUCUACGGAUCGCAUGGGCGCCCCACUCCACGUGACGCUGGCCGUCACGCCAGACAUGAUAAGUUCGGCCAGGCAGAAUACAACAGACCAAGCUCAUUCGAGCUCCUUCGUGAUAUAGCCCAGUACAGGGGCGCCGCACACCCACUAUGCUUCAUAGACGAAGUAAUGGAUCAUCAAAUCCCCGAGGGUUUUAAGCCCGUAAACAUCGAAUCAUACGAUGGCACAACUGAUCCCGCGGUAUGGAUCGAUGAUUAUCUCCUUCAUAUCCACAUGGCCCGUGGUGAUGAUCUACACGCCAUCAAAUACCUCCCGCUCAAGCUUAAAGGACCAGCUCGACAUUGUCUUAACAGCCUGCCAGCAGAGUCAAUUAGUUGCUGGGAGGCCCUGGAAUCCGCAGUCCUGGACAAUUUCCAGGGCACUUAUGUGCGGCCACCAGACGUCGAUGACCUAAGCCACAUAAUCCAGCAGCCAGAAGAAUCGGCCAGGCAAUUCUGGACACGGUUCCUAACCAAGAAAAAUCAAAUAGUCGAUUGUCCGGACGCCGAGGCCCUUGCAGCCUUCAGGCACAACAUCCGAGACGAAUGGCUUGCCCGGCACCUAGGACAGGAAAAGCCGAAAUCUAUGGCAGCCCUCACGACACUCAUUACCCGCUUUUGUGCGGGAGAAGACAGCUGGCUAGCUCGCAGCAAUAACAUAACCAAGAGCCCUGGGAAUUCGGAUACCAAGGACAACAAUGGCAGGUCACGUCGCAACAAGCACAAGCGCCGCAUUAACGGCGACAAUACUGAGGAUACGACAGUCAACGCCGGAUUCAGAGGCUCUAUACCCGGUCAGUGGAAGAAGCCAUUCAAAAGAAACCCUCCGGGCCCAUCCAACUUAGAUCGGAUACUCGACCGCUCGUGCCAGAUACACGACACCCCCGAACAACCAGCCAACCACACGAACAGGGAUUGUUGGGUGUUCAAGUAGGCAGGCAAGUUAAGUGCCGAAACCAGAGACAAGGGGCUGCGUAGCGAUGACGAGGAGGAGCCCCGGCCGCCGAACAACAGAGGACAGAAGGGAUUCCCCCCACAAGUGCGGACGGUGAACAUGAUAUACGCAACCCACAUCCCCAAAAGGGAGCGGAAGCAUGCUCUCAAGGACGUCUGUGCGUUGGAGCCAGUCGCCCCAAAGUUCAACCCAUGGUCCUCCUGCCCGAUCACCUUUGAUCGAAGGGACCACCCCACUAGCAUCCGUCACGGCGGAUUCUCCGCAUUGGUCCUAGACCCAAUCAUUGACGGAUUUCACCUCACCAUAGUCCUGAUGGACGGCGGCAGCAGCCUGAACCUGCUAUAUCAGGAUACAGUGCGAAAAAUGGGCAUAGGUCCCUCAAGGAUUAAACCCACAAAGACAACCUUUAAAGGCGUCAUACCAGGUGUAGUAGCCAGCUGUACAGGCUCGGUUACACUCGAAGUGGUCUUCAGAUCCUUGGAUAAUUUCCGAAGCGAAGAGUUAAUCUUCGACAUAGUCCCAUUCCGCAGUGGCUAUCACGCCCUGCUCGGACGAACCGCAUUUGCAAAAUUCAAUGCGGUGCCGCACUACGCAUAUCUCAAGCUCAAGAUGCCAGGACCUCGCGGAGUCAUCACGGUAAAUGGAAAUACCGAACACUCUCUCCGAACGGAGGAGCACACGGCUGCCCUGGCGGCGGAAGUACAAACUAGCCUCUCAAGGCAAUUCUCCAAUCCAGGCAUCAAACGUCCGGACAACGACAAGCGAGCCCGAAGUAACAUACAACAAAUCCGGCUGGCACGUUCCGAGCAAGCAUAGCAGUGUGGCCCCAACCCCAGCCAUCACCAGAUGGUGAUAUCGGUACCACGCGUACAUAACUACGCCUUAGAGAUACCAUGGGCAUAAGGGGAGGGGCACAACUAUGGCACACCCAGAAUGCGGCCCAACCGCACUAAGGGGCUCCCUAUUCCGCCGUUUCCUUUUUAUACACUUUCAGGACCCAACUAUUCGGAAGGCCUGUCCGGCAACACAAUCACCGAACAUAUGAUGCAACAGCCAGGGAGAGAACAAGCCGCGUCAAAUGUCCAGGUGGUCUCUAUAACGAGCUUAAUACCUGUUUUACUUAAAAUCUCGCAGCUUGCCCCUGGAGGGGGACAUGUCAAAUAAUCCCAUCUCUUGCUUAUCGCACUACUUGUAUCGUUCUGCUUUCGUAGCAGCCCUUUUUUAAUAAACAAUACAUAGCUCUUAUCUAUUAUUGUACUCAUCUAUUCUUUAUAUACAAAUAUGUUCAGUCAUGACAUUCUACAACCGUACACUUUGGUACGGCCAAUACACCAGGGGCUUAAGCACCCCAUAACAUGGUGUGAGAAGACCGAACACUCACCUGAGUGUGGCACUCCAAACUUAUAGCACUAUAUGCAUCGGCUCCAAAUCAUGUCUUUGGUCAAUAGUUGGGUUUGCCCGGCUCCCAUGUUUUGGUACCUUACGUUCCGCAAUGUUGGCUAAGGUAGCACUGGGAGAACUACUGCGAUUGUGCCCCAGUUGAGCUGGGUUAACACCUCAGUAGAGAAAGCUAAAACUGACCAUCAUGAUAGUGCGAGAGACCGGUCGCUGUUCGCGAGGUUUUUCGAGUCCUUAAAGACUUAUGCCGCUUAGAGCGAGGAACCGGACUUAUCCGGCCUAGGCGUGGAUAGCGCCCCGAACUCGGUCUUCGGAACACUAGGGGCUUCACCGAAAUUUAAAACUAUAGAAUUCUAUGGCCAAGUGAGAGUGAUAAAGCAUUAUAAGUCCAACGGCAUGGUUCGUUGUGCUGAGCGCCUCCCUAGAUGGACCCAAGAAUGGGAACAAGAGCGCUCAGGUUUAUCCCAAACACCCCAGCACUCGUGGCAUGGGGGUCGAGGCCGAUGACUUGCAUCUCUCAGAUUUGAUAAACGGCAGCACAGAAGGUAAUAUUUUAAAUUAACAAGCGUUGCUUAACUCAUAUGAACAAAGUUUUCAGUGUACAGGAUAAAAAAUGCGAUUCUACUCAAAAAUUACAUCUUUGGAGCAUUCGUCCGCUAUACGGCGAGCACCCUUCAGGACGCCCUUAUAAUACAUCUCGGGCGUGCGAUACUCCUUGCCCGACGGUGGCGCGUCCGUCAAAAGCUGCUUAGCGUCCAGCUUGCCCCAGUGCACUUUAGCACGGGCCAGGGCCCGACGGGCACCUUCGAUACAGACGGAGCGCUUGACGACCUCAAUCCACGGACACGCGUCCACCAGCCGCCGCACCAGACCGAAGUAGCUCCCAGGCAUGGCUUCUCUAGGCCACAGCCGAGCUAUGAGGGCCUUCAUGGCCUGUUCGGCCACCUUGUGGAGCUCGACCAGCUGCUUCAGCUGGUCGCUCAGGAGCACCGGAUGUUCGGCCUCAGCAUACUGAGACCAGAUCACCUUUUCCGUCGAGCUCCCCUCUUCGGCUCGGUAGUAUGCGGCAGCAUCAGACACACUACGGGGCAGGUCGGCGAACGGUCCUAGAGAGCUCCGGAUUCGGGUAAGUAGCAGAUAAUUUACUUUUAUAUUCUUGCUUUGCAUAAAGAAUGCCUUACCCGCCGCUAUCUUCUUCAUCGCCUCGAUCUCCUGGAGGGCCUUCUGGGCUUCGGCCUUAGCGGUCUUGGCACUCUCAAGAGCCAAGGCGAUCUCGGACUCUCGAGUCUUCGAGUCACGCUCCAAACCCUUGUGUUUUUCCACGAGAGCCUGGAGCUCUUGCCGCACCUCCGCCACCCGCGCCUCCUGCUUCUCUCGCUCGGUGCGCUGCAAGGCCGCACUGCUCUCGGCCUUGGACACCGCCUCUUUCAGGGUCGCCACCUCGACUGUGGCCCCUGCAACAUUUACGUUGGUCCUGUCAUUAUUUGCAACCAAGUAUUUCUAUAUACAUUUACAUGCGGUACUACGUACCCUCUUUCUCCUCGAGCUGCUUCUUGGCACGGCCAAGCUCGCUCUCGGACCGCUCGAGGCUUUCCUUCAAGGCAUUGACCUUCGCAGUCAGUGCGGUAGAGGUCAGCAGCACAGCCUGCAUUCCCAUAUUGACAUAUUUUUAUUAGACUCCUGCGUAUAUCGUUUUAGAUCCUCAGCUCGGCUUUUCUUUCCGAACACCGAACUGAGAAUCAGGGGCUACUGUCUAUGCGGUAACAUUUUUUAUAUGAUUUUUAACACAUACCCCAAAGCCUGUUAACAGGCUUGUAUAGGCUUCUGUCAGCCCGCUCUUGGCGGACUGAACCUUCUGAAUCACCGCACUCAUAACAGUGGGUACUCCUCGUUGAUGGAGGCGUCGUUAAGCAAUUCCAGCAAAUUGUCCGGCAUCUCCGGAUGGACGGAGGUCGCCGGCGCCGUAGGCUUGCCCUUCUUAUGAAGGCGCCGCCUGUCGGACUCUAGAACCAUUGAUAGUUCCGGAGCAGUGUCCGGCCCGGGGCCGGACUUGGAUCCCUCCAGGGCUUUAUCCCCUUUAGGCCUGGAGUCCGGGAGGUCGCCUUGCGGCGCCUCCAGGACCACAUCCUCCUGGUGUAGUCCCUUUCGGGACUCCACCUCGGCAUCGUCCGUAGGGAGAAGGGAGGAGGCCGUCGGGAGUGAAGCGCUAUUCACAUCCAACGAAUCCAAGGAGCCACUCGUCGAAUCGUCGAGCUGAGCCUUGGGCGGACUGCAUGAUCAAAUUCGGCGUCAGAAAAUGCCAAAUAAUGGAGAAGCGCCAUAAGUUAUUCGGACAUCCGGAUGCUUGCGAUUUUGCCAGGGGCUUGACCCUGGAUGGCCAUUCCUCCCCGCCAUCUUCGGCAUCGGAGGUGUAGUCCGGAAGAAGGGUUCUCCCCUUCUUGGACCCUCAGGCCUCCCCAGUUGGGGCGGCCUUUCUCUUCUUUCCUCCCCCCGUUGGAGGGGGAGAGGCUUCUUCUUCUUCUCCUUCCUCCUCCUCGUCUUCGGAGGCGGAGGGUGCGUCGGGGUUGUCGGCCGAUGAAUCCGACACCACCAAGCGCCGGGAGCUCUUUCGAGUCCCCGUGGCCUUGUUCUUGGCCUUCUUCUCCGGCACCACAUGAGGUGCCGGAACCAGCAGCUUCGUUAAGCGGGCAUCCGCUGGGUCUUCGGGCAAGGGAGCCAGACAGUCGAUUUGUCCGUCCUUCUUUUGCCAGUCCUGUUAGAAAGAUGGGAGUUUAGAUCCCGCAUAGAAUCAAAUCUAUGAAAAACGAAUACCCCGUAAAGGGAAAAUUAUGCUCACCACGCUGGCUUGGCGCUUGGCGCAUAAUCCGUGAUCCUCGGUGACGGAGGGGAGACCUCGGAGCUCUUGAAGAGCACCUUCCAGGCAUCCUCGUGCUUUGUGUCGAAGAGCCGAGACAGAGUCUGGUGCUGGGCUGGGUCGAACUCCCACAAGUUGAAAGCCCGUCGUUGACACGGGAGAAUCCGGCGGAAAAGCAUGACCUGGACUAUGGUGACAAGUUUAACCUUCCUACCGAUCAGAUAUUUGAUGCAGGUUUGAAGUCCGGUCACUUUCGCCGAAUUACCCCAUGACAGGCCCGUCUCUUUCCAAGAUGUGAGCAAUGUGGGGAUGCCAGAUCGGAAUUCGGGGGCCGCUGCCCAUUCUGAGUCACGCGGCUCGGUGAUAUAGAACCACCCCGAUUGCCACCCUUUGAUAGUCUCUACGAAGGUGCCCUCGAGCCAUGUAACAUUGGCUAUAUUGCCCACCAUGGCACCUCCGCACUCCGCUUGGCGGCCGCCCACGACCAUCGGCUUGACGCUGAAGAUCUUCAGCCAUAGGGCAAAAUGAGGCUGGAUGCGGAGGAAGGCCUCGCACAUGACGAUGAAUGCCGAGAGGUCGAGGAUAAAAUUCGGGGCCAGAUCGUGGAAGUCUAGGCCGUAGUACAACAUGAGCCCCCGGACAAAUGGGUGAAGAGGAAAACCCAGUUCGCGGAGGAAAUGAGGAAGAAAAACAACCCUCUCAUGGGGCCUCAUCUGGAAGCCGGUGCACGAUGUCGUCAGACAAGUAUCCAGCCUUCCUCAACUUUUUGAUUUGCCCCUCCGUGACGGAGGAGGCCAUCCAUCUACCUCCCACUCCGGACAUGAUUGGAGAAGGUUGAGGUGGAAAGUGUGGGCUUGGGCGUUGGAGCUCGAGCGCGCAGGGACGAAUAAGCAACGGAGGAAGAAGGCGUGAAUGGAAAGGGCGGAUGCUUAUCCCCUUAUAUGGGCGGCCGAAACUACGAGGCCCCACCGGCCUAAUAAAACUCGCUUAUCUCCCAAGCGCCAUGGUUAAUGGCGCGGUUGGUUUACCCACGCCCGUAUUGAUGAGAAUCCCGGAAUAAGGGGACAUGAUCUCUGCUUUGACAAGACGUGCCAAGGAAACCGCCUCGCUAAACGCACUGAGGUGGAAUAGUGAAAUGAAUGAAAGCCUGGCCGUGGCGUGAUGUCACGCUGCGGAAUACGUCAGCAGAUUAGAUUGGUGCAAAUAUUAUUCUCUCUACGGUGGCAUGUGGAACUUAUUUUGCAGAGCCGGACACUACCCUGGUGUUCAACAUCUUCUAUGGAAUAUUCUGAGGAGGAACCUGCCUUGCAAUGCCGAAGACAACUUGCGCGCCGGACUCGUCGUCAUUGAAGCCUGGUUCAGGGGCUACUGAGGGAGUCCUGGAUUAGGGGGUGUCCGGAUGGCCGGACUAAGACCUUUGACCGGACUCCCAGACUAUGAAGAUACAAGAUUGAAGACUCCGUCUCGUGUCCGGAUGGGACUUUCCUUGGUGUGGAAGGCAAGCUUGGUGAUACGAUAUGAAGAUUUGCUCCCAUUGUAACGACUCUGUGUAACCCUAGCCCUCUCCGGUGUCUAUAUAAACCAGAGAGUUUUAGUCCGUAGGACGAACAACAAUCAUACCAUAGGCUAGCUUCUAGGGUUUAGCCUCUCUGAUCUCGUGGUAGAUCCACUCUUGUACUACCCAUAUCGUCAAUAUUAAUCAAGCAGGAGUAGGGUUUCACCUCCAUCGAGAGGGCCCGCACCUGGGUAAAAACAUCGUGUCCCUUGUCUACUGUUACCAUCCGCCUAGACGCACAGUUCGGGACCCCCUACCCGAGAUCCGCCGGUUUUGAUACCGACACCAGGAGAAGACAGCUUUCAUCCGUUUGGGGCCUUCUGUUAUGUAUCUAUGCAGUUUGGACUCAAGAGUGCCCAGGCGACUUAUCAGUGAUGCGUGCAGAACUGUUUACAUGAUCAAAUUGGGCGUAAUGUUCAUGCUUAUGUAGAUGACAUCGUGGUGAAAUCCAGAGAAAAGGAAACCUUAAUAUCCGAUUUGAGAGAGACCUUUAACAAUCUCCGGGUUUACAAGAUGAUUCUUAACCCCGCCAAGUGUGUGUUUGGUGUACCGGCAGGCAAGCUCUUGGGUUUUCUGGUGUCAAACAGAGGCAUUGAAGCUAAUCGGGAGAAGAUCACGGCGAUUACCUCUCUGGCUAAGCCGGCGUGUAUCAAUGAUGUUCAGCGCCUGGCGGGUCGUGUUGCCGCUUUAAGCCGGUUCAUCAGCCGGUUAGGGGAGAAGGCCUUACCGCUAUAUCAGAUGAUGAAGAAAAUGGACACUUUCGUCAAGAGCGAUGCCGCCAAUACUGCCUUUGAAGAUUUAAAGAGAUAGUUGUCUGAGCCACCGGUUCUUGCGGCUCCCAUUGAUAGAGAGCCGCUAUUGUUAUAUGUGGCUGCUAACUCACGGGCCGUCAGUGUUGCCAUCGUGGUAGAGCGUAAAGAGGUAGGCAAGGAGCAUUCGGUUCAAAGGCUUGUUUACUACGUCAGUGAGGUGCUCAUUGUGUGUAAACAAAGGUAUCCGCAUUGGCAGAAGCUUGUUUAUGGUGUGUUGAUGGCAAACCGGAAGCUGAAGCAGUACUUCCAAAGUCACCCUAUAAUGAUGGUAAGUUCAGAUCCUUUGGGAGACAUCAUUCAGAACAGGGAGGCCAUAGGACGAAUCGCCCAGUGGGCUAUUGAGCUUGGGCCUUAUGGUUUAAAAUAUAUGCCCCGUACUGCCAUCAAAUCUCAGGCCUUGGUGGAAUUUAUCAAUGAUUGGACAGAGUUGCAGGCACCUGAGGAGAAGCCGGACAAUACAUAUUGGAUUAUUCACUUUGAUGGGUCCAGGCAGUUAGAACGAUCAUGGGCUGGAGUUGUUUUAACUUCCCCUCGAGGUGACAAAUUUCGUUAUGUGCUCCGGCUCAUGUUUCCUUAAUGCAGCUGAAUACGAGGCCUUGCUCCAUGGUCUCCGGAUGGCCAAGGAGAUGAAUUUAAGCCGGGUAAGGUGCUUGGGCGACUCAGACCUCGUGGCUCAACAGGUCUCAGGCACGUGGGAUUCUAAGGAUCCCCUUAUGGCGGCUUAUCAUCGUGAAGUAGAUGGUGUAGCUGGGUACUUCAAAAGAUAUCAGGUGGAGCACAUUGAUAGAAGGAAGAAUGACGCGGCUGAUGCGUUAAGCCGGUUGGGCUCUCAGCGUAAGCCGGUACCGCCUAACACCUUUCUUGAUGUUCUGCAUAAUCCUUAUGUCAAGGUACCUACAGAGGAAGAGCUUGCAGUGCCAGACCCGGAGGCACAGUUGGUGGCCGCACUUCACGUCAUCCCAGAUUGGACAUUACCAUAUUUGGCUUAUAUGACCCGGGGAGAGCUGCCUGAGGAUGAGACCUUGGAAAGACAAAUUGUGAGGCAGUCCAAAUCCAUGACAAUUGUUAAUGGUGAGUUACAUCACCUCAGUGUCACAGGGGCGUUCCAGCGUUGUGUGUCACCUGCGGAGGGUCAAGAGAUAGUUCGAGAGAUCCAUGAUGGAGAUUGUGGUCACCAUGCCGGCUCAAAGUCGCUGGUGGGCAAGGCCUUCCGUCAUGGUUUUUAUUGGCUGACGGCUCAUGCUGAUGCAGAGGACCUUGUUAGCAAAUGUGACGGAUGUCAAAAAUUCUCAAGACGAGCUCAUGUGCCGGCUCAAGAAUUGAGGAUGAUUCCAAUUACUUGACCAUUCGCAGUCUGGGGGCUUGACAUGGUGGGACCCUUCAAGAGGUCUAAGGACAAAAAGACACACCUCCUGGUGGCAGUGGAUAAAUUUACAAAGUGGAUUGAGGGAGAGCCGGUCAGUUAGUGUGAUGCGGCCACGGCAGUUCAGUUCAUCAAAAAGGUGAUCUUUCGUUUUGGUUUUCCACAUAGCAUCAUAACUGAUAAUGGCACUAAUCUUUCCAAGGGUGCAAUGGAAGAGUUCUGUCAACGAGAGCAUAUCCGGCUUGACGUUUCGGCUGUUGCUCAUCCUCAAUCCAAUGGCCAAGCAGAAAGAGCUAAUUAGGAAAUUUUAAGGGGUAUCAAACCACGGCACUUGGUCCCCUUACAGCGGACUCCGGGUUGUUGGGUGGAAGAAUUACCCUCUGUGCUGUGGAGCAUCAACACUACGCCUAAUAGAUCCACGGGUUAUACAGCUUUUUUCAUGGUUUAUGGAGCAGAUGCAGUUUUGCCAAGUGAUAUCCGGCACGAUUCACCUCGGGUGGCGGCUUACGUUGAGGCUGAUAAUGAAAAAGCUCGACAGGAGGCACUUGACUUGUUGGAUGAGGAGCGGGACUUGGCCAUAGCCCGCUCAGCGAUUUACCAGCAAGACCUUCGUCGCUAUCACAGCCGCCGGGUCAAAAGCAGAACAUUUUAGGAAGGCGACUUAGUGCUCCGGCUCAUCCAGGAUCAGUCUAAUAUGCACAAGCUAUCCCCUCCUUGGGAAGGAACCUUUGUGGUCAGCAAGAAUCUGAACAACGGUUCAUACUACCUCAUUGAUAUUCGGGAAUACAAAGACUCACGUAAGUCGGAGGAGGAGACCCGCCGGCCGUGGAAUAUCGCCCAUCUUCGGCCUUACUAUACUUGAGCCACCGGCUCUUAGGAUGUAUAUAUUUUUGAUGAUGUCCAUAUUAUAUAAAGCAAUAAAGCAGGACCUCUGUCCUUUUUUCCCAUAAAGAAUGUUUUUAUGUCUUCUUUAUCAGGGAAUGGACACUAUCAACAGGGAGCGGAUCAUAUCUGAAUCUGGCUUUCCCUUUGGACUGGCUUAUGAUCAUAUCUGAAUCUAGCCAUGAUCACUUGGGGGCUUCCUGUUCAAACAUAGGUCGUAUCCGAACCAAAGAGAACAUAGCUGUCGAUACCCGCUUGAUCGGCAUACUGCCAAACCCACUUGGGGGCUUCUUGAUCAUAUUUGAAUCAUAGCUUAACCCCUUUGGGUCUGACCUGGAUCGUAUAUGAAUCAACAUCAUUAAACAAAUCUCAUGGUCACUUGGGGGCUUUCUGUUCAAACAUAGGUCAUAUUUGAACCAAAGAGAACAUAGUUGUUGAUACCCACUUGAUCGACAUCGCCAAGCCACUGGGGGUUAUAUGAUCGUAUCCGAAUCUUAGCUUAACCCCUUUGGAAUGGUUUACUGAUCGUAUUCAAAUCAGAAGCCUGUAAAUUAUUUCGAAUAUCCUGAGAUCUUGGGAAAACAUUAUGAGAUGUUUUUUUCUUUUCCGGUUUAAUAUUGGUUACACCAGGUUGUUGAGUACCAGGCGAGCACUAAGUCAGCAGGAAAAGUUAUCAAAAGAUUGCAGGUAUGCUAUUAUGCUAAGUAAAGUAUAGUCAUAAAUCGGCCUAUGUAAGGUGCCUUGGGUUGUUUCCGGGUUACAAAUACUGUAUGUGACCCCCGGUGUGAUAAACCGCCAAGGGAGCUUUUUGUUCAUUUCAUGUGCAGGAUAAGACAAGCAAAUUUACCAUCAGGGAGACAAAUGAUCCACAUAAGCUAGAAAUAUAUAAACGGCUGCUUAUGAAAGUAUUAAGUGCCAUAAAACAUGCGCGGAGGCAUGACAAACAUUGCGAGGUUUUUCUUAUCCUAUUACAAGACUCCCUGAGUCUGAAUAAGUGAAGCAUUGUUUUUUGCAAGACACCGGCGAUUCACUCCUUUGGCGGGCUUGAAGUCUCCGGGUUAUCCUUCCCCGCUUCUCCGUCGACUGUUUUGUCAUGGAAAGUUGAUGAGGCCCAGUCAAUGCCGCUCAAAGCUUCAAACUCAGCUUCAUCAUCUAUUAAACCGGCUGGGUCCACUUCAGGGGCAAAAGUAUUCUUACGAACUGGAGGGAUCAGGCUGAUUUGAUCAUAUGGAGCGUUUGGAAUUCUCCGGUUUUCACUGUCAUAAGCCGGUGCAUACUUGCUAAGAUCAGUGUCGUUUCCAAUAAGGGUCGCCACGGACGUAUGGCUUUGACACAGGCGGUGAAGUCAUGGUUGUAAAAUGCAGUGUCGUCCUCCUUCAGACUUGGGUGUCCAAGGGCAAGGUCGGCCGGCUCUAGUUCUGGGAGCCAUGCUUUAGCCCGGCUCAAUGCGGCUAUGGCUCCGGCUCUUGAGGACGCCCACCUUAAGUCUUGGAUCUGCUGAGGAAGAAAAGCGAGGCUCUUCAAUACGUCUUGCAGAAGGCGGGGAUGUGGAGUUGAUAAAGUUACAACGGCCAAGGCACGUUGUGACCCGGAGUAUAGCUGUUCCACUAAGGUGCAAAUUGCUUUAAGCUUGAUCAGCAUGUUUUGCUUUAGGUUGAUACUCCUGGGGCCUGUAUGUGCACAAGUAUAACAGUUAGCCAGAAGUAAUUAUUACCAUAGUCAUUGUAAGGGAUGCUUCUGUUGUUUUAAGUCGGACAGCUCGGUUGUUGCUUCUGCAAGGGAUGCUUCUGCUGUUUCGGCCCGAGUCACCAGGGAAGCCUUUUCAUCAGCCCAAGUUUUCUUCUGCGACUCAAAAUUCUUCUUCAGUUUCUCAUUUUCAGAGACACUGAAUUCAAAUUUGGAGUUAGCCUUCUGUGUCUCAAGUUCUUGAGUUUCCAGAUGGCUCUUCAGGACAGCAACUUCCGAUUCAAACUGACUUAUGGCAGCCUGCAUGGACACCAGGUUAUGGUAAGGAUUUUAUUAAGGUAACAUUCAAGUCCCAAGCACUUCACAAGUAAAGAUACUUGGCACUUGGGGGCUAAUGUAUGCUGAAGAAUUUUAACCAUAUCCUACCGGGUCACACAUAUUAAGUCUCAAGCACUUUCCAAGUAAAGAUACUUGACACUUGGGGACUAAUGUAUAUUGCAAAAUUUACAAUUAUCAUGUUAUAACCGGGUUAAAUAUAGUCUUUUUGAACCAGUUCAAUUAAUAAGUAAAGCAGAUUUCUAAGUCUACAGCAUAUUUAUUCAUAAGCAAUAGACUUGGGGGUUGGUACAGUAUGUAAGACUCAGGUAAAAAGUAUAAAUUAUACUUCAGAUUUGUGAUGUAUUUGUUUUACCAUGUCAAUUUCUAGGUCACGGCUAUUAUGCACUUGAUUCAGAUAGCCUGAGACUAUAUCAUCAAUGCUCAAGUGAGUAUAAUCAGUAAUGUCCUGUUUGGCUUUCUAGCGUUCGGCAAGUUCUUCUUUGGCGAAACACUUGGCAAGUACGGUAGGCCGCCCUGGUUCAAUAAACUGAGACCUUACAAUCUCAACUUCCAUUCCGUUUGUCUUGACCGGGCUAUGAGUCUCCGGGUCAUUUGUGUUGAAAGUAUCUUCAGCAGGCGGAUCAGAAGUUGGCACUGGAAUAUCAGAAGCCGGAUCAGCCGGCUGCUGAUGGGCAGAGUUGUCUGGAGCAGAUGCAUUAAUCACUAGUUCAGUAAUAAUCGGGUCUUGGGACGGCUUAUUCUUCUUUGCCCUCUUGCUGGGUUUUACUUGCAUGUUGUUAACAAAGGUAGAAUGAUGAAUAUGCAAGCAUGGGUAAAGUAAAAUUUAAGGUACAUAAGGUUACAUUACCCGGGAGCAGUUUUGAAAGCCGACAUGUUUGACUGCAUGGAUUCACCAAGGAGAGGUAUCCUGGUAAUUGGAGUCAGACGAAUUGAGAGGAUGACGAAUUAAGCCCGCUAAAGGUAAAACAGAACGUAAAUCGGAGAUAACCUCAGUCCGACGCUUCCUAGUUACGUCAGGUAAGACGGAGGAAAGUUCCGCAUCCUUGUUGUUCCGGGUCUACCUCCGGUUCUCAAGCUGUUGUUGCUUCAAAAGAAAUUGAGGAUCUUGAUAAUCAAGAGCAUGUGAAAAUCUUACUUUCCGGGUCACCCUUCGGAUCUUUUGCUUUGGCAAAGGCUCUGAGUCGGAGGAGAUUAUAGUUACCUCUUCAUUGGCUGCUUGGCUGUUCCCCAUAUCCUCCUGAAGGGAUAGAAUGUCAGACAAGUAAUAACAAGGGAAUUAAGAAAAUUUAAAGAUUACCUCUUCAUCAUCCGAAGAACUAUCCUCCAGUCUGAGUAAGUCGGAGGCGCUAGGUCUCUUUUUCUUUGAGGUUCCCGUCUUGGCGGCUUUCCUUUCGGCUUUCUUGGUUGCCCUGGCUCGUUUUGCAGCUUCAUGGUUAUAUUUGACCUUUCAGAAGUUAUCAUCGGCCUGUGGGAAAAGAUAAGGAAUUAUGAGUACCAAAGAAGGUAAAACAUAGCAAAGAGCAUUUGUUAAGAUUGAUAACUUACUGCAGGGGCCGGGUUCUUCUUACAAAAGGGAAGUAAGCCGAAGGUGUUAUUCGUCACAGUGCCCUCCUUCAGCAAUGACUGGGUCGUAGCCUCCACCACAUCAUCUGGUAAGUCGUCAGGACUAUGGCGUAACGAGUCAUCUUUUUCGCCGGUAUAAGUACACAUUAAGCCGGAACGGCGGCUUAAUGGAAGUACUCGCCAAGUGACCCAGACAUGGACCAGAUCGACGCCGUUUAAGCCAUUUCCCAAGAGAGCUUUUAUCUUCUUGAUGGUAGGGUUGAGAGGCAGACGUUGAACGGACGUCAGUUUGUCUGGUAACGGAUGGUUGGAUUCAAGGCGCAGGGCGUGAAAGCCGGGUAGAGGCUUCUCAUCAGCCAGAGAAGUGUCUUGAUAGUAGAACCACGUUUGGUUCCAAGACUUUGGAUGACUCGGCAACUCAGCAUAAGGAAAAUGGCAAUCUCUCCGUCGCUGGAUUGAGAUGCCGCCAAGCUCAAGACUCGGCCCAUUGGCACGUUCAUUUUGCCGGUUCAUGUAGAAAGUUCCCUGAACAAUAGCAGACUUGGUUCUUCUCCGAGGUACACCUCGCAGAAGACUUGGAAAUUGCAAAUAUUUGACACAGAGUUGGGUCCCAUGUCUUGAGGUCUAAGAUCAAAGAAAUUCAAAACCUCCCUGAAGAAUUUUGAACCGGGAGGAGCAAAUCCCCGGCUCAUGUGAUCCAUAAAAACUAUCGCCUCCCCUUCUUUGGGAUGAAGCUUCUCUUCAGACGGGUCUGGGACACGAAAAGACAUGACCUCCUUUUUUGGCAGGUAGCCAGAUUUCACGAACUCGGCCAGUUUACUCUUGGUAACUAUGGAUGGGACCCAAUUGCAGGUUACAGGGGCCUUGGCCGCCUUAGGAGCCAUGACAAUAGUUGGCCUAUGAUAAAAUAAGAAGAUCCGGUUCAAUUUUAACCAGGGAGGAAAAUCCUAAUCAUUCAAAGUGGCGGCUUAAGGAGGGGCCUAAUGAUAUAACACUACUAGGGAAAAGCCUAUACAUAGAAUCUUAUCAGCAGCGCGCUUUAAAAUAAGGCGCUGCUGCUAAUUAGCAGUAGCGUGCUCAGGAGUAACUCGCUUCUGAAACAAAUAUAGCAGUAGCGCGCCCGCUCAAAGAUGCGCUACUUCUAUAAUUCCCACGAGGCCGCCACGAGGCUAGUUAUAGCAGCAACGCGUUAUAACGACGGGCGCUACUGCUAUGUAGCAUAGUAGCAGCGCAUUUAUCCAAUAAGCGCUACUGCUAAAUUUACUACAAAAAUUUAGCCCCAUCUCCUCUAUCCAAUCCACUCACACAGUCACACACUAGCUCACUGGAUCCCCUCUCAAUCCCCCACGUCGGUCCACCCCCGUCGCCCCUCCUCCGUUUGCGACGCCGUCACCUCCUCCUCCUUGCUGGACUCGGUACCGGCCUCCUCUCCGUCCUUCCUCUCCACUCGCCGCUGGCCGGCCCCUCCACGCUCCGCCUUCCUCCUCCGUCCUCCCUCCACUGGCCGCGCCGGCCGACCCCUCCUCGCUCCGCCUUCCUCCUCCAUCCUACUCUCUUCUCUCUCCUCGAGUCGCCCCUCCUUCUCCCUCCUGCCCGCUACAUUUUGAUUUAGUAGCUAGGCUAGUUCAUAUGCAACAUUUUGAUUUAGGUGAUAUGAUUUAGUUGAUUUAGUAGGCUAGUUGAUUUAGUUGACUUAGAACAUUUUGAUUUAGUUGAUUUAAGUGGCUAGUUCAUUUAGUUGAUUUAGUUGACUUAGAACAUUUUGAUUUAGUUGAUUUAGUAGGCUAGUUCAUUUAGUCUAUUUAGAACAUUUUGAUUUAGUUGAUUCAGUAGGCUAGUUGAUUUAGUUGAUUUAGAACAUUUUGAUUUAGUUGAUUUAGUAGGAUAGUUGAUUUAGUUGACUUCGAACAUUUUGAUUUAGUUGAUUUAGUAGGCUAGUUCAUAUGCAACAUUUUGAUUUAAUUGAUAUGAUUUAGUUGAUUUAGUAGGCUAGUUGAUUUACUUGACUUAGAACAUUUUUAUUUAGUUGAUUUAGUAGGCUAGUUGAUUUAGUUGAUUUAGAACAUUUUGAUUUAGUUGAUUUAGUAGGCUAGUUGAUUUAGUUGACUUAAAACAUUUUGAUUUAGUUGAUCGUUAAUCCUUUGCUCAUAUUGCUUUAGGAAAAAUGGCGCCACCACCACCACCACUAUGUCAAGAUGCGCCAGCAGCCUUGCAACUGGCCAGCUGUUCGGCAUCUACUUCCAACCGAGUUUUCGUCAUUCGGCGGUAAGAAAUUAGAUGAAAUGUAAUAACUAUUUUGUUUUUAGUGUUGGCAUUACUGCAUUGUGUCAUUUUGCUUAUUUUACAUAGAUCGUCCCAUGCAAUGUGAGGUUGAAAUUCAACAAGCUGACAGGAGACACUGUGACAUUUGAGGCUCCUGGGGGGCCGUACACUAUGGAGGUCGAGAAAGGACGCAAUAUGUCGCAGAUUGGAGGAGAUGGAUGGGCCCGUUUCGUCGCUCGCAUGCGUCUUACUGGUGGUGAGUUGAUCAGUUUCUCCUUCCGAGCAGAAAGACCCAAGCUAGCUGUCAUUUAUCUCAACAUGGUGGAAGAUGAUGAAGAUCACGAAGAUGAUGAAGAUGAUGAAGAUAAUGAGGACCCACUCGAUGAAGAUGAUGAGGACCCACUUCAUGAAGCCAUCGUAGCUCAAAGAACAAGGCUGAGUGAGGAGGAGGUGUCCAACCUGUGGGACAUAAUUCCGCCACAUGCUGACUUUGUCGGCGUGCCAUUCGUGACUCGCUUGACAAAUACCAUGGUUGAUCGACAUGAUAUGGUAUGUUAUACUUACAAAUGCAAAUUAUCCGAUGAAUUACAUAGUGUACAGUCCAAUGAUAUGGUAUGUUGUGUGGAAUCUAGUCGAUGAUAUGUUUUAGUGUAGAGUUUGAUCAAAUGCUUAUUAGUGUAGAAUCUAACGAAACUAUUAAUAGUGUAGAUAAUCCAUAUGUACUUAUUUGCGAGGCUAUUUAUUAAUUGAUAUGUUUUUCUUAUUCAGAAAUUGGCAAAGAGCAUACCUGUGAGUUAUGGUAUCGAGCCUGAUGAAGAAGGCUCGGCUGGACUACGCAUUACUGCAAGGGGCUCUGUCACAACCUGUACUUACCGCGUGGACACGGACGGUCGCACACACUUAAAGUCGGUUGGGUGGAAGAAAUUCCUCGAUGACAAGAAUCUUCGUGUUGGACAGGCCAUCCUAAUUACUAUCAGGAACACAAACCGCCCAGGCUUAAGGAUGAUGAUUGUCUUCGAUAUCAUCUAGAACUACAUAUGUGUGUGUGGCUAUAUCAUCUAGAACUACAUAUGUGUGUGUGGCUAUAUCAUCUAGAACUACAUAUGAUGAUCUUCGUCGAUAUCAUCUAGAACUACAUAUGAUGAUGGCCGUUGAUAUGACCUUUUACUGCUUGAGGAUGCAUGUUGACUAUGCAUGAAAUUGUUAUCUAGUACUCCCUUCGUUCCAAAUUAGUCGUCGUGGUUUGAACUAAAACCACGACGAGUAAUUUGGAACGAAGGGAGUACUACCUAGUAAUGGUUUAUGAAUUUGACAUCUACUAGAAGUACCUAGUAUCUAGUAUCUGAAAGGGAAACUGAAAGGGAAAGGGGUAAUGGGAAAAUGAUGAAAGAUAUAGCAGUAGCGAGGGAUGGCAAAAUCGUUACAGCUAGGUAAUAGUAGCGCGUUCUUAAAAAGCGUUGCUGAUAUCGUAAACAGUAGUAGCGCGGGUAAGGGCCGCGCUACUACUAUGAGUUAGCCGUAGCGCCUUAUUAGUAGCGCGGCCACCCGCGCUGCUGCUAGCCUCAAAACCCGCGCUACUACUAGGGUUUUCCCUAGUAGUGUAAGGAUGACUGUACAACAAUAUUUAAGCCGCUACCAGUAUCAAAUGCAGUUCAAAAUUCUUCAGGUCAUAAGGAGCAACUAAGGUUCUAUGUCAUUUAUUUAAACCAGACACCUCGACAGUAGUGUUUAAGAGCAUUUACCAGAAAGAAAUUUCCAGGUGAUAAAAACAAGUUUCACAGAUGACAGUUAUUAUUUUGGAUCAAAAUAUUGCUCUGAAAGGAAAUUUUUCUAGACCUAAAAACAGGGCAGAGAAGUUCUUACACUCGAAGAGGGUUUCCAAACAAGGGAAAUGAGAUCUAUUUCUAUGCAAGAUCAACACAAACAAGUACCGCAGCAGCUCUACAUAAUUUUUACGAUCUAAACAGGGCAUUGGAGGUAAGAACUAGUGAGGGUUUGUGUCGGGCGGCGAUGAACACCGACGAACUCGACAAAGUCCUAAUGCAGAUCUAAGAAAGGGAAGGAGAGGAACUCACGGAUGUGGAUGAGCUGCACAGGUUCGUCGUCGAUCUAUGGUUGGAGUCAGGUUGAUGCAGCGGUCCGAGUCAGUGAAGACGAGGGGUUCCACGGCAGUGGCGGUGGAGCUCGAGAGGAAGCAAGAGGAAGAAGACGACUGAGAGAAGGAAGAAUGAAAGACCUAGGUCGCCCUAUUUAUAAGGAAAUACUGGCUGAGAUGGCGCGAGAAAUGAGGAGACCAAAACAUCAUUAUCUAGCAGCCCUGACACCUCGAUUCUCAGGAUGGUCAGUAAAGGCAAAGAUUCAUGGAAGAUAUGACGGAGUCAAAAUAAAUUUUACUGAAGAUGACGUCACGAAGACUUAACCCGGAUCCAGAUGAUGACGUCACGUCGGGUUAAAAUCUUCAUGCAAGACAAAAGACUAAGGACAGUUCCAUGAGGUAUUUUAAGAUUGACAUGAACAUGUUCAAAUCAAUCUGGGGCCUAAUGUUGGGGAUAUAACUAUUUGAGUAAGCCGCCUAGGAGGGGCCGGGUUACACAAAGAAGACUUACCAGAGAGAAGGCCCAAGACCAACGCAUGAAGAUGGUGGUUCAUAGAGGGCUUAAGGCCCACAGGCAACUUAAGGCCCGGUCUAGUAAACCGCCAUAAUGACAUGACUUGUAUCAUAAGGUAGUUUUGACUAGUCACCGAGCCGGACACUGUUAUGAGCCGGUCGGGACUCUAUAGGCCACAGGGCGUCAACCCGUGUAUAUAAGGGGACGACCUGCUGGCGGCUUAGGGCAAGAAACAACUCAUCGAGAACCGGGCAUAGUGUAUCUCCAUCCCUGGUUAUCGAAACAUCAAUACCAACCCAACUAGACGUAGGCCUUACCUUCACCGUAAGGGGCCGACCUAGUAUAAACCCUCUCGUGUCCUUUGUCCCGAUUAACCCCUUCAAGCUUCAUAGUUGCGAUGGCUCCACAACUAAGUCCUUUCACGAGGACAUCUGACGUGACAAUUCCACGACAAUACUUGAUGAAGACAUGACACAAAACCUCCAGAAAGAAUUGAAAUAGUUGAAUGAAAAGAACUUAGAAGGAAGGAUUGAACGGAGUUGUUGAGAAAAUCAACAACGAAAGAAUAAGCUUGUAGUGGACUUAUGGAUAACCUCUCAGAAAUUAUGAGGUGGUAACUGGCCACAAAUGGAAAAGUUUGAAUAGCUGAGAAGAAUGAAGAAAUGCUAAACUCAACUUCAAAAGAAUACAGAGAUUUAACUGCACUUCGGGAUGCGAGAAGAAAAGAUACUUGAACUUCUCCAACAAAAAUCUUGAUGAACUCUUGAAGAAUGAAUUAAAUCAUGAAGAACCACCAUGAAGAACUCCGGUGACAAAAGAUGAUGAGAUUAAAGCUUGUGAUGAUUUAAAUGGAGGUUCCAGCGAAAUGGCCGAGGAAAUUUGUACUCGGGAAAAGAAAACACUUGGGACUAGAAUUUAUUCAACAAGACCAAACUCUGAAGGAAGGGAUUACUCACUUGGAUGAAAUAAGAAUAAGAUUUAUUGUAUGCUUAUCCUUCAUCAAAUUAAAUUGAUGACAAGCAAUGGAUUUUGCAUGCUACUUAUUCUUGUUGAAAAAGAUUAAAGGGGAAAAUAGCGUGAAAUUUGGGAAGGUCUUCAUGAACCACCGGUAGGAUUGGAAAGAAUGAAUUAAUAAAAUUGAUAAUCAAGGAAAAAGAAUCUUGAACGAACCACCGUAAGAAUUCGCAAAUGACUGAUGAAUGAGAAAGAAUCACCGGGAAGAAUUAGAAGAACAAAUAUGCUUAAGGGGAUUUAGAUGCAAAAGAAUGGAAAUAACUCGAACUGAUUAAAGAGCACUUGAACGAAGCGUCGGGAUAAAUAGAGAACGAUAACUAGAAUGUGAGGACAAAGAAUUCUUCGGGAACGAUGGCCUCCGGAGAAAAGAAACGGGAAAAACAACUUCUAACAUACUCUGGAAGAAUGAACGAGAAGAAGGGUUGAACCAAGGCAUGUGAAUUUGAAAACGAUCUUGGAGAAGGCAUGUGACUGAUGAAAUCCAUUCUUACGUCACACUUUGAAAAGAAUUGAGAAUAACCCCGGGGGAAUUAGAAGAGUCAGGUAAGAUCCUGGGAAAGGACCUGUGGGUUAUGGGCCCACUAAAAUAGAACACCGUUGGAAAGGGAUGUUGAACAGAUAGAUGAAGCACCGGAACAAUUGAAAUAUUUUAAUGAGGUGACAACCACGAAUUAAUUGACACACAGAUGAAUCUCUGAGAUGUCUUCCAAACUCCGGAAUGAUUGAAUGGCGAGAGGACAAUGAGCAAGGAGAAAACUUUAACCAAGGAAAAGAAUAUUAUCAACAAAAAAACUUGAAUUGAGUGCACCGGAAAAAUAAAGGGAGGAAGAAUGUCGAAUAAAAGAGAAUUCACCGGUUGAAGUGAUUGAGGGAAGGCUGAAGAGGCUCUGUACGAAUGAAAUUGAUGCUCNNNNNNNNNNNNNNNNNNNNNNNNNNNNNNNNNNNNNNNNNNNNNNNNNNNNNNNNNNNNNNNNNNNNNNNNNNNNNNNNNNNNNNNNNNNNNNNNNNNNNNNNNNNNNNNNNNNNNNNNNNNNNNNNNNNNNNNNNNNNNNNNNNNNNNNNNNNNNNNNNNNNNNNNNNNNNNNNNNNNNNNNNNNNNNNNNNNNNNNNNNNNNNNNNNNNNNNNNNNNNNNNNNNNNNNNNNNNNNNNNNNNNNNNNNNNNNNNNNNNNNNNNNNNNNNNNNNNNNNNNNNNNNNNNNNNNNNNNNNNNNNNNNNNNNNNNNNNNNNNNNNNNNNNNNNNNNNNNNNNNNNNNNNNNNNNNNNNNNNNNNNNNNNNNNNNNNNNNNNNNNNNNNNNNNNNNNNNNNNNNNNNNNNNNNNNNNNNNNNNNNNNNNNNNNNNNNNNNNNNNNNNNNNNNCAAGCUCCGGGAAGAAGAGGGUGGGAGGGCGGGAAAAACAAAAGCACCUUGGAAGGGGGAAAACCGAUGAAUAACUUCAAGAGGAAACACCGGUGAAAGAAAGCAAAGGCUUCGCACGAGUAGGAUGGAUACUCAAUUACGGACUCCGGCUCCGAGAUGAAAAAAGGGCGGGCGGGUGGGAAAAGAAAACAACUGAGGAUUGAACUUGGCAAAGAUGAAGAGGCUCGAAUCAACUUGACGAGAAAUGCACCGAAUGAAAAGAGCUGAGAGCCAACGAUCGGAAAACCAACUGCGUGAUCCUAAAGAAAAAUUGAAGGGGAAGAGGAGUAAUUCAGAACACCUACAUCAAGAUUCCUUACCAGAGCGACAAAGGGGAUGAGGAGUAAAAAGAAUUCCUACUCUCCGAUAUAACUAGACUCCGAAAAAGUUUUCUUCUAGACUCGACAUCGGCCAAACCACACGAUCAAUCAAGGGGGCUCCUAGGGUCGGUCGAGGCUCUGAUACCAACUUGUCACGUCCAAUAUGCGAUAUUAUCCUAAAGAAACUCGAAGGUCCCACCAAGGAUAGAACCGCAUAUUGAAACGCUCUUGCAAGGUGGAUAUCAUUACAUCAACAUUACAUAAAUAGAUGGGGAUACAUACAAGAGGCAUGCAAUGCCACACGAAUACAACAAUACAUCAUCCAUAAGAUCAACAUCCGACUACGGAUGAAACACAAACAGAAGCUCAAACGACAUCCACCCUGCUAUCCCAGGCUGCCGACCUGGAACCUAUCCCCUGAUCCAAGAAGACGCAGAAGAAGAACUCCAAAACAAGCAAAUAUCGCUCUCGCGUCAUGAUCAUCGCAUAACCUGUACCUGCAACUGUUGUUGUAGUAGUUUGUGAGCCACGAGGACUCAGCAAUCCCAUUACCAUGGGUAUCAAUACUAGCAAAGCUUAAUGGGAAAGGAAGGGGUAAAGUGGUGAGGUUGCAGCAGCGACUAAGCAUAUAUGGUGGCUAACAUACGCAAAUAAGAGCGAGAAGAGAGCAAGCGGAACGGUCGUGAAGCUAGCAAUGAUCAAGAAGUGAUCCUGAACUCCUACUUACGUCAAACAUAACCCAAAACCGUGUUCACUUCCCGGACUCCACCGAAAAGAGACCAUCACGGCUACACACGCGGUUGAUGCAUUUUAAUUCGAAUCAGGUGUCAAGGUUAUCUACAACCGGACAUUAACAAAUUCCCAUCUGCCACAUAACCACGGGCACGGCUUUCGAAAGUUUAUACCCUGCAGGGGUGUCCCAACUUAGCCCAUGAUAAGCUCUCGCGAUCAACGAAGGAUAUACCUUCUCCCAGGAAGACCCGAUCAGACUCGGAAUCCCGGUUUACAAGACAUUUCGACAAUGGUAAAACAAGACCAGCAAGACCGCCCGAUGCGCCGACAAUCCUGAUAGGAGCUGCACAUAUCUCGUUCUCAGGGCAACACCGGAUGAACAUUACGUACAACUAAAACCAGACCUCAAGUUUCCCCGAGGUGGCGCUGCAAGUGGCUCUAGUUUGGACCAACACUCAAAGGAGCACUGGCCCGGGGGGGUUAAAUAAAGAUGACCCUCGGGCUCCGAAAACCCAAGGGAAAAAGGGCUAGGUGAGGCAAAUGGUAAAACCAAUGUUGGGCCUUGCUGGAGGAGUUUUAUUCAAAGCGAACUAUCAAGGGGGUCCCAUAAAUCACCCAACCGCGUAAGGAAUGCAAAGUCCGGGAACAUAACACCGGUAUGACCGAAACUAGGGCGGCAAGACUGGAACAAAACACCAGGCAUAAGGCCGAGUCUUCCACCCUUUACCAAGUAUAUAGAUGCAUUAAUUAAUAUAAGAGAUAUUGUGAUAUCCCAACAUAAUCCUGUCCACCAUGGAGCAAUCUUCAACUUCACCUGCAACUAACAACGCUAUAAGAGGGGCUGAGCAAAGCGGUAACAUAGCCAAGCAAUAGUUUGCUAGGAAGGGUGAAAAAGUUUAGAGGCUGACAUGUCAAUUUAGGAGGCUUGAAGAGCAAAAGAUAGGUAGCGCAGCAUAGCGAUAGAACGAAGCAACUAGCAAAGCAAUGAUAGUAAUGAGAUCCAGGGUGACGGUCAUCUUGCCUGGAAUCCCGCUAGGAAGAAGAACGAGUCCAUGAAGAAGAUGAAGCCACGAAGACGAACCAAUCAUAGACGAACGAAUCCUCGUGAUCGUAACGAAACAGAAACUAUCGAGAAGAAGCACACAACAUAGUAAACACACCACACAUAGACAAGACAUGAUGCACAACAAGCAUGAUGCAUGACAUGGCUACAUGAAGCUACUCAUGGCAAGAGAUGAUGCAUACAAGAGCAACACAUCAAAGCAAGUUUAAAUGAGGCCGGGAACAACAUAUAACAAUUCCGGUAAGUCCUUAUAUGCAAAUUUCAAAAUUGGUCCAGAUCUGAACAAACAUUAAGUUGAAGUUGUUAAACAGCAAGUUAAAUAUCACCAAGAGGAUCUACACGAAAUUCUAGUCAAGUUACAUAUAAAGUUCAUUUAAUUCGGAGCUACGACCUUGAAGAUAUGAGCAAAACAAGUCAAGCAUGGCAUUGAUGCAAAAUGCAUACAAACAUCAACCAAACACCUCAAAACAAGGAUGCAACAUGAUAAUAUGAAACUACAUGCAAAAUCAAGCAAGUUUCAUAUAGAGCACACUCAAAACGGAGCAACGGUUCAACACACACACACUAAACAAGAUAUAACAACAGUCUGUCCAAAACAGCAACUAGGCAUAUUGCAAGCACCAAAACAACAAGCUACAGCAUCUCAACGUAAUAACAAAAGGCAUGGGCAUGAAGUACAGGUAAAGCAUGAUAAAACGUGAACACUGAGCUAUCUCCAGAAAUCACUAGAACAUGCUCAAAAGGACAUGGCAAGAUUGCAAAUAAUAACAGUUUCAGGCUUUGCAGAAAUAACAUCAGGUUGCAAUGUUUAGAUCUAUCAAACAACAUGCUACAGGAACUUAUCGUGGCAAACAAAGGCAUGGCAUGAUAGUAAUAAAUGCAUAGAACAAAAGUCCCUUACUGACCAUGAACCAAAAUGGCACAGAAAAUAUGAUGGCACCCAUGUAAACAUGGCAAAUGAUAUGACAAAUUCAUGCAUGGCAGGAACAACAAUAAGUAGGCAUGUUGGUGAGAUUGUACCACUCACCACAGAGCAACGCAUGGCAUGGCAAGGUGAAUAACAGUAAGAAUACAUGUUUGUGAAUCUAAGCAUGGCAAGAGCAAGUUCAUAGGGUGCAUGGAUCACUAACAACAAUAAUGGCAACAUUGAUCUUAGAGUUAACAGGCUGACAACAACAUUAUUAAGCAACUUUGGAGCAUGAUAACAACAAGCUACAGCAGUCUAUAAAUGCAACCAGGGGCAUGGAUGAAUGGAUCAUGACAUGUAUAACAAAUCAUCCUUAGUGAACAUCUCCAAAUUAUGCAUAGAAUGACCUGUAGUAGCAGGUUUACAUAGCAGCACGAAAUAACAGAUUCAGCCUAGCAAAACAGUAACAACAAGUACCCUACUUCAUGAGCUCAAUGCACUCAGUACAAGAAUUACAAAAAUACAUGGAUGGCACCACUGUGAAGAUGGCGUGAUGUAGUUCAAAACACAUGUAGACAUCAAGCUCAUAGGGUGCACACAUCAAAUGCAACAAAAAUGACAAAUCAACAAGUUCUGUUAAUAGACAACAGUUAACAUCAUAUAGCACUCUUGAAACGAUGAUUCAGGCAUCAAGAUGGACUCAAACAAACAUGACACAAUGGAACAAAAUGUAGAGCAUCUCACAGCGAACGAUUUGAUAUAUCACACGCACAAAACGGAGCUACAGAUGCAGAGUUAUAAUGUGAUGAACAGGGGCCAAAAAUAUGCAAUUAUUUUCGGACUUAGGGAAAUCGGGGUCUACCUUCGGUUACCUCAAAUCCAGAUCCGGGGUGUGGGAACCGAGGCGGUGGCGCGAGCUAGCCGAAGUGGGAGAGGACGGUGGCCGGAGGGGUUGGAGAGGGGCGGAGGAGGCCGAGGGCGGCGCCGGAGCCCAGCGAGGCUGCGGGAGGAGGCCGGCGCCGGAGAAGCUGCGGUGGCGCACGGGGCGCGGCCGGGCUGCGCGNNNNNNNNNNNNNNNNNNNNNNNNNNNNNNNNNNNNNNNNNNNNNNNNNNNNNNNNNNNNNNNNNNNNNNNNNNNNNNNNNNNNNNNNNNNNNNNNNNNNNNNNNNNNNNNNNNNNNNNNNNNNNNNNNNNNNNNNNNNNNNNNNNNNNNNNNNNNNNNNNNNNNNNNNNNNNNNNNNNNNNNNNNNNNNNNNNNNNNNNNNNNNNNNNNNNNNNNNNNNNNNNNNNNNNNNNNNNNNNNNNNNNNNNNNNNNNNNNNNNNNNNNNNNNNNNNNNNNNNNNNNNNNNNNNNNNNNNNNNNNNNNNNNNNNNNNNNNNNNNNNNNNNNNNNNNNNNNNNNNNNNNNNNNNNNNNNNNNNNNNNNNNNNNNNNNNNNNNNNNNNNNNNNNNNNNNNNNNNNNNNNNNNNNNNNNNNNNNNNNNNNNNNNNNNNNNNNNNNNNNNNNNNNNNNNNNNNNNNNNNNNNNNNNNNNNNNNGGGAGGGCCCGCGCGGGCCUGACGGGCCGGCGGCGCGGGAGGCGGCGGCGCCCAUGUGGCGGCUCGGGAGAGGCUGGGAGCGGCGGCGCGGGGACGGGCGGACAUGUCCGGCCGUCACGGACGUGUCCGGCGGCGCGGGGAGGAGCGGGGCUAGGGUUUGGACCCGAAAUUUCGGAGGAGGGACUAUUUAUAGAUUCUGGGAGCUAGGAGAGUCCAAAUGAGGAGCGGUUUUCGGCCACACGAUCGUGAUCAAACGGUGGAGAGCAUGGAGGGGGUUAGGAUGGGUUUUGGGCCACUUUGGAGGGGUGUUGGGAUGCAACACAAAGAGGGCUUUACGGUUCCCCGGUUAACCGUUGGAGUAUGAAACGACCUCCAAAUGGCACGAAACUUGACAGGCGGUCUUCCUGUGCUAUACCAAGGCCACUUGGCAAACAUCGGGCCAUUCCGAGAAAGUUUAACACCCGCUCCCAACGAGAGACAAAAAGGGGGACGCCAGAGGACAUAGGAGUGCCGGAUUGCAAAACGGACAACGGGGAAAAUGCUCGGGUGCAUGAGACGAACACGUAUGAAAUGCAAAACACAUGAUGACAUGAUAUAAUGCAACACGCAAGAAAAUGACAUGGCAACUACGGCAUUUAACUAGCAGACACCUUGCGCAUCGAAUCCGGGGCGUUACAGUUAACCUAGAUUAGAAGUUCUGCCACCGGAAGGCUCUGUAGCCACCGAAAACCAAUCUAGAACCCGUUCCGGCACCCUGCCGGAGGGGGAAUCAUCACCGGUGGCCAUCUUCAUCAUCCCGGCAGCCACCACGAUGAGGAGGGAGUAGUCCACCAUCGGGGAUGAGGAUUUCUAGUUUUCUACUAGUAUCUAUGUGUUUAAUCUAUCUCUCUCGUAUUCUUGAGAUGCAAAAUCUUGAUGUAUUGCGGGCUUUGUUACUAUAGUGGGAUCAUAUGUGUUUCCCCCCUCUAUGUUGUUGUGAUGAAUUGAGUUUUCCUUUGAGAUUUCGUUUUAUCGGAUUGAAUACUUUUAUGGAUUUGAGAACACUUGAUGUACGUCUUGCAUAUGAAUACUCGUGGUGACAAUGGGGUAUCGUAUUGAUUCACUUGAUAUAUGUUUUGGCACUCACUCGCUUAUUCCCGAGGUGACAUUGGGUAAUCUAUGCAUAGGGGUUGAUGCACGUUCUUGUCUUUGUUUCUCCGGUAGAAUCUUUGGGCACUCUUUGAAGUUCUUUGUGUUGGAUUGAGUAUUAUGAAUCUAAAAUUGUUUAAUGCAUAUCGUAUAAUUAACUCAUGGAUACUCGUGGUAACAUUGGAGUAUCUAGGUGACAUUAGAGUUGGGUGAUGUGUGUCAUAUGGUGUUAUUUUAGUAUGAACUCUUGAUUAGAUCGAUCAGGAAGAAUAGCUUGCUGUUAUUUUAGUACGAACUCUAAGAUAGAUUGAUCGGAAAGAAUAGCUUUGAGGUUGUUUCGUACCCUACAAACAAUUUCUUCUUAUGUUCUCCGCUAGAUAGGAACUUUGGAGUGAUUCUUCGUUGCACGUUGAGGGAUGGUUAUGUGAUCCAAUUAUAUUAGCAUUGCACUAGCGAAAGUACGGACCUGAUGCCUCGUUUUUAAGUAUUGUAAUACCGUUUUUGCACACUUUUGUUACUUGCUACCUUGUUGUUUUUUAUUGUUCCUGUUACAAAAACCAAUAUCUACUAUCAUUACUACACUUUUAUUACCAUCUGUUUGCCGAACUAAUGCACCUAUACAAUUUACCAUUAUAUUUGGUGUGUUGGGGACACAAGAGACUUUUUCUUAUUUGGUUGCAGGGUUGCUUGAGAGAGACUUUCUUCAUCCUACACCUCCCACAGAUUGAUAAACCCUAGGUCAUCUACUUAACGGAAAAAUUCGACUGUCCUACCAAACUCUACGUUGGAGGCCCAACACGAGUCUACAAGAAUAAUGUUGCGCAGUAGACAUCAUGGGCCCACAGGCCUGACCGGGCCCUUUUAGGCAUAUAAAGCUUCCACUUUUGCGCUGUAGAAGGCACGCCGUCGGCGUCGCCACCCCCAGUCCGAGCUGCUCCUCUUCCUCACCACGCAGAAGACAACGAAGCUACGCUGGGGACCGACCUGCUAAGACCCAUAUGGGGCCCGCAGGGCCCAGACUAAGCUUGUGACGCACCACCGGCCACCCCGCGCCACCACGCCACUCUGCCACCAAGGAGUAGCACCGCCACCACGUACGCCAUCGGCCACCCCGCUGGGUCACCAGACCGCUGCCUUGCCGAGCGACGCGUCCGCUGCCCCCUGCCCCGGGGUGGGAGGACGUGCGCGGGAAGAGGAGAUCUUGCCGCCUGCGAUAGUAAGGAAGAGGAGGAGGGAAGAGAGGCCGAGGGCGGAGGCAAGGGAGCUACCCCAGCGGCCUGUCCGAGAGGCAGCGCGAGGACAAAAAGAGGGAUGGGGAAGGAAGGGCGGGGGAAGGGGGGCCGGAUCCGAUCCGCAAGCCAGCGAGGGCCGCCGGAUCUAGCCGGAGACAGGCUAGGGAGGUGGCGACGGCAAGGGUUUCAUGGGGAGGGAGAGUCGCGAGAGCGCGAGCUCGUCUAUAUGGAUAGCCUCAAAACCUCCAUUCCACCUCCUUUCCCAGGUACUCCUCCACAAGGGUUGGAUAGACAGGAUUGAAAACAGAAUAUACUCUUUUCCACACAUUGGUUUGUUAGCAGAUCUGGUCUACAGAGACCUCUACCAAUCGCCAGAAAGCCCGCGGAGAGUCCUUUAGCUGAAAGGCUACACUAGUCGGCGGAAGAGCGAAUGCACAAUUAGCACUAGGGGUCGCCUGAGGUCAUCUCAUGCAGUGGGCGGCGGAGUGGCUCGCCAAGGUCACAUGUGGCGGAAUCAAUGGGGACACGUGGUACUAUCGAUGGGGUCAGGGCGGCAUUACCGAGAUUGUUGGUCGAUUCCCUGUGGUAGAACCGAAUGCGACACAGGGUACCGUCGAUGAUGUCGGUGCAUCACUCGGCAGGGGUAGUUGACCAAUCUAGCAUGGCAGCGUUGCUGCGCUCGCCGGAUCACUCUUGAUCGAGGAGGGUCGGGCUAAUGGAUACAUGCUGCUGGUGGGUUUUCUAUUUUGAUUAGGGUGACUUGUCCGUUACUGAUGGCAGAAGGGGAAGCGAACUGAGGAUGUACGCGGGAACCGGGCCUUUAAAGAAUUUUUUCUCUAGUAGGGUUGAUGUGGCAACUUGUGGCCGGCCUCUCCAGUAACUCGGUAACUGAACAAUAAUGUGGCAGGGCUGCUGAGGUGGAUAGAAUGCAUGUCAAGAGAAAUAACAUAGUGAAGAUGUACUAUUUAGGUAUUAUACAUUAGAGAUGACCAUGUGUCUGUCUGUCCACUCUGCUUUCUGGUUGGCACGCUCAACAUUUCUGCAUUCAUGGAUUGUUUCCUCAUCUUCUUAAUACGCCCUGAACUGAAUCCGGUAGAAAGAACCUACAGUGUAGUACUAUGCACACCCUAUUUACCGUCCAUUUUCCACCUGACCUGAUAGAGUUAGGCACCCGGCCCGUUCUGGAAUUUUUUUUAAACACAGUACAGAUGCAAGCAAAAAAAUGGAUUUCGCAUAUCACCUGGGGAUGGGAUCAUGGGUUGGCUUUGACGUGGCGCUCCCACCGGUUGUUGCUGACAGCAUCCUGCAGACAAAGGCAUCCUCUACAGGAUCGCCUUUCGUGACCAAGGCCGUUAUUCCUGCUCCCGGGAGGGCACCAUUGAGCUCAUCGGAUGGGACAAUGAAACCGUGCCCAAGCCCAAGAGUGCCACAUCCAACCAUGCCCAAGAGCUCUGCUCUGUUCUACCGAUGAAGAUGGCUAAACUAAAACUUUCUCUCUCUCAAAAAAAAAGAAUAAACUGAAACUGCACAAUCGUAAGACAUCCAAACAACCUCGGUGUCGGUGGCUGAUCAUAGUCUACUAGACACAAGGGGUGGGAAUCAACGACAAUAGAUGGAUCAAUGAAUGAUCUGCCUACCAUGCGUCAAUUUCGUUCUAUAUUACUUUUGCCAUAUUUCGGCAGAAUAUCCAACCAUCCUUGAAGAAUUCAGAUAGACUACCGCUUGAGUUGGACCGAUUCGUCUAGAGGGUCUUUGAUUUUUUUUUUCGGUGCAUAAUUGCAAUGUUAACUGCAUGACUGCAAGUCUACAAAACUACAACCCAAAAACUGGGUUGAAAUAUUCCUUUCACCUAUAACUAUCCGUUCCUUCAGUUCAUGAUUUCCCAGUGUAAACAUGCUACACUAAUACCUACAGGUUUUCCGUGACAUCAUUUGUGUACACAGCUAGUUGUUUUUCUGUGUAGAACUGGCAGGUGAUGGUUAGCUGUACUCUAUACCAUGUCCAAUGUGCUAGUACUCAAGUGAUAUGGUAUUUAAUACUAGAUUUGAGAUGAUAUCGCAUUUAAUGGCACACACUUAAGAAUAUCUUCUAAAUUUAUAUUUGCAUAGAUGGAAAGAUAACAUCCAUGAAAUGGAUACCUUCUUAUAGAUAGAACCAUAUUUUACAAAUUAAGUAUAGUGAGACGGCCAAAUCUUUGUGAUCUCAUUUUGAGCGAGAUGGGAGUAAAUAUUCUCUAGCCAUUAGUCUAUAAAUAAAGAUACAAUGAUUCUAGACGCCCAAACCGAGUCAGGAGUAAGAAGUUUGUGUCUUCUCUUAUGGAAGGGAAAGCUAUUCUUCUUUGCCUUAUGGUGCUUGUGCACCUAGGAAAUUCCAUUCAUAUUGGUCCCUAUAUAUGUUUCUGUAAUCCUAUCAACCAAAGUAGGAUAAUAUUGUCACUUAAACAUCAUGAAUAUUUUCAUAUUUUUCCCAACUUGGACUUCUUUUUAUGGUGUGGAUUUUUCUUUACAGAUAAAUGCAAGGAUCUAGUUCACCCGCAAAGAACAACAUGCAAGGAUCUAACUGCUUCUAUCGGCCGUGAGUGCAAUCUGUUAAAAUGCCAGGAGACCUGCAAAGUUUUGUUUCGAGCGGAACUCACAGCCUCAUGGUGUAUCAACCCCGUCCCAUACUCUUGGCAUUGUAGGUGCCGUAUCUGUCUGUUGGUAGAGAUGCACUGAACAAUCAUGUCGAAAAAAGGACAAAUGAUGUGAUCCAAUAAUAAAAUCUUCCUGUGACAUGCAUCUAAGAAUACAUAAUGAUUGCCAAAUUUAGGUGUUCUAUUCGAUUUUGUCAUGUGCGAUAUUGAUCUGGUAAUUUUAGGUUUGCAUGGCCUCGUGAU
RNAcentral lists this long non-coding RNA (144941 nucleotides) under Triticum aestivum (bread wheat). RNAcentral describes it as "long non-coding RNA (TAES_LNC028261)". The record is from RNAcentral. Lineage: Eukaryota; Viridiplantae; Streptophyta; Magnoliopsida; Poales; Poaceae.